RNAcentral lists this long non-coding RNA (136234 nucleotides) under Coffea arabica (coffee). Its description in RNAcentral is "long non-coding RNA (CARA_LNC002122)". Lineage: Eukaryota; Viridiplantae; Streptophyta; Magnoliopsida; Gentianales; Rubiaceae. The record is from RNAcentral.
AGAAGCAUAAGCUAAGGUACUUCAAAGAGAUUCUUCGUCGUAGAGGUGAGAGUGCUGAGAUACAUCAUAGCUUUGGCUGAUCUUCAAGAUCAAGCUCGAAGGUGUUACGCAGAAGAAAUCAAUCUUAGUAAUGAUGAUUUUGUUGAAAUGCUAUGCCUUGAUGGCUGCUUUAUCAUCGAGUUCUUGAGGAAAUGUGGACAUUCAGGAUCACACUGGCAGAAUGACCCCUUUUUCAGAUGCUUUGGCUACGCACAGCCACUGUGAAUGACCUAAUAUUAUUUGAGAAUCAGUUGCCCUUUUUUGUCCUGCAGAAACUGUUCGAUAUGACCAAGUCACCAAGAGGAGAAGGGAACCUUAUUGACCUAGCUAUUCAUCUCUGUCGGUUGGGAACUUGCCCAAUCCAGGUCUAAAUUCUCAUUCUGAAAUCUUCGAACUUUUUAAUGCGGUUCAUCUUCUUGGCCUCGUGCACAAAAUUCUGUCUGCCUCAUUUUCUGAAACACUUUCCUCAACCAUGAAUUCCAAUCGUACGGGCUCAAAUCUGUUCGUAAAAUCAGCUGGUGAGCUCCGACAAAGUGGAAUCAAGUUCGAGAAGGCAGAGGAUGGUAAAUCCUUGUUCCAUAUCACUUUCGAAAAUGGUGUAUUUAAAAUCCCUCCUUUAGUUGUGGAAGAUCAUACAGAAUCCGUCUUCAGAAACUUGAUUGCAUAUGAAGAGUAUAUGUCUAAUCCAUCUGAGACAUGGAAGUGCGUAACUGAUUACAUAAUCUUCAUAGAUUGUCUCAUAGAUUCCCCAUCCGAUGUUGAAACGCUUCGCAGACAUGAUACCAUCGAGAAUCGGUUAGGUAGUGAUGAAGCACUCUCUACAAUGUUUAACAAGCUAAGCAACCAUGUUCAUGUUGGGGAGAUUUGUUACACCAAAAUUUUUGAUGAUGUGGACAAGUACACUCGCAGGCGCUGGCAUAUUUGGAGGGCGCACCUACUGAGCAAAUAUUUAAUAACCCGUGGGCUUUCAUUUCGUUUCUGGCUGCAUGUGCCUUGCUUCUCCUAACAAGUGUGCAGGCCAUAUUUUCCAUCCUACAGUAUACUUCGGCUUAACGAAAUAGAAGUAAGCUAGUUGUGUAAUUUGUUAGUCAUUGAACUUAAAAUACGAAUAAAGUCAUUGUACUUGUAAACAAUUCUUGAUCUGUAUGAUGUAAAGAACUCUGCUGUCUUGUAUAUUACAUGAACUCCUAAAUGCAUGUUCCGCUAAUAAUAAUGAAAAUGAUCUUUUCUGUAAUAUAAUCUACAACCAAACAUUAGAAUGGCAACGCCACAGCUGCCUCAUGGACCAUAGUGAGUAUCUAUAGUGAGUGUGUCUGUGUAUGACCAUAGUGAGUGUUACUAGCAAAUGCAAAGGAUGAAGAUGAGAACCCAAUAAAGCACGAAAGGUUAAGCGCACAAGAUUUUAAGCAAACUGCAAAGAAAGAGUUAAAGAAUGAACCUUUAGCAUUCAUCUGGCAAAAAAAUCCUUGGCAUACUAUUGUAAAUAAUAGAAGUUAGACACCGUUAGAUCGAAAUUCUACCAAUAUUAGUGUACUGAAAACAUAUAAUACUGCAGGAUCUAAUUGUUACUCCUGCGGCUUAAAGAAGAAAACAGAGAAAAGACUCGGUUGAUUUUCAAACAAAACAAACCCAUUAAAGUGCACUUCAUUAAUUGCUUGUUAAUUGUGGUUCCUGAAAUCUUAUUUAAUUGAGAAAUUUCUAAUUUGUGAUGAAUUUUAAAAAAAUUCUACAAAAUAGGUGAUUUUGGCAAUGAAUUCCGUCCGGGGGUCUUCGCAUUCGUAGAGCUCGCAUUUCACGAAUGCGAGAUUAGAAUAGAGCUCGCAUUCGCGAAAUGCGAGCUCUACUUAUUGAGCUCGCAUUCCGCAAAUGCGAGCUCUAAUUUAAUUUUUUUUACUAGCUCCCCAGAGCUCUCUAGCAGCCUCUAUAUUCGUAAAAAAAGAAAGGAACUCCUGGGUCAGAGAAUGAAUUCCACUUCCCUGAUUAGCACCAAUCGUCAUGAACUGGAAAGGCUAGCUCAGAAGAUGGCUAGGCCCCUGUUAGCACCAAAAGCGUUAGGGGGCCCGCACUGGAGGCAUCAGAGACUUCAAUGUUAGUUUUCUUGAACUGCAAAUCUUCCAAAAGAAAAAAAAAUUACACUUGACUCUAUUUCUUUCAGAAAUAGCGGGCAGGCAAAGCAAAGAAACGAAGCUGACUCUCAUGAAUGGAUGUCCGAGCUAGAGAAUUUUUUCCAGAAAAUAGUAAGAGCUAAAUGCGAGCUCCUAAAUGUUUUUUGUUUAAAUUUUGCAAAUAGCUCGCAUUUGAUAAAUUUGUCCUCCAAAAAUUGUAUUUAACUUUUUUGUUAGAUUUCGCAUUUAUAAGUAUGACUUUCAAAAAAUUAAAUUCAAACUUGUUAGGAAAAAAUUUUAAAUGAAAUUUACGAAAUUUAAAAUGAAAUUCAAACUUAAUAUAAUUUACUAUACAUGCAUAAUUCUUUUAUAAUAAAAAAAAUUGGUAAUUGUAUGGUUGGAAAUACGUUAUUUUAUUAUAAUACAUUUAAAUAGGGGAAAAAGUACACAUGCAUAGUUCUAUUUGUUACUUUUCAUUAUUAUUAUUAUUAUUAUUUUUGCUUGCAGGUGCUUAUUGUAGCAGGAACUAGUACCACAUCAAGGGCGUUGAGCUGGGUUAUCUCCUUGCUACUGAAGCAUAGGCACGUUUUGCAAAAAGCCCAGGAAGAGAUUGACUCUUUGUUGGUAAGAGAGAAUAGAAGAAUCUGAUAUCAAGAAUUUAGUCUACCUACAGGCCAUUGUCAAAGAGACAAUGCGACUACAUCCACCAGCACUUGUACCUAUGCACGCCAAGCCUGAGCUCGCAUUCCCGGAAUGCGAAGACCCCUAUUUGCAGAACACACUCCAAGAACCGCCCUCGUUGUAGAAUUCUUUUUUUUUUUUCCAUCAUAAACUAAGAAUUCACCCUAUUUAAUUAGCCACUGCUUCCACAUUGGAUAGAAUGCUACGUAAAGCAUAAAGACUAAGGGUCCAUUUGUUUCGGUUUCCAGAAAAAUAUUUUCCUAAUUUCCCGUGAUUGGUUGCACAAAAGUUACUGAAAACAUUUUCCUAUGUAAAAUAUUUUCACUCAUCUUAUGGAAAACAACUUCCCUUCCAAACUUACUGAAGUAGUUUUCCGAAAUGCAUGCAUCCCGCCUGUAAUAUGUUCCAAACUUACUGAAACAUCUUGUAGUAUGUUCUUUUUUUUUUAGUGUAAACAGGAGGACUCGAACCCAAAAUCUCUUCCUUACACUCCCCCCCGUACCACCUAACCCAACCCAACCCUCCCCCUAGUAUAUUCAAAAAAAAAAAAAAAACCUCAUCCUGCUCAUCCUAUGCUAGUAAUUAAUUAUGUAUAAUAGAGACAUUCUGUUCUAGAGAAACUUUCAGCAGUGAGAGUGCAAGAUAUAUGUCACAAUAAGCAUUGCAUGUGAUUGAUAUUUGACACUAAAUGGCCAGCAAUUUGUUUAUUGCUUAAGGAGGUAUUUUUAUUCAUAUAUACAUUUCUCCAAGAUUUUUUAAAGUUAAACAAUGAGAUAAAUUUUCUUAUUUUGCAUGAGAAGAAGUAUGUAGUUAUAAUGUGUAGAAAGUAAAGAUAGAGAUAAAAGUGAAAAUAUUUCAAAAGUUAAACAAACACCAGAAAAAUGAAGUAAGAAAAUAUUUUUAAUAAACUAACCAAACACCUGAAAAUGAUGAAAGGGAAAUGAUUUUCAUGGAAAAUUACUUCCACAGAAAAUAUUUUCCAAAGGAAAACAUUUUACUUCCAACCAAACAGACCCUAAAUGAAAAAAAGAAACAAUACAAUAGGUAAAUCUUUCAUGCUUGCUAGUACCAAAAUUAAGUACUUGCGCAAAUUUUAAGUAGUUUCUUAGCUGCAAAUGAGAAGGUUUUAUCUAAGAAAUUUUGUCUCCAAUGUUCUGACCUUUGUCAUGCUCUCACUUCGCGAAGCAAAGCAUAUGCUAAGGAAUGAAGGGCUGAGACGUGUGAACUUGUUUAAAGAAUUAAAGGGCUUAAACGUUGGCUGUUCUCUUCUCUUUUCUUCAUUGGACUCAGUCGCUCACUAUUUUCUCUCUACAAACGAAAAAUUUCCAGCCAUAUUAAAUUUAUUGGAGAAGAACAGCUAUGAACUUAUAUAUCAAAAUUCGUGAAAAUUAAAAUGUUUAAGAGUUUAUACGUCUUCUAUGAAUGAAUACCUUCAAGUACAGAUUAUCUUCUGCUGAGUACAUUAAUAAGUUCAAAGUAAUUUUUUGUACAAGUGUGGAGGAAAAUAAAUUGUUUUUGUAUAUUGUAAUAUUGGAGAAAAGAACAAAGUGGGUAGACUAUUAAUUACUAAAAAAAAAAUCAUUUUUCAACUAUUUAAAUUUGUAUACCAAAAGCAGAAAAAAAAACUUUUAUUCUUCAUCGCGAGCAUAAGAUAACAGCCAAUGUUCAAUAACGCCACUCUUAAAUUUUCUUUUAAUACGAUUUACUACAUUUUUCUACGUAAAAUUAGACUUAUGCCACUAGAUUAAUAUAUCCAAAUGGUGACAACAUGGACUACGUAAGUGCACCAUAAUAGUAUAAAGUGGUCUUACCAAUAAAAUAACAAUAAUAGUAUAAAGUGGACUGCCUAUGAGCUUCCCAUCCCAAAGGAUAUAAUUUCCAGCGGCUUUCGCCAGCUUUUUUUCUGUGUUUCUGAUCAAGAUCGCUACACCUUAGACUCUCCUCUUGUCCAGGUAAAUUUUUCGAGUAUUUCUCUGCUGUGAAAUAUAUUGGAAAUCUGACUAGCGAUCGAGUUGAAAAAAAGGAAAUGUGGAAAAGAGAAAAAGAGUGCCCAUAAAAGCAAAAAAUUGUAGUGAACCUCUGUCUCAACAUCAGAAAACUGAACACUCUUUUCAGGGAUUGACAUAUUUCAAACUCCCCAUUGUUCCAACUUUGAAGUGCUUGAUGUGGGAGCCAACAAGAAAGUUUCACCAAAACCUUAACACGAAAACAAAGAUACAGCGAAAUUUGAGGGGAAAAUAAUUUAAUCUCCUAGAAAAGGGAGGAAAAGCAAAAUUCAAAUGCUUACCCAUAAAAAGAAAAAACAAAUCAAGCAAUUACAAAAAUAAGGGGAAAAAGAAAAAAAAAAAAAAAAAAGAAGUUACCUGCCAUGCCAUUAUAUUAUAUAUGGCCUUUUACAGAUGAAUUUAUUUUUGUAAACUUUUCUGCAUGAAGAUUAAGAUGUAGUUCAAAAAGUCAAAACCCCAAAGUCGAUGAGUGAAAACCAAAAAAUAGAAUCUGGUUGCUGGAGGGUGAAGAGCAAAAACAAAAAGAAACCUAUCCUUAUAGCUUCAUCAGUGACGAUCACUGACAAUAUGAUGAUCACCAAUGUAUUGUGCAUGCCUGUUCGUAUUUGUGUGAUUUGUGACAAGAAGUUAAAACAAUUAUAGCUGAAUUCUUUGGUUGCCAAGAGUUUAUUCUAUAUAGAUAUAUUGGUAUUUGAGAAAAAUGAAAAAUGGCUAAAAAUAUUUUCAAAACAAAAUUGCAUAACAGCUUAAAAUUGUGCCUGAUUUCGUGCUCAUCUGAGCUUCUGUAAAUCUUUUGACUCGUUCCUCCUCCUUCACCCAGCCGAAUCCUUUUAUGCGUUCCCCCUUCCUAAUAUUCUCUUCCUAAUAUCCUUUUAUGCUUAUCGAUGAACUAAUAUCGGAGGAAAUCUAGAAGGCUUCACCAAAAUAUAAAUAUAAAUUUUAGAAAGGCAUGUUCAAUAUUAGUAUCCGAAAUGACUUCUUUUGCUAUUUUUGCUUUUCCUCCUAUCCUUCUUCUUUUUAUGUGUCCAACAAAAGUCAGUAUCAAUUCGUCUAAUAUUUAUAUAGAUGAAGUAGGUAAAGAGUAUUCGUCUAUUAAUUUGAUGAAAUGCUCAUUUGAAUGUGCUCUUUUAUAUCAUUUAAGUAAAUUUUUCCAGUUAAAUCAUUAAUUGGUUGUUCUCCUUUGUGUGACUUUAUUAUGGUUAUUUAAUUUUCAGUUUUAAUAUUUUCUUCUUUCUUUUCUUUUCUAUUAAUGAUGGGUGCAAUUAAUGAAUGAUAGUGCUAUUUCAGUUAAAAGCUAUCUUUUAAUGGCUUUAAUUCUCGAGGUCAUAUAUAUAUAUAUAUAUAUAUAUAUAUAUAUAUAUAUAUAAGGGUUAAUUGCAUUUACCUCCCCUAUAUUUUGACCAAACUACUAAUAGACGACCCCAAAAGCUUUGGAAUAUAACAGUCGCCUCGCUUUGACUUUGCAUUCAUAUAACACAUAACCCCUUCCCGUUAGUGUACAAACGGUUGUUAAUCCAAUCGCUUAAAAGAAUAGUAUGAAAAUCCAAUAUAGCCCUUCCAGAUAUACCGUGUGUAAUUCCUAUUUAAUGUAAUUCCAUUUUAACAAUUUUAUAGUACUAUGUAUUAAACCAUAAUAAAAAGCAAAAUCUUCUAGAAAGAAAGGAAAGAUCAUAAUGAAAUACACCACUAGCCACCCUUAGAGAAUAGAUUUAAAAAUAGAGAUAUCUAGCCACCGACAAAGCACAGAUGUAGAAAUAGAGACAUAGAGUGACGAUGACAAAAAGUUGUUGCACUCUCAAUAUAAACACCAUCACCAUAAAAUUGAAAACACAAUUUCACAAAUUCUCAUUAAAUCCGGAUUUGAAUCAGAGGAUCUGGUUUGCCUGCUACAAUCAAUUCAUAUUCACUCUAUCAAUACUCAUGUUGUGGGCAUACAUAGUCAAGCACUAUAUAUUCUUCUAGAGUUUAAAAACAAAAAAGGAAGAGAAGAUAAAUCCGAUGGUUGUGGUCUUGUGGGUUAGAAUGGGGAGGAAGAAUAAGACUGGGAGAAGUGCUCAUAAUUAACAAUGGAUUUUGCAAAUUAGAUAAGAUUAGGUAUUUACAUGAGUAGAGAAUAGGUAAUUCAUGGUUAGAAGGGAUGAAUGGUAGAACAGUCAUGGUGGAUUCUUUUGGUGGUGCUGUCAUGUACUUGUGGUGUCAUUUUUGGUGGUGUGGUGGUCUAGGCAUAAUUGGUUUUCUUUAGCCAUUUUGUUUUUAAACCUUGGCCACUUAUUUAUUCUUUUAUCUGGUCAUCAACUCUCCCAACCUCCCGCUGGCAACUCAAAGGAACCCCCCCCAGAAUGUAAUGCAUAAUGUAUUGUGUGAGUACUGUUUAAUUGGUAAUUGUGUGAGUACUGUUUAAGCAAACAUCUCAAGAGUAAUGCUCUCACAGAAUAGAGUGAAGUUCAAUUUAAUAGUAUCUAGUAUAAGCUGAUUUUGUGAGUAUUAUUAUUAUAUGCACUUUUAAGUGUAAUAAAAUUGUUCACUUGCCCUUCUAGAUUAGUGGACUUAAUCUAAUAAUUUAGUAUUAAAAACUACCACAAUCCAACCGUUGCAACGGCCAACAUGUGCUGACAUUCUCUUGUGUUGGUAACGGGUGAAUAUACAUACAUAUACAUAUACAUGUAUAUAUACAUACACACAUAUGUAUGUGUACACAUACAUACAUACACCUGUAAUCAUCACGUGCUUUCUCAGGGAAACUUGACUUACACAACAUUCUGAAGGAACCGGUGAAAUUGUUGAAUCGGUAUCGAACCAUUCGAACCGUUAAAUCGCAGUUUUCAAGCUCUUCCCCAAUGGCUCAAGUUUGGACCUUUUCCUAACGGGCCUCAAAUGUGAUUUCUACUUAAUCAAUUAUAUUGAGCAGACCCAAGUCCAAAACAAGGUGGUGUUGACUUUUAGUCCAAUUCAUAUCCCAACUACCGCUAAUGUGUAAUUCGUAACAUUAAACAAACAUAAAAGAUUUCAAAGAAACAAAUUGGAGUCAUGGUGGAAUAGCAAAGGACAUGAAUAAAUUAAAUCUAAUCAAAAUUUCGUACAUAAUACAAUUAACGAAGUCAAGAUAUUUUUUGAGGAAAUAUGUUUUAAUUCAUGGUGUAGUUUAAGUUGUAUUAGAAACUAAAAUAAUCUCUUCAUAUGUGUGUGAAUUUUUCAAGGUAUAAAUUUUUUUUGCUUUUGUUUCAAUACAACUAAAAUAAAUAGUUUACGUUAAAAAAUUUACACUUUAUAAAAGUUUAACCUUAUUUUAUUUUUUAUUGUUGUUAUAAAUUUCAUAAGUAGGAUAAUAUAAGGGUAGUAUUGGAACAAAAGUUUUAUCUUUCUUGUAUUUCCUCCAAAGGGGUUAAAAUGUUACAAGAAAUAUCAAUUCAAGAAAGGUAAGUGAGAUUUUAAAAAUCUCAGGGGAACUGAAUGAUAUUAUAAGAAACCUCAGGGGAGGUUUCUGAAAUUAUCCCAUGAAUUUUUCAACUCAUUAUAUUAAUUUGCUGCGAAUUUCCAUGUCUCUGAUUUCUUGUGAACAUCCAUACUAAAUGCAUGAUGCUAUCUGAUUUCUUCGAAUGGUUUCUAAUUUUUUUUUCCCCAUCUCGGUUUGAUUUGCAUUCCAUCGAAGAUGCAUCCCAUCUGCUUCUAAACAACCAUUACUCAUUAAUUUAACCUUAAUGAAUCAAAUACCUUCUAUUUAUAAAGUACACGCAUAAUAGAAAUCAGAAGAUCAUAAACUAAUCUAAUGAUAAUUGCAUAACUCUUGGAGCCAUGUAAUGCUAUGCAUAUAUAUAUAUAUAUAUAUAUAUAUAUAUAUAUAUAUAUAUAUAUAUAUAUAUAUAUAUAUAUUUAUAUAUAUAUAUUUGGUGGCACAAACGUAGUGUAAUAAUACACUACUAUUGUUGAGUUCAGUCAGUUGCCUUGCUGGUUUUUAACCACAGUCACGGCAGGACUCGUGAAUCGUGAUCUAACUUGGGCAACUCUUUCCUAUACGUUCUUGGGACGACUCUUCCAUCAGGGUCCACGGGUCCUAGAUAGCCCUUUUUUCUUUUUCUUUUGGUACUGAAAGGAAAUUGGGUCCUAGAUAGCUUUAUUAUUUGUUAACUUACAUCAGGCUUCUUAAGAUGCAUUUUCUAAUUAAGUGAGACAACUGAAAAAUGUUCUAACAAGUGGACUAAUAAAUCAUUUUGUGACGACAUGGAAUUAGAAGAUCAUUGAUAGGGUGUAAAUUGUUGGUUAUUUUAUUGUUAAUUUUCCCUUUUAUCCUUGCCAAAUAUUGUUUUAAUUAUUAAUAUUUACUUAUAUUUGGUAUUGGACCCAAUUUCAGAGAUUGAAGCAGAAAAUUACCAAAAAGGAGGGACUUGUUGGGAAAAUGCAGACUUCUAAGGGCUUCAACCUUUGGGUCCUUGAAUUGGUGGGAACCACAAGCUAGUGCAAGGCAUUUAGUCAUUUGGGCUUUUCAAAGAAAACAACGUAGAGAGACUUGGAACAACAAGUACUUUGGAGGCUUUGUCCACAUGUGUGGGGACCACAGGAAAUAGCUUUUAGGCUUCUUUCUUUUGGCUUUUUAAGGAAGACGUACAGAAGCAAAAAGGGAUCCCUAGUUUUAGUGUAGUUUUUAGUUUAGUUUUAGUUUCCUUUCUUUCUUUCUUUUGACUGGCCUCUGACACACGCCAGGUGUUCGACAAUAUUCCCCAACGGGAAAAACAUCUUUUAUUCCUUGCUUUCUAGUAAAAACCGCCAUGCCUUUGCAAUCCAUUACUUCGUGUGGUGAUUUAAUUAUGCGGCGUGGCUAAGCCUUCCUUCUAGUCAAGGGGACAACUGACGAUUUGGUUCGACAAUUAUUGUGAGAUCGAAUCUGUUUUAAUUAUUUUCUUCAUUUAUUGGUAUUUGUAUGUUCCUUGAUUUUAAUUGCUGUGGCCUUGUGUAUGAUUGAUUAGUGCGCAAUAAUUAAUUAUUCAUAUAGGCUAUUUUCGCUAAAUAGGGGUAAUUGAAUCCGUAAUUGUUCGUUAUCUCUAUUUCAGUAGCAACUGGCGUAAUUGGGUUUAUGUCAGGGGAAUAUACGAUCUAGCUUAAACAAACCCUCGUAGCGUGUUUGUUAGUUAGGAUUGGGCCUUUCUAAUUAUUAAUGCAAUCUAGAAAUUAAUUCCUACGGUCGUACCUAGGGUUGUUUUUUGGUUAGAGAAAUAACUAACGGUCGUACCUUAGCUAUCGAUAAAUUAAGGAAAGGUUGGUUGUUUAUCGCGUGCAUGACAACUAUAACCAAUCUAUUAAUAAAAGUUGGAAUUAUCUGCGAAUCAAUGAUCAGUGCAUGAACCAUUUCUGAAGUGUACCCUUGGCUAGAGUUUCUCUUAAUUAUUUCUUUGAAUUAAUUACUUUCUGCAUUUAAUUUGUUUAAUUGACAUUUAAUCUCAAAACCCCCUAUACUUUGAACUCUAGAAGAAACGAACUAUCUCCAGUCCCUGUGGAUUCGACCCUGCUCACCGCUAUAUACAAAAUCUGUAUUUUUCUUGAGUAGGUAAUUAUUAUUGCACAGGCUGACGACCUGUCAAUCAUCUUGUCCUUUUUCCGGUGGACCGACAAAAUGCUAGCUUCAAAUUAGGACUAGGUUUUUCUUGAAAAGGACUAGGUUUGGGAUUGGGGCCAAAGAUAUUACUUAACCAAGUAAACAUUCCCCUACCUAGAAUAUAUGUUGCUUAAAAGACCAAGACAAACCUGCAAGACGUUCUUUCAUAAUAUGCUAGCCGGACGAAGUUCGUCAAAGUUCCUCUGUCUUUAAUAUACGAAUUAUCCCACACGAGGGUAGGCAAUUAAAUGGUGGACAGAUAUUACAAGCUAAAUUAUGCCUUAAACAUGUAAACUACCAAUCAGUCACAAAUGUUACCCAAAAAAAAAAGGGAAAAACAAAAGAUGUGCAUGGAAAAGCAAAAAGCAAAGACAUACAAUUGUUUAUUACUUUAUUAACUUUUAAUGAUCAAAGACCAUAAGGGUGGAUGUAUGAGAUAAGCCAAGAGCAAAUGCAAAUGAUUGCACUGAGUACUCGACUUUAGUCACCAUGAGAGUUUUUACAAAAACCCAAGCCUUUACUUUGAGAGUCUUGAAGUAUAUAUUCCAACUUUAGCACAGCAUAAGACAAAAUCAAACACAAAAGAUUCCUCUAUUUAACUUUUUUUAACUUUAAGAUUCUUGAAGUAUUGUACUUGAGUCAGAAGCUUAAGAUAAGGAUAAAAAAAAACAUGAAGACUACAACGUCGAAAUUGCGAGCGAUUAUAUAUAUUACAUAUAGGGCAGUUGUGAUUGCUAGCUAGAGGAAAUAUAGGAGCUCAAACCACGCAUUGGUAACAGGUUAGAGUUAAACUUAAUUGCUUGUUAAACUUAAUUAUUAAUCUAAAACAGCGGUACUAAUGAUUUUUUCCUUAAUUUCAGCAAGAGAUCGAUUGUAUUACUCAACACAAACAAAGAUCAUGUCCACCGACGCCAGAACUGCCCGAAUUUCUAAUUGUAUCCGUGAAAAGCUUUCUGGGCUAUCAGAUACUGACAUUAGGGUGGCAUCAAAUGAGCGAUGCAUAUUCAAGGUCCGUGAGAGAAUACAAAGUCAAAUUGAAGGGCCAUAUGAACCACAAAUGGUUUCAAUCGGACCUUAUCACCGCGGUAAGCCGGGGUUGCAAUUAAUGGAAAAGUAUAAGCUGAUUUACUUGAAACAGCUUCUUGAGCGAACAGGUGAGGAAAAUCUAGAGAUUUGCGUUGUGGCCAUGGCAAAUCUUGAAGGAGUAGCUCAGAGGUGGUACUCCGAUGAAAGGAUCAGUCAUGAUGGUGACGACGGCUUUGUGGAGAUGAUGCUUCUUGAUGGCUGCUUCAUACUCGAGCUGGUAUGGAAAAUUAAUCACCCCACACAAUCUACAGAUGGCAUUUUAUCGGACGCACUAUUCAUAGACCUAUUAGGAAUCGAAAAUCGAGUCCCUUUCUUCAUCCUUGUUGAAUUGUUUCACAAGACCAACUCUAACUCUGGUGCCAGCAGCAAAUUUAAUGAUUUGGCUCAGCGUCUAACUGAUUUCGUAAUUCUUGCUUGUGACAGCAAAGAGAAUGAAUAUGUUGUUGAUGAUGGUCAGGUCAUUCAUCUACUUGACCUUGUCUACAAAGCCCGGAUCUCUUCGUUUGCUGCAAAAUUUAUUGCUCUUGGUGCCAGGAUUGGUAUUCCGGAGGAUGAUCCUUUCUCACUGUAUCAUAUAACUUCUGCCAGUGAAUUACAAGAAAUUAAUGGGUUGAGUUCGAAUAGUGGGAAGGACCAUGGCUUGAGAUUACUUGGAAAUGGUGUGGUAAAAAUCCCUCGUUUUAUGGUUCAUGUUGAUACAGAACGUCUGCUCAGAAACUUAAUUCGCUACGACAGCAUUACACCAGCCAUCAUGAGGGCACGAGGAGCAUGUCUAUGAUUAUGCAAUUAAUGGAAGUCUCAUAAAUUCUGCUACGGACGUCGAGGUGCUGCGUCGCAUUAAAAUUAUUAUCACAAGUUGAAUGAUGAUCAGGCUGUGUCUACCAUGUUUCGUCGGGUCAGCGGAGGUAUUUACCCGGCAAAGGCUUUGUUACGCCGGUGUAUUCAAUGAAGUGGAAAGUAUGCCAAAGCCGUUGGCAUAUCUGGUGGACGAGCUCAGGAGGACCUACUUCAACACCCCCUGUGUCCCCCAUUUCAUUUGUUGCUGCAGUUGUUGCGCUUAUCCUCACUUCUCCAGACCUUUUAUGCCAUACGGCCUGCGGGAAAAAAUUAGUAGUAACAAAACUACUAAACUAGUCAUAUCGGCCACAUGCUAAGUGCGUUUGUUUGGUCUGAAUAUUGUUUGUCUUUCUUUUUCAACACAACCUAAAAGAUUCCAUCACAUCCAUAGUUGUGCUAUCAGUCAAGUUUCUUGCAUUUUCAGUAUCUCAUGGAGAAGAAAUAAAAAAUGUGUGUUUGUUUGGUUGUUAAUAAUGUAAUGUUUUUAUUAAUAUUAAUCCUCGAUAAUAUACUCUGCUUUCACUGUUUCAAUGUCAUCAGUUCGCCUGGCUUGGUAUCAUCAGUUACCCAAUAUGACUUUUUCUAAAGUUAUUUUAGUUCACAGAUUGUGCAAGUAUCUCUAUUUUGCUGCAUGCAUGGAAUCAUUUCGAUCAGAGGCAGGAGAAAAUUGAAGAAUCCUCAAAGUUUCUGCACUAGCUCCUUAAUUUUCUAAUGUCUCUAGUUGCUUUUCGUAAAGAUUUACACCAGCUCACUUCUCCAAUAAACAAAUCUUGAUACAAUAAUGCUACACCAAAACGAAAGCUGAUAUAUACUUUCUUUUCUUUUUUUUGGAGCAAAGGCUGAUAUCUACUUACAACUCUAAAAAAAGAAGAAUAAUGAAACUACCUAUUUUUUAGAUUUUGUGUUUGUUUUCCAUAUAAACACAUGCAACCCUAUACAAAAAAGUAAUCAGUUAGAUGUUGACAAAUACACGCUUAGUGGGCUAAGUUUUCAAAUGCUCUCCCGUCCCAUUAAAAGUGUCAUCCUUUUCAUUUUAAAAUGUCACGAAAUAUUUGUCAUGUUAAAAAAGUUAGAAUACCUUUUAGUCCUUCUUUCAAUAGAACUUUUCUUUUUAAUCAUAUGCAUAUUAUCAUUCAAAUUUAAAUUUAAAUUGAAAAAAAGUACAAACAUCACAAUCAAAUCACUAUUUUUAAAAAGUUAAAUUCUCGAAACAUGACUAAAUAAUUGGACGGAGGUAAUAAUGUACAUGUUUGAAUCGAACAAGAAGGGCAACACUGAAAGCGCAAUAUUUGCUAGGAAAAGAAAAAAUAAAUAAAUGAAAGCAUUUACAUGUGCGGAAAUACUAAAAAUUAGGACAAAAAAUACUAGUUGGGAAGGUGCAAGCUCCAAUUUUCUUUAGACGUAUUUGGAAGUACUCCUACAAAAUAUAUACUAGUUGGGAAGGAAAUCCGACCCUAAUUUAUUUUACCACAAAACACAGUCAACAAGAAACUACAGCCCGUUUUCAAUUUCCAGAGAGAGAGAGAUCUUAAUUAUAGCAUUUGGAACGGAAACGCUUAAAAAAUGAAGAACUAAGCCCACCCCAUUUGUCUUCUUAUUGUCUCUCUGCUAGCCAUGCAACAAAGUCCAAUAUAAAACGAAAAUUGGAUGUCAAUGACCAAUAACAUAUUAGCGACAAAUUGAGUUCAACUGCAUUCUCAUCGUUAAAUUUCCCACUUAACAAAGAAUUACUCCUACCGAGAUUUCUGAAGAAAAUUAAGGCCUUUAUGUAGACCCCAAUUUUUAAUUUUUAUUUUUAAAAGUCUGACUAAGAAUGUUGCAAUUAUAUUCCUCAGAGAUGGCCUUGGCCUAGAAAUCUAGAGUACAACGAUCAAAAAACAUAAAUUCACCCACCCGUACAAGUUUUAUUUAUUUAUUUUUUUUGCCUUCUUCACGAAAUUAGAUCAACAAAAAGGGUUGUCCCUCCUUCCUUAAUCUAUGAACAGGAGAAUAACAUCGAAGCCAUACUAACAAUGUUUUUUAAUUCCUUCCCCCAAAAAAGAAAAAUUUUGGCAGUUUUUUCUUUUAAAAAUUCUUUAAACUAAAGUCAUGUUGCAUCAUAUUUUUCAUACCUCAAAUGGAUUGUGGAUCAUUCCAAUUUAAACCCUUCAAUUUCUUUUGUAAUUUCCACUUUUCAGCAGGAGUAUUUGUUUUAGAUAUUUAGGGUCAGAAAAGGAUGCCAACUUGAGCUAGUAUUUACCUGCAUUAGUCUAAUGAAAAUGAACAUAUAGAAAUCCAUGCAAAAUAACUAUAUACGCUGCAUAAAACACCAACGAGAAACUUAAACUGUCUCAAAAUGCAAUGGAGAUAGCUGAUAAUCAAAACUCGAUUUAAGCACGAAGAUACCCAGUGAACCGGAAUUAUGAGCAAGCACUUCCAAACUACUUUGAUCCUUGUUGAUUGGUUAGGUUUGCUAAAUGUUCAAGAAGUUAAAUGAACACAAAAAGCUAUGACAUGCCACUACUAAGAAUGCAACGCAUAUUUAAGAAUUAACUGAAGCCUUUUCAAAAUUCAUCUAUAUGGGCAGAAAAUCUUUCCAUGUACUCAUACGCAACCAUAAACUCCACGAGACCACAAGGCAGAAUAUUGGUAUCAAGAUAUACCUCACCUACUGAAUGAAGGCUUCUUGAUGCGAUAAGUUACCAUGUGAAAUUAAUUAUUUGUUCACCAGAACUCUGUAAAGUAAUUAAAGUUAACAUUCCAAUGCAAAACACGAAAAGUGUUACAUAUAUUCCUAGCGUUGUCUUCCACUGGGCUAUUGGUACAUUGCUUGCUGUGAAAUCAUGAAAAGUGUUUGUAGAGUACAGCACAAACCAAAAUCACACACACACACAAUUACAAACUUGCUACUAGGUAUCCGAUUAAAUAAAGAUAAAACUGGAUCUCAAACUCGUAAAUUUCAACAACAUUACUAUGCAUAAAGAAUUAGAGUCUCGAAAAAUGCGGGGGGAGUAUUUAACUUUAUUUACCAUGACUGUCUUUACAAUCUAUUAUAUACUAAAUUCAAAUGCUCAAGAAAAGAAUAAAAUAAAGAAUUGGAAACCUUGAAGAGUAGGACGUUGCCAAGAAACAAUAUUCUCAAGGAACAGCGAGUACAUAUACAAGGCAUGCACGGGCAGUUUUGAUUGCUAGAGUGCAUAGAAAAGUUGAAAACCUUGGUGCAAGGGCUAACAUGUGCUGACAUUCUUCAGUGUUACUAACAGGUUUGUGCGUGUAUUCGUCUUCUGUAAUCAAGUGCUUUCUUUUUAUUUAAACCUAAAUCCUAGUUGCAUGCUGAUAGAUAUAUGUUUUUUAAUGAUUGCCACAUACUCUCUCUCUCUUGCUCAUGAACCAUUGGCAAAUCUAAUUAACCAUGGCAGCCGAGACUGCCCCCCCUCCUCCGGGGGGGGCUGUCGGCCUUUCCUCCCCCUUUAGGAAGAAGGCCUUCUCUGCGUUGUUUGAGCCACAACCGACGUCCGAGGUAGUACAAGUUCAAGCGAGGAUGACAACACACCGUGGAGAGCCUGCGGUGGUCUUCAGUGCGGCUGACAUAGCAGUGGUUGCUGCUCCAUUCCGCUACACUUUGGUUGGGAAGUUCUCUAAGGGGCGGCCGCUGCUGCCUGACCUGAGGAAAUUCUUGUCGACUCUUGAUUUGAAGGAUACGGCGACUGUGGAUUGUUAGAUGCUAGGCACGUGUUGCUGAAAUUUCAAUGUGAAGCGGAUUUCCUUCGCGUUUGGGGACGAAGUUUGUGGUACGUGAAUGGAUCCCCCAUGAGGGUUUUAAGUGGACAUCUAAGUUCCAUGUGAACAGAGAGUCUUCCCUUGUUCCCGUCUGGUUUAGAUUGCCCAAACUCCCAUUCACUUAUUUGCUAAGCGAUUCUAUUUCAUCUUGUCUCCUGCUUGGGUACGCCGCUAUUCGUGGAUGCGGCUACGUCUUCGUUUUCGCGACCGAAUGUGGCACGGGUAUGUGUUGAGGUGGAUCUACUGAAAUCGAUUCCGUCGAGGGUGUGGGUCGAUAUGGGAGAUGGGGAUGGUUUUUGGCAGGUUCUUAUCCCUGAGAACCUCCCUAAUUAUUGCAGCCACUGCUAUCGUCAAGGGCAUGGCGAGGAUCAUUGCCGUGUGAAGCACCCUGAUUUGCGCUUGCACAAGACGCGGGAGGAUCUGGUCACAGGGGUGAUGGGCGCAAAGGUUCGCUCCUCACCAGCUAACACGCAGCGUACAGAGGAUGAGGAGCGAAGGGGGGUGAGUGAAGGAGAUGGGGUGAAAUCUGAUGCGACACAGAAUUCGGGUAAGAGCCAUUCCGAGGGGUCACUGCACGUUGACACCCCUACUACUGCUGUGGGAGAUGCAUCAUGCUUACCGAACCAGCUUGGAGGGUCUACGGUUGUGCUUGUGGAGAAGGGGAUAGAGGCUGCUGCUGAUGCCAUUCUUCACGCUAUGGCUGACCGCGUGAUUGGCGAACCAGAGGGAGUGCUGGAAGGGACUGCUAAUACGGGAGAAUUGGCGCUAGUGGAGCUGAACGUGGUAGCAGGCCCAGGCAUGAUGGAGCCCAUAGAGGGGGCUGCUGUGCCAGGGCAAAACUGCAACGAAAAAGCUGUCAAGCAUGACCAAAGGGAGGGACCAUGCGAUCACAUUGCAGCCCACGACCAAGGAAAUGAUUGUGAGGAGUCCCAUAUUCUAGUGGAGCAAAUAUUGGGAGAUGGUCAGCAGCAAAUGGCCGACAAUACUUCAAUUAGAAAUCAAAAUGCCGAAAAUUCUAAUUGGAAUAAAAGUGAUGGGUCCCAAGCUUUUGAGAAGCAGAAUUUGGGAGACGAUAAUCAUAAAAAAGUCGACACCACUGACCCCGACAUUCUUUAUGUUGCCUUGAAUGGGGGUGAGGAUGUACCACCCCUUGUGGUUCCAGGAACAAGUACAAGAACAAAAACGAAAACCACGGUGCCUCAAAAUCUAGUGCCACCUUUCAAAGAUGUAUUCGAAGAGGUUAAAUGGGAAAAAUUACAUGGUACACUUUCCCGACCACAUCAAAUUAGUUUUAUUCGUUCAAGUAUAACAUGCAAUAACGACAAAAAAGAAGAAGAAGAAGACGAUUCACAACACGACAAACACAAAGAUCAAGACCAGAAUCUAGUACAACAGCAAUUUACCCAAGUGAUUUCAAAGAAAGCGAGGAAACAGCUUUCAAAAAAAGGUAAAACAAUGCAAACACGUCAAGAUCUCAAACCAAAUUCCAAUGCUCACUCGCAGUCACAAAUGUGGAGCACCCUCAUGUGGAUGAUUUCUUUGGAUUGAUCUGUUAUGUCUUUACAAUUCCUUUAUAUGUGUGUUAUAUUUUCCUACAUUACAUGUUUCUUUUCUUUAACAGAGGUCAGGUUUGGCCCCCCUCUAAUUUGAUGUAUUUUUUUCUCGGUUUUUAAUAUAUUAAGGGAUGGUAUCCCUAUUUAAAAAAAAAAACAAAAAAAAAGAUAUAUGUGUUUAAAUAGAUUUUGUUAGCUUAACGGAACGUCUUCUAUGUUUACGCCAAAAAGUAAAGCUUUCUAUUUGUCUUUAUCAUUUAUAUACAUAUCUAUAUAGCCAAUCGAGCCAAUCGAGCCAAGAACUAACAGAGCUACCAUGCCAAAGAAAAUUUUCAAUUUUCUACAUAGAAUUAUUUUUUAAAAAACCACAAAGCUUUAACUCUGUAUCUACCAAAAAGGGAUUAAAUGUGAAAAAAAUUCAAAAGCGGUGUCCAAACACUCCUUUAGUCUAAUCGAAUUUGUAUAUCUACUAAUCCUUUAUGUAGUGUUUUUAGACUUCCCUUCCCUGUAGACUAAGUUGCCCUUAUAUAUUUGUUAGCCCCAUAUACAAUCUCAUUAGAUUUUUACUCCCUAUAAAAUAGAAUAUAUUAGUUAUAGGAAUGUUAUCGUACUCGGUAAAAUAUAUAUAUAUAUUUAUAGGAAAUUUUUAAAAAGUUUUAAUUUUAUCCCAUUAAUUUUGGUCGGGAAUAUAUAUAAUUUUUUGAAUUAAUCAUGCACAUAAAGGUUGAGCCUUUACUUCUAGAAAUUCAUUUCGGCCAAUUGAACCUUCUCAAACUGUUCUUGCUAAAGUCAACUCAUGAAGUUGGCAUUACGCGGGAAUCAUCUUCGAUAUGAACACAUAACCUAUGCAAGUACGUAUAUUCUUACAUCUUUUUCUCCAACUUUGGUGGCGGCAUCUUCAUGACUCCUAACAACAAAACUAGCAGUGUAUGUUUGGGCUUCCCACAUGGGAGUCAGAUCAUUCAUGUUUCCUCCAUCUUUUGAUACGAAGUCUGGAAACACAGAACGGUAAUUAGUUAACCACUGACAAUUUCUGAGUUUCAUAAACUUUUCUUCUUGGUCUUUAAUUUGCAUACAAGAUAGAAAAUCCAACAUAUAUGUCCUCAUUCUGAUUCUUAUAAGUAACAGGAACAGUUUUCCAGCUAAUACCAUACAUUCUUGGUAAAUGGAAUUUGACAAUUUUUUUUCCACAUUUUUAAGGUACGGACUAUACAGGCUCAAAUUAAGUUUCUAAGCAUGAAUAGAUUCCAUGUAUAUGUACCAUCUUGUCGAAGUGUUGAUCAUCUGACUUCUAUGCUUCAUAGCUUUCAUAUAUAUCUUGCAAAUUAACUUUGGUGUAUGAAUAAGAUUUUCCUUUUCUUUAUCUAGGAGUGCUUCUGCAUUCGAUUUGGUUAGGAACUAAUUUUGAGACUCUUCUUUAUUAUCAUUCAGAGAAUUUUAAUCUACUAUCCGAUCAGAAGGUAUGUUGUGGUAUAGGUCAACUAUACCCAAGAAACAACAAGAUUCACCAGGCACUCAAAAUGCACAAAAAAAAAAGGAAUUUUGUGAUAGUCAUGUAGCGCUUGGACCUCAAGAUUCAUUCCAAUAGGAAUCAACCUAAAUGCUUAAAUUUGCUGAUCCUUCUUGAUGUUUUCUGCUGCAGCAAUUUUUCCUCUUGUUUAUACGUACUCAACAAAGAUGUUAGGAGACAUAUCUGUUCGCAUUGAUCGCAUUGAUCAAAUGCGUUCUGGCCUAUCGGAUACACCAAGGACGCAAUCGAUCUUCAAAGUCCAUAGUAAACUACGAUGUGAAAAUGAAAUGGCAUAUGAACCACAAGUCGUCUCCGUCGGACCUUAUCACCGCGGUAAGCCUAAACUGAAAAAGAUGGAGGAGCAUAAGGUAAGGUACUUGAACAUGCUUCUUCUUAGAAGAAAAGAGUCAAGUGCUAAGAAAUACGUCGAAGCUAUGGCUGAACUUCAAGAAGAAGCUAAAAGUUCUUACGCAGACGAAAUCAAUCUUUCAGAUGGUGAUUUUGUUGAAAUGCUAUGCCUUGAUGGCAGCUUUGUCAUCAUGUUCUUGAGGAAACUUUAUUAGCUUGAAGAAUACGACAAGAAUGACCCCAUUUUUCGGAUGUCUUGGCUAAUAUCAGCCACUAAGAGAGACCUAAUAUUAUUGAGAAUCAGUUGCCCUUUAUUGUCCUGCAAAAACUGUUUGAUAUGACCAAGUUGCAGGACGAAGAAGAGAAGCUUAAUGACCUAGCUAUUCCCUGUCUGUCUUCGCUCAUGCCUGGUUCUUAUCCAGGUCAAAGUUCUUAUUCUACAAUCGCUGCAAGUCAUAGGGCUGUUCAUCUUCUUGACCUCAUGCACAAAAUUUGACUGCCUCAUUUUCCAACACACUUACGUGUUCCAAACGUGAACCGACUAAACCUUAUUGCAGAAACCAGUUAUUGAGCUACUGUCUAGUGGAACCAAGUUCGAGAGGGCAAAGAAGAGUGUACCCUUGCUCCGUAUCACUUUCAAAAAUGGUGUAGUUAAAAUCCCUCCUUUAUUUGUGGAUGAUCAUACAGAAUGCAUCUUCAGAAACUUGAUUGCUGAUGCGACUGCCGAAGUAAAGAUCCGAACUGAACUGGGUCUGGAGAGCGAGCUGGUGAGGCGCCCGACCUGCACGUGAACGAGCUACGGGGCUAAGUCCCCUGUAGCAACUCCGACGAUCAAGUCAGAAUGAAUUCGUAAGUUACCGAGUGGAAUUUGCACUGUGAAUAGCGUACCUUGUGUUUCCCCUUCGCGUGGUAUUUAUAGAGCCUCAGGUUGUAGUUUCCUGGUAGGACAAGGAGUCCUUAUUGGAGAGAGUUGGUUCCUAGGGCUCCAUGACCCAGAUCUGAAGACGCGGACUCCGCGGCCCAUCAGACCUCUCUGCCCGAGAGGCGGCGCCCGCAAGGGCCAGCGAGCCGACCUGACACUCCGGCCCAGCUCCUCCAGUCCGAGCUCAUGGGCCGGAUUGACGUGUGUGCGGACCGGGCCGACGUGCUCCUGGGCCCCACUACACUAGCCCCCCUUGUAGUCUAGAGUCAUCGAACGUGCGCAUGAAUCUAGCCGACUUUCUGGGCAUCGUGUCAGCUCGGUGUGGGGCCCUCGCCUGGGAGUGGUGCACACAACCAUCACGUCGGUUCGUGUCUGUCCUCUCAACCGUCACGUCGACCAGUUAUGACGGUUAGGAACGGUUCCCCAUAAACGGUUCAAUUAAUGCGCGCCCCUUCAUUUUCCCGCCCUGCGGAUCGCCUAUAAAUAGGCCUCUUGGGCGUCAUUUUCAUUCCUCCUUCCCCACUCUAUCAGUUCGCUCUUUCCAUCCUUAGCUCGCUGCUUUUAUCCUUUUCCCUUCGAGAACCCAUCGGGUCGCCCUACCUUAGGAGCCCAGAGUCAGCUCGUGCAUCACCUAGAUCAGCCUUUCGUCCGAUCUCCUACUUCCACCAGUAAGUUCCCCUUUCCUUUUAUGUCUUCUUACAAUUCUGAUAGUUCUGACGUUACCAGUUCGGCCCCUAGGCACAGAGCAGCUAGCCCAUACUCCUAGAUAGCCCCUCUCCCGACCCUUUAAGUUCUUCUCCUUCCACUUCAUCUGGGUCAGGACCCGCGUCUUCUCCCAUCCAAUCUCCUGUCCAAAUAAUGAGCCCAGCCGAGCAAACUGCCCAACCUCUAGUCGGGGCUGCGGAACAGGCAGCUCCAGCUCAGAUGGCCGCAGGGACCUCGGGGGACCUAGUGGCGACUUUGGAGAGGUCGACACUAUCCCCCCAGCCCUGGGACAGAAGGAUGUUGACGGGCUGGCCGAAAAAUAUGAAAUCCCAACCCAGUUUGAACCUAGGGCUGCCCAACCGGGGAGGUCGCCAGCCGACCUCCUCCCGGUUUCGUGGCGAUCUACAGGGACCAGCUGAUGGCUGGCCUCCGCCUGCCUAUUCCCAACUUCUUCUUCUUCAUCCUCACCUUCUGGGGCAUCCGCAUAACUCAGGUCAUCCCAAAUGGUGUUUCGCUCCAUUAUAGGCUUUUUCAUCCUCUGCGAGCACUAGAAAUUCCCUUUUCCCAUGACCUGUUCCAAGCCUUCUUCCAGAUGAAGGUCAGCGGGAAGGUGCCCGGGUGGUUCUACUUUGCCCGUAGAAGUGGAGCAAAAACCCCCACCCGCGAGCUGUUCACGGGGGCACCUUCCUCCAUCAAAGACUGGAAGCGUUACUUCUUUUUUGUGAAGAACCUGGGCUUUCCCCCUCUGACCUGGAGGGCGGAGACUCAGGUUUCGAAUCCACUUCCAGAUCCGCUCCCUGUAGCCGAGCUCAGCCGCCUACUCAGCUCAGACGAGAAGCUGGAGUGAAAGAGUUCAGCAAUGCCCAGCUUUGGGUGGCGGGGCUGAUCCGAGCUAACCCCUCAGAUCCCUCGCCAGAGAAUAGGCCGCUCUCGCCAGACGAGCUGACCUCUUGUAAACGACCUGGCCUUCCUUUUCUUUCUUCUCUUUGUUUUAUGUAUCUACUGACCUUCUGGUCUUCUGUUUUUUGCAGUGAAGAGGUUUUCUUCCCUUCUAACCAUCGGAGGAGCCAGCAAUCCAGGUGCUACUACCCAGCCCUCCUCAGCCAUUCCAGCCAGCUCGGCACCAGGUCCAACGCCUCAGCCAGCUCCUGCCCAAUCCGCCAAGGCUGUCGAGGCUGGGAAAAAGAAGAAGAAGAAGACAACUGCAAAGAGGACUAGAGUGGAGACGACCUCCUCCCAAUUCAGGAAGAGAGGUCGACGCUAAACCUGGUCAGGGCGGUCACUACGGCGGAAUACCGCCGAGGAGCAAGCUGGUGCUGGCGCUCCUCCUAAUUUAUGGCAGCGCCAGAGCUCCACCCUGCUGUUCGACCCGCAGACGCGGCUGAUCACGCACCAACACCCAUGCACUUCUGCCCCAGUGGAAGCUUUCCAUAAACGACCGAGCUCAAUUCCCUGAGGUGGCCAGGGAGCUUGCUCAUGGGGCCAUCCUUCCACGGGACCACAGCUUGAUUAAGGCCAUGGAGGCAUCUGACCUCCUCGACUACUAUUACACAGGCGCGGCCCAAGUGAACUUGGUUGGGUCCGAGCUGGCCAAGCUGACAGGUGUCGUGCCUGUGCAAUAAUAAAUACCUGCUUAAGAAAAAUAAAUUUUCUGUGUAUAGUAGUAAGCAGGGUCGAAUCCACAGGGACUGGAAAAAAAAUUUGAUUCUUUUUAAAUUCGGGACACGGGGGAUUUUUAUCAGAAAUAAACUAAAAAUACUUAAACAAUUUAACUAAAAAUAAUUAAAUAAUUUAACAAAAAAUAAAUAAAUAAUUAAUACAAAUGUAAAUGACAAUUAAAUAAAUAAUAAAUAAAUUCUAGCCAAGGAUACAACUACGCAGACACAGUCCAUUCAUCCGAUCAUUGAUGCAAAGAAGGUUCACUUAAUUUAAUUAAUAGGCUAGUUAUAGCCGCCGAUAAACUCUAAAUACCAGCUUUUCCUUAAUUUAUUGAUAACCAAGGUACGACCGUUGAUUACUCUAACCAGAAAAUACUCCUAGGUACGACCGUAGGAAUUAAUUUCCUAAUUGCAUUAAAAACUAGAAAAGCCUAGCCCAAAUUAAUAACACGCUACGAGGGUUAUUUAAAUCAGAUUGCAUGUUCCCCUAGUAUGUGAAAAUACUAAUUGUCACUAAUAUUAAUCAACUAAACAAUUACGGAUUAAUUUUGAUUAAUUUGACAAGAGAUUAAAAAGUCAAAUUGCACAUCGGGCCCUUGAUAUCCAAUUAACAAAAUAAUCCAUGGAAAUUAAAACAGAAAACAUGCAAAUAUUAACAAAUUAAGGAACACGUAAAAAUUAAUUAGAUCUCACAGAUAUAUGGGACUGCGUCGUCGCGUUGAUCCUUGACUAGAGGAGAAAAUUAGCCACGCCUCAUAAGAAAAUUCCCACACAAUUCAAUUGAAUUUAAAGACAUCAUCUUUCUUCGAUAAUUGAGAGAGUGAAUAACAAAGCUUUCGGAAGAGAAUAAGAAAAUUGCACACUAGAACUCAACAAGCCAAAACAACUCCUUAUUCUCUCCCCGGAACAUCCCUCGGAGAGAAAACUAAAACUCCUCUUCCCAGACGGAAGAGAAGAAGAAAAACUAACUCCCCAAAUGUGCGGCUCUCCCCCCGAAUAAAAACAAGCCAAUUCCAAACUUCACUCCAUGCUCACAAAAGAAAACAUUCCUUCCCUACCUAAUCAACUCCACCGAAAUUAAAAGCAAAGCCAACUAUGGUUUGUCGGUUUUCUUUGACCAGGUGCACACUUUCACCAACAAGAAAGCAAAAUCACAAAUGUGCAAAGAAAGCACACUUUAGACAAUACAACUUAUUUGCGGUCCCACCAACUUUGACAUGUUGUCUAGCCAAAUUGAAUUCCCAAAUGCAAAUUCUCCAUUCUUCUACGUUGGUUGCACCAAAAUUGUGUAAAGCUUCACAAUAAUCUUCUCAAGAGGUUUCUGCUCCAAUUUCUGAAAUUAUAUCCAAAUACCAAAUAUAAAUAUAUAUUGACAAUUAAAGCAAUAUUUGGCAAGGAUAAAGAGGAGAAUUAACAAUAAAAUUACUAACAAUUAACACCCUAUCACAAGCGCUACGAGGGCCUCCUCCCCCUGAUGAGCGAGACGAGGGCGGCCAACGAGAAACUGCUCAGCCAGAACGAAGAAGCUGUGGCCGAAGCUGAAGGUCUGAGGAAGCAGCUCGCCCAAGCUCACUCCAACUUCGAACUGGAGCUAAAGAAGAACUCCGAUCUGACCUCUCAGCUGAAUGAGGAGCAGAAGAGGAGCGCCGAACUAUCUGCUCAAGUCGAGGCGGCUAGGACUGAGGGAGGCCAAGAGGGCGUGCGGGCCUUCCUCAGGUCGGAGGAUUUUAAGGGUGACCUGGCCAUCUUGAAUACCCCAAUGCUGCAACAUGGGUAUUCCCAAGCCCUGGAGGAGGUGCAAAAGCUGGGUCUGCCUGGGUUUGAUCUAGGCAAGUUUCCCAGCUACAACCCCCUGGCCGUGGAGCAGCUCGACCGCCUGGUAGAGGGCUACACGCGUGGACGGAAGUUGGCCGACCUGGUCGCCGAUCCUCAGCUGCCAGUGACCACUCCUGAAACCGAGCAAGAGGAAGAAGAGGCGGGAACUAGAGCAGGGCGGGAACUAGAGCAGGGCCUUAGGAUAGGAUCUGAACUGUCAGUAGGCAGUUCGUUUUGUAUGAGCUCUGCUCUUCCUCUGUGCAAUUUCUUUUGCGCGAGUUUGGCUCCCUCUUGUACAGUUUUAUUGAAUGAAAUGAAAAAGCCUUUCCUUUGCUUCAUACUUAGUCUCAAUUGCAAAAAUCGUCACAAAAUACAUCAGUUCGGCCCUAUGCCGACCUAAGGGAGCUAUUCUCUAAGACAAAGCAAUUUAUUAGCCAAGUACAUCAAUAAUAACGAAAAAUCUUGACCUUGGAAGGAACUGAUAACGCGCGAGUUUUAACGAAAAAUCCUCAAGUUGGAAUUGUGCCAGGUACGCGGGACCUCUUCCCCGCUGAGGUGAGUUAACUUGUAGUACCCAGCUCGAUCUGCUUCUUUUACCACAUAAGGACCUUCCCAAUUCGGAUCCAGCUUGCCUGUGCCCUGAAGCCGACUCACACUGUUCUUCCUCAAGACCAGGUCCCCCGGUUUGAAGGACACUGGCCUCACCCUAGCAUUGUAGUGCCGCGCGACCUGUCCCUUAUACUUAGCCAUACGUAUGGCCGCCUCUUCUCUCCUUGCCUCUAGCAGAUCCAAAUUGAGACGUAGCUCGUCCUCGUUGUCCCGAGCUAUGAAAUUCUGAAGUCUGCCCGAAGGAACGCCUAUCUCCGCAGGGAUCACCGCCUCUGCUCCAUAGGUUAGAACAAAAGGAGUUUCCUGGGUAGCAGUUCGGGGAGUGGUUCGGUAAGCCCAUAGUAUGGUUGGCAGUUCGUCCAGCUAGGGGUGGGCACGGGUCGGGUACCCGCCCCGAACGGCAAAAGGCUGACCCGACCCUAAGAUGUCGGGUCACUAUUUUUUUGACCCUAAUCCGCUCCGAUUGUCCUCGGGUACCCGAUCCUCGGAUACCCGAAAAAUAGGGGCGGGUCAUCGGGUACCCGCCCCUAUUUAAAGAAUGCAAAUUCUGCAUUCAUAAGAUGAACCUGCUGUAGCCUGUACGUCCAGAUGCUGGGGAGACUUAUUGUGAAAAUCAAAAGCAACCUUUCUAUUGUUAUUGCUUGAGUAAAAUCACUGGGCAAAAAUUCCAAAACAACAACUUAGUUAAAUCCCCCAUAAAUGAAUACUAUGCACAAAACCUAUGAGCUAAAGCCUGAAAGUUCAACUGAAUAGAUGUUGAACAACAAGAUAUAAAAUCAAAAGUCCUCAGAUUUGAUAGCUAUUUUAGGACUAUAUUUAAUCAAAAACCAUCAUUUGCAGUUUAAGGGCAGUUUAAGGUUACUAGCAGUGACAUUUAUCAAGCACUUUUGGUACCAUCUGUAUGGCAACUCUGAUAUGAUUUAUCAUCACAGCUAGAUAGAUAGAUAGAUAGAAGAUCAUCUGGAUCAAUGGAUGGAUGAAUGGAUAAAUGAAUGAAUAAAUAAAAAGGGUUAAUUACGCUUUGCUCCCCUGAGGAAAUCAGGCAAUGGCACCACAAAAGGCUAACAAUAAAUAGCAACCAAAAGAACUGCUCUUUUGCCACAAAAUUUUUGUCACGGGGCAAAAAUCAAGAAUUAUUUAAUAGAUAUACAUGAAAAGAAUAAAUAAUCUCAAUUAUAUAAAAAACUAAAAAGAAUCAAAUGCUUGAAAGCCACCACAACUAAAUAAGAAACUAAAGCAAUAAAUAUCCAAAAAUGCAAAAAAUUUCAAACAUAUUUCAUAAGAAGCCCUCAGAUCUCAUGGCUUCAAUGAAUCAUAGACGGAAUUUGACGGGUAAUUCAACAGAUGCCUUUUACAGAUCACCGACAAAAAAACCAGCCAAGCCAUGCACCAGUGUGUGUGUAUGUGUGUGUAUAAACUCAAGCAAUUUUCCCGGAGUAAAGAACAUAAACAAAAGGGCGGAGCCGCCGAGGGAGGAUUUUCAGCAGGGGAAAAUGAGGGAAGGCUUUAGCAGCGAGUCUAACCAUGGAGGCAAGGCUUCAAGAUCAGAUCAGGAGCGGCGCAAAGGGAUUGCCUGGACAGAGGUGGGUGGCGGCUAAUUUUUCCGGUGAAGUGCAAAGGCAACCGUUGAAUUUUAAACCCUGUCAAUCCCCUCACUAUUAACAAUUUUUUCCAUCAUUGGCUGCAACAGAAAAUUUGAGAAAAAAAACAAUACUAAUCAACAAAAAAUCAAAUGAUAAUACAUUAUAUAUAAAAUCAAGCAAUUUUCCCGGAGUAAAGAACAUAAACAAAAGGGCGGAGCCGCGGAUGGAGGAUUUUCAGCAGGGGAAAAUGAGGGAAGGCUUUAGCGGCGAGUCUAACCAUGGAGUGAUGGAGGCAAGGCUUCAAGAUCAGAUCAGGAGCGGCAAAGGGAUUGCCUAGACAGAGGAUGAACACAGGCAAAUUAUGUUGCACUAGAUCAGAAUGUCGGCUGAACUCUUUAGGUUAGGGUUAAUAACUUAUAAAAUUAUAAAAUUGCCCCUAUAUUUUUUAAUAGUUACAUAAUAUACCCCGGGUCGGGUACCCGCGGGUUUUUGCUUUUACGAUCCGUAUCCGUAUCCGAAUAUUCCGGGUACCCGACCCUAUCUGAUCCGCUGAGAGAAAUCGGAUCGGGUAUCCUAUUUUUCGGAUCGGAUCGGAUCGGAUCUCUCGGGUUUUCGGGUCAGCGGGUAUUUUUGCCCACCCCUACGUCCAGCCACCCAGUUCGGGCGAACUCCAUCCGCGUCUUCAAGCCUUGCAGGAUGGUUCUGUUGACGUUCUAGACCUGCCCGUUUGCUUGAGGGUGGCCUACCGAGGUGAAGUGCUGCCGGAUUCCGAGCUCCGAGCACCAGCUUUGGAGAGCGCCGUCAGCGAACUGGUGCCCGUUGUCUGAGACCAGUACAUGGGGUAUACCAAAUCGGCAAACGAUGUUUUUCCAGAGGAACUUCUGCACCGACCUGCUGCUAAUGGUGGUAAGGGGCUCGGCCUCCACCCAUUUGGUGAAUUAAUCUAUGGCCACCACCACAUGCUGAUAACCCCCAGGAGCUCGGGGAAACGGACCCAGCAGGUCGAUUCUCCAUUGGAAGAAAGGCAAAGGGCUCUGAAGAGGGAUCAUCUCCUGAGUUGGGGCGUGAUGGAUCGGCGCAUGCAGCUGGCAGGACUUGCACCGAGCCACCAGUUCGGCAGAAUCCAAGAAAAUGGUCAGCCAGUAGUACCCAGACAGCAUUCAUUUCUUGGCCAAAACCCUUGGACCGACGUGGUUUCCACAGAUACUUUCAUGCAACUCACGCAGGAUGUAGUCUCCUUCCUCUGGAGUUACGCAUCUCAGCCACGGGCGGAGGUAGGAUUUCUUGUAAAGUACCCCAUUCGAGAGCUCGUAUCCCCGCGACCUGAGGAUGACCCUUCGCGCCUCCACCCGGCUUGGAGGGAGCUCUUCGCUGCUAGGUACCGUACGAUGAGAUCCAUCCAUGAGCUCGUUAUUUGAAUAACAGAAGCGUUUACCUGGUCGUACGCCCGAUUUCUGACGAUUUCCACCAAGACUUCUUUGUUCAACGUACCGACCGAGGUGGAAGCUAGCUUGGACAGAGCAUCCGCUCUCUUAUUUUGGCUUCGCGGGACCUGCUUGAGCGUGAAUAAUUUGAACUGAGCUCUCAGCUCAUGCACUUUGGCGACGUACCUUCUCAGGGGCUCUUCCUUAACCUCGUAACCCCCCGACCUGGUUUACUAUCAUCUGUGAGUCGCUGUAGACUUCUAUUGACUCGGCCCCCAAUUUCCGAGCUAUCUCCAUCCCCGCGACCAGGGCCUCGUACUCGGACUCGUUGUUAGAGGCCCUGAAAUCAAACCUCAAGGCGUAGGCCAGUUCAUCCCCCAUAGGGCUAGUCAAGAGAAGCCCUGCUCCGCAUCCUUCCUUGCUUGAAGAUCCAUCCACGAACAGCGUCCAGGUCGGGAUGGACUGAUCUGCCUUUUCGGCGUCUUGGCCGACUUCCACAGCAUUUCCGACCUGUUCGGCCUCCGCUGUGCUCAACCUAUCCUCGGCUUCCUCAGUAGCCUGUAUGACCACGGCAGGUUUUUCGGCCUGCUUGGCCUCAACUGCACCUACGGUCUGUUCGGCCUCGGAAGUCUUAGUGCCUUUCAUGACCUCGACAGCUUCUCCGGCCCGCCGAGCCUCAGCUGCGUCUUGGGUCGGUCCGGACUUUGCGGCCUGCGCGACCUUGGCAACUCCUCCGGCCUGCUCGGCCUUGGCUGCGUUUCCGGUCAGCUCGACCUGCGAUCCCUGUUGUCCAAAGGAAACCCCUUCAGCUAUGAAAUCUGCCAAUGCUUGGGCCUUAAUGGCCGUGCGAGGAUGGUAGCUGAGAUCGUACUCGGACAGCUCCACAGCCCAUCUUACCAUUCUUCCUGAUGCAUCAGGCUUUGAAAGGAUUUGCUUGAGAGGCUGAUCGGUCAUAACGACCACGGGAUGAGCUUGAAAAUACGACCUGAGCUUCCGGGCCGCGUGAACUAAUGCCAAAACAUACUGCUCAACCGAGGUGUACCUUGGCUCCGCGCCCUACAGAGCUCGGCUGACAUAGUAUACGGGCCUCUGAAUUUUGCCUUCUUCCCGAACUAGUACCGCACUGAUUGCCUCCUCCCCCGCGGCCAGAUAAAUAAACAAGGUCUCUCCUUGUGCGGGAGAGGUCAAGGCCGGCAACCGAGCGAUGUGGGCUUUUAGUUCGUCAAACGCUCGUUGGCAUUCGGGUGUCCACUCAAACUGGGGGCCUCUUCGCAGUGCUCUGAAGAAGGGGGAACCCCGAACUGCAGAUUUCGACAAGAACCUGUUCAGGGCAGCCAUCCUGCCAGCUAGCCGUUGGACCUCUUUUAUAUUUCGAGGUGGAGCCAUGUCCAUUAUAGCUUUUAUCUUGUCGGGAUUAGCUCUUACUCCGUCCUUGGAUAUCAUCUACCCAAGGAACUUGCCCGACCUGACCCCAAAAGUGCAUUUCUUGGGAUUCAGCCGCAUCCGCGAGCUCCGCAGGACGUUGAAGAUCUCCCUGAGGUCGCUAAUGAACUGCUCCUGAGUUCGGCUUUUUACCAGCAUGUCAUCUACGUAUACCUCCAUGUUUCGGCCGAUCUGGUUCCUGAACAUCUUGUUGACCAGUCGCUGAUAGGUCGCGCCAGCGUUCUUCAAUCCAAAUGGCAUGGUGGUAUAACAAUACGUGCCGUAUUCGGUGAUGAAGGCAGUCUUCUCUUGAUCCUUCUCGUCCAGAGCUAUCUGGUGAUACCCUUUGAAGGCAUCCAAAAAGCAGAAAAUCUCGUAUCCAGUAGUUGAGUCGACCAGCUGGUCGAUGCAGGGGAGGGGGUAACAGUCCUUCGGACAAGCUUUAUUCAGAUCGGUGAAGUCCACGCACAUCCGCCAAGCUCUGUCUUCCUUUUUCACCAACACAGGGUUAGCCAGCCAGGUCGGAUAGUAGAUCUCUUUCACAAUUCUGGCUUCCAACAGCUUGCCUACCUCCUCCUUGACGACCUCGUUGCGCUCAGGAGCGAAGUUUCUCUUCUUUUGCUUCACUGGCCGGAGGCUCGGGUCGACGUGCAACUUGUGAACUGCCAGCUCGGGAGGAACUCCGGGCAUGUCGUCAGCACUCCAAGCAAAGAUCUCAGCGUAUUCCUCCAGUAGAGACUCCAGAGCUCUCCGUGUCGGCUCGCUUAGGCCAGCUCCGGCCCUCACCACGCGAUCGGGUCGCUCGGUGCAGAUGGGCAAUUCGACCAGACUCUCAUCUGUCUCCAUCCUUUCCUCCUUUUCAGCAGGCUCCCAGGGUUCCAAACAGGUUGUCUGGGCCACCAUCUUCUCCUUACCUUUGAGGGUUGCGAUGUAACAGGCCCGAGCUACCUCCGGGUCUCCCAGCACCUCGGCCACUCCAUCGGGCGUGGGGAACUUCAUGCUAAGGUGCAAAGUCGAACAGACAGCUCGGAGCACGUUUAGGGUUGGUCGCCCAAGUAUCAUAUUGUAGGAGGAUGGCUCCUUUACCACCGCGAUAUUCACCGGGACAGUUCGGCACUUCGGCUACUCCCCUACAGUGACCAUGAGGGUUAUCAUUCCCUCGGGCCUUACCGGCGGACCUGCAAAACCUAUUAAAGGAGUUCGGACGAGGAUGAGCUGCUUAUCUUCCAGCUGCAACUCUUUGAAGGUUUUGUAGUAUAGCACAUCGAUGGCACUCCCAUUGUCGAUGUAUACCUUCUUUACCUUGUAGUUACACGUGAUGACCUCUAUUACAAUCGCUUCAUGGUUAUUGGAGGCUAGGGGUACCGCGUCCUCCGGCCCAUAGAUGAUCUCUUCGUACAUCUUUAAACGCUUGUUAGAGCUUUCCCCACUGGGGGAAGGCCGGUUGUUUCGCCGAGCCGUAUGACUGUCUCCCCCACAGGUCCCCCUGCGAUAGUGUUGAUUACCCCAGCUAGAUUCUGAACCCCCUGCUCCGGAGUUCGAUCACGGGGACCCGAGGUCGGUCGCGCGAGCUAGUCGCCCGUUCUCGGUUGAACCCCCCUUGCUUUUGAUCGGCUCAGCCGUCACGGAUGAACUGCCCGAGGUGGCCUCUCCGUAUCAGCUUUUCAAUCUCCUUCUUGAGGUGUCUGCAAUCCUCAGUAUCGUGCCCGACGUCCCUGUGGUAAGCACAGUACAAACCCUGGUCGCGCUGGUUUUUGUCCCCAGCCAGUGGCCGAGGAGGGCGCAAGAUCCCCUGUUGUUCCAUUACGGCGAGAACCGAGCUCGGGGCGCGGUGAGCGAAGUCCAAGCCUUUUCCUUCUCCCAAGGUCGGCUCCGAGGUAAGCGCUCGGGUACGCUCUUCCGUGCCUGACCUGGUCGCGACUCUCCCAGGUCGGCACCCCUCCUGCGCUUGUCGUCACGCAGCUUCUCCUGAGCGCCUUUCAAUCGGUUGGCCUCCUCGGCAUUCGCCUUCUCGUGAGCUCGGUCUAGCAUCUCCCGAACGGACUUGGGAGGUUUUUCCACGAACUCCGUAUACAGCUUCUGCUUGCGCAGCCCAUUGACAAAGGCAGCCAUCACAACCUUGUCAUCCCGAUCCCGUACCUGGAGGGAUUCGUUGUUGAAGCGCACCAUGUACUCGCGCAAUGACUCCUCGGGCCCUUGAUGAACAGUCAUCAGAUGAGCCGUGGUUUUGGAAAAAGCACGCGAGGAGACGAACUGAGCCACGAACAACCGCGCGAGCUGGCCGAACGACCUAACCGACCUGGGGGGCAACCCCUGGAACCACUGCCGGGCCUUUCCUUCCAGGAACAUCGGAAAGGUCUUGCACCUGACCGCGUCAGCAGCUGUCUGCAGGCGCAUCUGAGUCAGGAACGCGAACAGGUGAUCUUCCGGAUCCGUGGUCACGUCGUAAGACUUCAUGGACGGUAUUUUGAACUUUGCGGGCAGGGGAUAGUCUUCGAUAUCCGGUACGAAGGGCGAGGCUGUGUACCUGUCCGACUCCGGAUCCAGCAUGAGGUCCAGUUCGUCCUGGAUCUGGUAUUCCUCCUUCCUGCGGGGAACCUCCACCCGCGAGGGCCUCGGGACAGGCUCCGGAUGGCUAGUUCGGGAGUUCCUGUGAGAGGGCUCGGGAACCUGGACCUGCUCACGCGUGAGCUCCUUUCGUGCCCUCUUCGGCCGAGGGACAGGGCUCCCUGAUCGGGAUUCCGAACUCCCUGUUCCGUCAGCUUUUCGCGCCCGGGGCUCCGGACUGGGGGGGACUCCGGAUUGCUCCUUCAGGUAUUUCACAAUGGCCUCGAAGGUGGGCAAGUUCGCCGCUACGGACUGCACCAGCUGUUCUGGCGAGAUCCGUGAGAGCUCAAUCCUCUCAUUUCCCACGAUGGUAUCCUGGUGGACGUGCUGAGGGUCGCCCUGCCCGUUUCCCUCAGAACCAUCCACAUUUUUCUGAGAUCUAGUCUUCGGCAUGUUGUUCGCGAAAGAGAAGAGAAUACGUUUCCCACAGACGGCGCCAAUUGAUGCGACUGCCGAAGUAAAGAUCCGAACUGAACUGGGUCUGGAGAGCGAGCUGGUGAGGCGCCCGACCUGCACGUGAACGAGCUGCGGGCUAAGUCCCCUGUAGCAACUCCGACGAUCAAGUCAGAAUGAAUUCGUAAGUUACCGAGUGGAAUUUGCACUAUGAAUAGCGUACCUUGUGUUUCCCCUUCGUGUGGUAUUUAUAGAGCCUCAGGUUGUAGUUUCCUGGUAGGACAAGGAGUCCUUAUUGGAGAGAGUUGGUUCCUAGGGCUCCAUGACCCAGAUCUGAAGACGCGGACUCCGCGGCCCAUCAGACCUCUUUGCCCGAGAGGCGGCGCCCACAAGGGCCAGCGAGCCGACCUGACACUCCGGCCCAGCUCCUCCAGUCCGAGCUCAUGGGCCAGAUUGACGUGUGUGCGGACCUGGCCGACGUGCUCCUGGGCCCCACUACAAUUGCAUAUGAACAGUAUAUGUCUAAGCCAUUUGAGACAUGGAGGUAUGUAACUGAUUACAUAAGCUUCAUGGAUCUUCUCAUAGAUUCACCGUCCGACGUUGAAAAGCUUCGCAACCGUGACAUCAUCAGGCAUGGGUUAGGCAGUGAUAAAGCAGUCUCUAAAAUGUUCAACAAGUUAAGCAGUGAUGUUUCUAUUGAAGUUCCUUUCUGUUACCACGAAGUUUUUGAGGACAUGAGGAAGUACUCCCGCAACCGCAGCCGUACUUGGUGGGCAAACCUCAUGCGGAAUUAUUUUCAUAACCCGUGGUCAAUCAUUUCAUGUCUGGCUGCAUGCGUUUUGAUUCUUCUCGCAUUGGUGCAGACCAUAUUUUCCAUCCUACACUAGACUUUGACUUAAUGAAAUUAAAGUGAGCUAGUUGUGCUUGUUUUGUAAUUUGUUAGUCAUUGUACUUAAAUACCAACAACAUCAUUUUAUUUGUGUUCCGAUUGAUAAAAAAUUCUUGAUGUAAAAGAACUUUCCUGUCUUGGAUAUUACAUGAACUCCUAAAUGCAUGUUCUGCUAAUAAUGAACAUGAUCUCUUCUGUAUUAUGAUCUACUACUGAACAUUAAAAUAGCAAUGCCCCGUCGGGGUCAUUGAUUCAUUUUAGUCAACCUGACAAUUUUUAUGAACAUGGAUCUGUCUACACAUGUAUUUGUAUGUCUGUGUCAAGUAUAACCACAGUACGAGGCUAACUUUGAGUGUUACAUGGCACCGGUUCGAUCUUAGUGAGAGUACUACUAAAUGCAUGCAAAGGCUGGCGAUGAGAACUCAAUGAAGCACGAAAAUUAAGUGCACAAGAUUUUAAGCAAACUGCAAAGAAAGAAUUAAAAAAAUGAAGCUUUAGCAUUCAUCUGGCAAAAAUCCUUGGCAUACUAUCAUAUAUAAUAGCAGUUAGAUACCAGUUGAUUGAAAUGCUAACAAAAAAGUGUACUCAAAACAUAUAGUUUUACAGGAUCUAAUUGUUACUCCUGUGAUUUAAAGAAGACAAUAGAGAAAAGGCUCAGUUGAUUUUCAAACAAAGAAAACCCGGAAGAACAAUUUAUUGGGAAAAUAGUUAUAAACACGAAUUGCUUGUUACUUAUGGUUCCCGAAAUCUUGUCUAAUUAGCCACUGCAUCCACAUUGGCUAGAAUGCUAAGUAAGGCAUAAAGACUGAAAGAAAAAGAGAAAAAAAAAGAAGCAGUACAAUAAGUAAAUCUGUCGUGCUUGCUGGUACCAAAAUUAAGUACAUAUGUAAAUUUUAAGUAGUUCUUGGUUGUAAAUGUGAAGGCUUUAUCUAAGAAAUGUUGUCUCCAACGUUCCGACCUUUCUCAUGUUUGUCACUUCGCGAAGCACAGCAUAUGCUAAGGAAUAAGGGCUGAGACAUGUCUACUUUUUUAAAGAAAUAGAGGGCUUAAACAUUGGCUGUUCUCUUCUCUUCUCUUCUCCUCUUUAUUGCGCUCAGUCACUCACUAUUUUCCCUCCACAAAGAAAAAAUUGCUAGCCAUCUAAAGUUUAGUGGAAAAGAACAGCUAUGAACUCAUAUCUCAAAAUUCUAGAAAAUUAAAAUGUUUAAGAAUUUGUAGAUCCUAUCUAAAUGAACAUCUUGAAGUACAGAUUAUCUUCUGCUGAGUACAUUAAUAAGUUCAAAGGAACUUUCUAUAGGUUUUUAUACAUUGGACUAUUGGAGAAAAGAACAAAGGGGCUAAAUUAUUAAUUAAGUUAUUUUUCAACUAUUUAAAUUGGUAUACCAAAAACAAAAAAAAAAUUUAUUCUUCAUCGACUAUAAGAUAAAAGCAAAUGUGUCAAUAAACCACUCUUUAAUUUUCUUUUUUAAUUUUUAGUAUCUUUUCCUAUAUAAAGUUAGACGUAUGCCACUAGACUAAUAUAUCCAAAAGGUGGCAACAUGGCUGGUAUGAUGUGGUCUUACAAAAAUAAAAGUAAAAAAAUAAUAAAAAAAAUAAUAAAAAAAUAAUAAUAGUAUAAAUUGGACUACCUAUGAGCUUCCCAUCCCAAAGGACUAAUAGCUUGUGAUACAACUUCCACCUGCUUUCUCCAGCUUUUUGUUUCUAUUUCUGAUCAAGAUUGCUACACGUGAGACUCUCCUCUUGCCCAGGUAAAUUUUUUGACAGGUUGUCGAAGCCUGUGCAAUAAUAAAACCUGCUCAAACUAAAAGUAAUUUCAGUAGAUAGUGGUGAGCAGGGUCAAAUUCACAGGGAUUGGGAGUAAUUAUUUCUUUUCAAAUUCACAGUGACAAGGGGGUGUUUUUAUGCAGAAGGUGACAAUAAAAGAAGUUCAAAUAAAAUCUAAGAAACUACUAAAAAUUAAACAACAAAUUACUAAAAUCAAAUGAAUGAUAAUUAAGGAUCUAGCCAAGGAAUAACUUCAGCAAUGGUUCACCUAGUUGAUCAUUGAAGCAAAGGCAAUUCCAAUUAUUCAUCAAUAAAUAGGUUAUAACUACCAAACAAGCGAUGGCAGUCAACCCCUCCUUACUGUGUCGGUGAUCAAGGUACGCCCGUUAAUCACUGCUCUAAUUGAGAAAUAAUCCUAGGUACGCCCGUAGAAUUUAAUUCCCCAAUUGCCUUACAUAUUAGAGGAGCCCUAUUCUAACCAAAUAACGCACUACCAGGGUUAUUUUAGAUUAGCCCGCGUAUUCCCCUGACACAAAUCUAAUCAUGCCAGUUGUCACUAUUUUGAGGUAAUUAAACAAUUACGGAUUUAACACCUUAAUUGACAAUAGAUUAUCCAAUCAACUAAUUAUCUGGAUCCAAAAUAAUUAAUUAAUUAAAUAAUCAUAAACAUAGCAAUUAAGAAAUAUGCGAAUACCAAUAAAUAAAAGAAAAAGAUAAAAUUAAAUCGAUCUCACAAUUUUAGGCGAUCCAAAGCAUCCAUUGUCCCUUGACUAGGGAAAGAAAAUUUAGUUCAUGUUUGAUGAACAAAACCCGUAGGAAAGUGAAGAAACGAUCCCAACCAUUAUUCUUGUUCACGAGACUUCACCUUGAUCGACUGAAUAAAGAAAAGCUUGGAAAACAAUGAUUGAUUCAAUUCUUCAAAGAGUCCCUGUCACGCGUGGACUGAAGCUUCCUAAGAGACAAAAGAAAGGUCAAAGCUCUCUAAGAAAGCUCCUCACCUACGUGAACUGGAGCUAAAGCUAAACACUAGUCUAACUACUAUGCUACAGGACGAAAAGAGAAAAAGGUAAUGCCCUCUCUCUGCAAUUACAAUUUGCCUGUUCUAAUCCUUCGCUCUCCUGUGCGGCGGCUCCCCUUCCGGAGAGGAAGAAGAAGACCCCCGCUUCAGCACUUCGUUCCUCCUUUUAAUGUUGCCCUCUGCGAAUUACCAAAAAGAACUUGUAUCUCCUUGUUCCAAAAAUGUCCUGGAUGCCUGCUACUUGAACUCUUUCCUGAUAACUGUCAAAUCGGCACUUAUUAUGAUAUUUUCGUUCUACUCCCUGAAAUAUGUGUAAAAUACUAAAAGUGAGUAGAAUCUAAUAAUUAAUUCACAUUGAGUUAAGUAAUAGGGAAAUUAAUAGUAAAAUAAAUGAUAAAAUUGCAACAUAUCAUUUUUCAAGUAUUUCCCUUGAUAAGUGACUAAUUUACGUAAUAAUUGUAUGAUAUCACUUUGGUUACAUUAUUGGAAGAAAAUGAUUCAUUUUGGCUAUAAUUGGUGUAAAAUGCUUUUGUUCAAUUAAAUGAGGUUUUUAUCACUUUUUACUUGGAUUUUGUGUAUUUUGAUAGUUUUGACACAUUUUCAUAUUUCGGCUAUAACUUGAACUCCAAUGAUCGGAGUGCUCGUGUUUUUUACUCUCAAGUCAAGAUUAAUUGUAAUUUUCCUCUUCAAAAGUCUAUGGCUGCUAAUUAAGCCGUGUUAUAAAUAUAUCCUGAUAUUAAUUCUCCAUUUUUCAUUACGCAGAUUGAACAUUUAAUUUGCCAUUUUACCAGCCAUGACUUUAUGAUAUUCUUACAAUCUUAAACUUAGUACUGGAUUUUCAAAUCUGGAAAAGUUGGAACUUUUGUGUUAUGACACGUUAGAACUAACUUUGUUACAGCAUUUAUUCAUGCUAAUUUUGAUAAAUAAGGAAUUCAAAUUAUUCUGCGAUAUUUGAUGAAAGUUCAUAUUAUGUUAAUUCAAGAAAUAGACCAAGACAUCUUCCUUUAGCUCCCUAAAAAUCAUUUAGAGUGUUAUGUAUGAUUUGAUAGGAUCCAUUUAAUUUUAUUUUCUCCAAAAAUAUUUUUUUUAGCAAAUGUACUUCAAGUCAUACCUUUCUCUUGGCUAAUAUCCUUAAACAUGGGUCUUUAAGCUACAUUUUUUUACACUUUUUUUAACCCUUUUUCUUUCUCAAUUUUACUGUAUUGUUUAAAAGAAUUAUGAUUAAAAAAAUUCAAGGACAGCUGAAAAGAAUAAGCGCCCCAGCACAACGCGCGGUUACCCCUAGAUUUAAACACAUGAACAACCUAGGAUUGACAUUAAAACCAUUAAAAGAUAGUUUUUUCUUUUAACUGAAAUAGCAUUAUUGUUCAUUUGCACCACCAUUAAUAGCAAAAAAGAAAAACUUAUGAAACUCACUGAAACGGAAAAUUAAGUCAUAAAAGCACAUAAAGGAGAACAAUUAAUUAAUGAUAACACCGAAAAAUUAACUAAUUCAGGUGACAUGAAAGAGAACGUUCGAAAUCCAUCAAAUAGACAGAGACUUUUUACCCACUUUAUACACUUCAUCCAUAAAAUGACAAACAAUCUAAUGUUAACUUCUCUACAACAAUUUCUACUCUCUUGGACACGAAAAAGAAGAAGGACAGUAAAAAAAAGUGAUUGCAGGUACCAAUCUUAUGCAUACUUUUCUUUUCUUUUCUUUUUUUUUUUUUGGGGUCUGGAGGGUAAGGGGUAUCUUGGAAUCACCGAUUCUGAUCCCCCAGGCUGAACAGAGUUCACCCCAUAGAUGACUAACAACAGUAGCACGUGGGGGUCGAAUCUGAGAUCUUGUUAUAACUAUAAACGACUAGUUACAACUGAGCUACCCAUGAGGGGCUUAUGCAUACUUUUCUAAAAUUGAUAUUUUGGUGAACCAUUCUAUAUAUCCUCUGAUAUUCAUCUAUUUUAGAUAUUAUAUUUAUACUCAGGGCCUUUACUUUGAAUCUUUUUUAAUUUUUUUUACUAAUCAAACAGUUGCAGUUUUUUCCCAUUCAUCUAUUUUCGGCUCCUAUGGAAACAUCACAGAAUCAGUUGAUAAGCUCAUUAAGGCCUGAUGAGAAAAUGUGGAUGCGUAGAGUCUUGCUAUUACUGAAAUUUGGCAUCGAGGCGUAUAUCGGUAAACAAAAAUCUGGAAAUCUUCAGAAGUUAAUUUUCCUAGACAGGCAGGUAAAAAAUCAUAAACUUUCACAUUUACUAUUGAAUCUAUAUUUUGCACAUUAUUUCAAGAAAAAUUCAAAAGGCAUAUAAAAAUUCAAGCUAUUAUGUUUGAUGACAUCAAGGAAAACUGUUCCUGUUCCUUAUAGGAAUCAACAUAAAAUGAGGACUUUCCUCCAUCUCUCUGUCUCAACCAUUUGGUCGUCACCUUCCUUUCCUCCUCUUCUAGCUAUCCUUAAUUUCCCCUCAAAUCCCAAAUUAAUUAUCUUCUCUAGGUUAUUAUGUCCUUCAUAACCAGAGCUACAAUCUUUGAAUGGCUAACUUGUAUCUCCCCAUUUUUAUUUUUUACUUUUUUCUGUCUUCUGAAAAUAAUAUUCAAUUAUCUAGACAUGUACUGCACAUAGAAGAUUAAGCAACUACGGUGAUGAUUAAAGGGAUAAUUGAUUAUGCUUGCUGGUGGUGGAUGGCUUGAGAUUUAGAUUUUUGUAAAGCUAAAUCAUGAACAUGAGUAAAAUGGUUGCUAAAGCUCACUGGUCAUCUGUCAGUAUAGUUUAUCAUCAAUGAGUUCGGUUGGCUUUCUUGUAAGUUGAUUCAAUUGCUUAUUGGAUAUGAAUAUUUUUCAUGUAAAAAGUGACUUUGAAUUUAUUAGUCUACUCAGCAGGAGAUAAUCUGUAAUUCAAGAUUUCAUUCGAUAGGAUACAAAUUCUUAAACAUUUUAUUUUUCCAGAAUUUUGAGAUAUGAGUUACAGCCACGGAUUUAAGGGGGGGCUGGUGGAGGCUUAAGCCCCCCCCAAGCCGCCGGAAAACCCCCUAUAUAUAGGGGAUUCCGGCGGCCAGCCCAGCCCCCCCACGGUGAUCCAGAUCUACCAUCCUCCAUGGCUCCAUGAAUGCUGCAGAGGAAGUGAAGAAGAGCUGGAAAGCCGCUGCCGUGCUGACUGCUGAGGAAGAAGAUGACCCAUUUCAUUUUGAAUUUUUUUUUUUUGCCCUCUAAAUACAAAACGACGUCGUUUCACUUUUAGUGGAACGACGUCGUUUUGUAUAAUGAGGGGAAAAAAAAAAUACAUCAGAUGAAGCCCUAACUCCUAAGGCUUCAUCUGAUGCAAAAGCACGCCGCCAGUGCCAAAGGGCAAACAAGACUCCAACUCCAAGAAGAAGACGCCAGGCUCCAAGAACUCCAAGAAGCUUCAGUUGAGAUUCUACCAUCCUGCUUCAAGCCUUCAAUUCAAGGCUCCAAGACUCCAACUCUCCACCAUUCCAUUCACAUAAAUCUUUUAGGUUAGUUUUUUGGUUUAAAUUACAAUAUUCAUCUUUAUAUUUUUGUUAAUUAUAUGUUUAAAUUAUUUUUGAAUUUUGAGUAUCUUGAUAUUAAUUUGAUUAAGAUUAAUUUUUAUUUAGUUUAUGUUAAUGUAAUUUAAGAAUUUGAAAGAUUACAUUAAAAAAUUUAAUGAUAUUAAAUUUAAAUUAGAAAUUAGUUUAGAAAUUGUAUAGAUUUUAGGUUGUAUUUAGUUUUUAAAAUUUUGUUAGUUUUAUAUUUGAAAUUUUAAGAAUUAAUUAUGUGAAUUAGAAAUUUUGAAUGUAAAUAUAAAUUCAAAAUUUUAUGAGAUUGAAUUAGAGAUUAUAUGGGUAUUUAGUUGUACCUUAUUUUAACUUUUUGAUAAUUUUAUAUAAUGAAUUUUAUAAAUUGAGAAAUAUAAGUAAUAUGAAUUUAUUAUUAAAUUAAAGAAUUAUUUAUAUGAAUUUUAAAUUAAUUGAUUAUUGAAUUGCAUAAUUUUAUUGAAUUUAACCACAAUUAUUUAAUUGUGACAGAAAAUGGAGAGAUUCUUUAAACCUAAACGAGUCCGUAGUGGUGAAUCUUCAAAUGAGCCUAAUAUUAGUGAACCAGUUCAAAAUCAAUCUUGUGUGGAAUUGAAUUUAAAUGAUAUUGUUAGUGAUCCGGGAUUACGAAAAUCAGUUGAGAAAUUUGAUAUUUCUCUUCGAGACCAUGUCCGAAGAGAGUAUUUGACUAGGGGACCUUGCCAACCGAUUGGCCAUAUGUAUCCAAAAACAUCAUUUGGUAAACAACAUAGAAGUUUCCAAGAUAGUUGGUAUCAAAAGUUUGUAUGGUUAGAGUAUAGCAUAUCGAAAGAUGCGGCGUUUUGCUUUUGGUGCUUUCUUUUCAAAACACAAAAUAAGGGAGGUCGAUAUGCAGAGGAUGCCUUUACAAAAACGGGAUUCAAUAAUUGGAAAAAGGCAAUGGAAAGAUUUAAUGAACAUAUUGGAGCUGUGAAUAGUUGCCAUAAUGAUGCUAGAAUACAGUUUGAAAGUUUUCAAGAUCAAAGGCAUAGUGUGUCAAAUGUGCUACGAUCUUGUGGGCGCGAAAUAGAUAUUGCAUAUCGCACCCGUUUAACUGCUGCUCUGGAUGUGACCCGCUUUCUUUUGAAGCAAGGAUUGGCUUUUCGUGGAAAUGAUGAGUCAACUAGUUCUUCAAAUAGAGGCAAUUUUCUUGAAUUGUUUGAGUGGUAUAGCCAACGAAAUACUGAGAUUUUUGAGGUUGUAAAUCAAAAUGCUCCUGCAAAUAAUCAACUAACUUCUCCAAUGAUUCAAAAAGAUCUGGCACAUGCUUGUGCCUCAGAGAUCACAAGUGUUAUAAUCAAUGAUAUUGGAGACAAUUAUUUUUCCCUAAUAGUUGAUGAGUCUCGAGACAGUUCAGUGAAAGAGCAAAUGGGAGUUGUUUUGAGAUAUGUGAACAAAGAAGGGCGUGUGAUUAAACGUUUCCUUGCAAUUGUACAUGUGUCUGACACCACAUCUCUUUGUUUGAAAGAUGCAAUUGUACAUGUGUCACAAAAAAAAUUUUUUAAUACACUUCAACCCCCCCAAAAAUAAAUUUCUGGCUCCGUCCCUGCAAAUAGACAUUGCAUAUAUGUACAUAUAGAAACAUAGAUUCAAUAUACGUAUAUAAAUUAUACUCCCUCCAUUCCAAUGUGAUAAAUAACAAAAAGUGGUGCUCAAAUCAAUGUUUCGUUUGGUUUAUUUCAUUUCCAACAAACUUUUUUCCACUCGUAAUAAAUUUCAAUCAUAUCUUUGCUAUCCAUAUAUAGUAACUAUGCCCAGUGAUGUUAUAAUUGUUAGAUUCAUAAGUUUAUUAACUUUUUCAGAAAUUGAAUAUUCGAUUACGAGAAAAGAAGAUGUUGCAUUUUUUUUGUAAUAGAGCACUUAGUUUUGUUUAGCUCUAGCUGUAUAACAACACCAAAAAAUCUAAUUACUAUCUCAAACAAUACUGGCUAAUUUUUACAAAACUUAUCGAAUUAUAAUCCACUAAGGUAUAAAAUUUACUGAAUCAGAAAUGAUUCUCGCUAACUGCAUUCUUGGAUGUUCCACGACCUUUCCGGGAGCCAUGAUUCAGAAUAGACCUUAUUGGUAAAUGAGUCGGUUAUCGGACUCUGUCAAGUGCCAUUUACCAAGUCUUAAAGGUUAGUGUAUUAGACAAAAAUAUAUUUGUUGAGAAAUCAGCAAAUUGAUGCCUUAGAAAUCUGAAUUUCAGGUAUGCAAGAGAUUUAACAUUGUGGACAUUGGGAACUUGCUGGCAAUGUAAAGGCCUACUCGAAAUGCAAAUGUUGGUGGCUUUCCCAUGCUUCUAACUCUAAGUAGCUACCGUUGGGAAACUUGUACCUGAUGCUGAACCCUCACAGCCAAAUUUGUUUGUUCAUGGAUUUGACACUAUUUUUUUUUAUAAUUUGUUUUCCUAACGGGGGAGGGAUGGGAUUAAGAAGCGGCGAGGGAGUUAAGGGAUUAGAACUUAGAAUUUCUACUUUUUGGGAUCUCAAUCUUGGAUUUGACACUAUUUACUUGUCCUAAACAAUAAGCAAAAUUACGGUGCCUUAGAAACAUGAAUCUAAAUAUAUAGCACCGUGUCAAUAUAUGAAUUUUGGGAUAAUUUCAGAAACCUCCUCUUAUAAUAUCACUUAGCUCCCCUGAAGUUUUUAAAAUUUCACUUACCUCCUUUGUCAAGUUGACAAGACUAAAUAUUCCUAUGAAAGGUCACAAAUUGACAAUAUUACCAUUGCUCUUAAUAACCAUUUAACCAAAAAGCCAAAACAAAAUAAAAUUUUAAAAGCAAAAAAUGUAAAUUAAAAAAACACAUUGCUAGCUAAUAAUGGUCCAUAUUUCUUUGUAUUGGAGUCAUGGUGGAAUAGCAAAGGACAUGAAUAAAUUAAAUCUAAUCAAGAUUUCGUGCACAGUUACAAUUAAGGAAGUCAAGAUAUUUUUUGAGGAAAUAUGUUUUAAUUCAUGGUGUAGUUUAAGUUGUAUUAGAAACUAAAAUAAUCUCUUCAUAUGUGUGAAUUUUUCAAGGUGUAAAUUUUGCUUUUGUUUCAAUACAACUAAAAUAAAUAGUUUACGUUAAAAAAUUUAACCUUAUUUUAUUUUUUAUUGCUUUAUAAAUUUCAUAAGUAGGAUAAUAUAAGGGUAGUAUUGGAACAAAAGUUUUAUCUUUUUUGCAUUUCCUCCAAAGGGGUUACAAUGUUACAAGAAAUGUCAAUCCAAGAAAGGUAAGUGAGAUUUUAAAAAUCUCAGGGGAGCUGAAUGAUAUUAUAAGAAACCUUAGGGGAGGUUUCUGAAAUUAUCCCAGGAAUUUUUCAACUCAUUAUAUUAAUUUGCUGCGAAUUUCCGCGUCUCUGAUUUCUUGUGAACAUGCAUACUAAAUGCAUGCUAUCUGAUUUCUUCCAAAUGGUUUUCUAUUUUUUUUUCCCCAUCUCGGUUUGAUUUGCAUUCCAUCGGAGAUGCAUCCCAUCUGCUUCUAAACAACCAUUAUUCAUUAAUUUGACCUUAAUGAAUCAAAUACCUUCUAUUUAAAAAAUAAACGCGUAAUAGAAAUCAGAAGAUCAUAAACUAAUCUAAUGAUAAUUGCAUAAUUCUUGGAGCCAUGUAACGCUAUGCAUAAAUUUUUUUUUUUUUUUGUUUUGGUGGCACAAAAGUAGUGUAAUACUAUUAUUGAGUUCAGUCAGUUGCCUUGCUAGUUUUUAACCAUAGUCACGGCAGGACUCGCGAUCUAACUUGAUUCAACUCUUUCCUUUAUGUUCUUGGGAUGACUCUUCCAUCAGGGUCCUAAAUAGUUUUUUUUUUUUUGUAAUGAAAGGAAAUUGGGUCCUAGAUAGCUUUAUUAUUUGUUAACUUACAUCAGGCUUCUUAAGAUGCAUUUUCUAAUUAAGUGAGACUGAAAAAUGUUCUAACAAGUGGACUAAUAAAUCAUUUUGUGACGACAUGGAAUUAGAAGAUCAUCUUGUCCUUUUUCCGGUGGACCGACAAAAUGCUAGCUUCAAAUUAGGACUAGGUUUUUCUUGAAAAGGACUAGGUUUGGGAUUGGGGCCAAAGAUAUUACUUAACCAAGUAAACAUUCCCCUACCUAGAAUAUAUGUCGCUUUAAAAGACCAAGACAAACAUGCAAGACGUUCUUUCAUAAUAUGCUGGCCCGACGAAGUUCGUCAAAGUUCCUCUGUCUUAACCCUUAAUAUUUACGAAUUAUCCCACACGAGGGUAGGCAAUUAAAUGGUGGACAGAUAUUACAAGCUAAGUUAUGCCUUAAACAUGUAAACUACCAAUCAGUCACAAAUGUUACCCAAAAAAAAAAGGGAAAAACAAAAGGUUUGCAUGGAAAAGCAAAAAAGCAAAGACAUACAAUUGUUUAUUAUCCUAUCAAUCUUUUUUAACAUUCCAUAUUACUUUAUAAACUUUUAAUGAUCAAAGACCAUAAGGCAAGAUAAGCCAAGAGCAAAUGCAAAUGAUUGCACUGAGUACUCGACUUUAGUCACCAUGAGAGUUUUUACAAAAACCCAAGCCUUUACUUUGAGAGUCUUGAAGCAUUCCAACUUUAGCACAGCAUAAGACAAAAUCAAACACAAAAGAUUCCUCUAUUUAACUGUUUUUAACUUUAAGAUUCUUGAAGUAUUGUACUUGAGUCAGAAGCUUAAGAUAAGGAUAAAAAAAAAACAUGAACACUACAACGUCGAAAUUGCGAGCGAGUAUAUAUAUAUAUAGGGCAGUUGUGAUUGCUAGCUAGAGGAAAUAUAGGAGCUCAAAACCACGCAUUGGUAACAGGUUAGAGUUUUCUUCUUCUCCUCUAGGCAUAUAAUCAUAUUCUUCCCUUUUUAUUCGAUGCAACAUCUUAAAUGCAUAUAUAGCUGUACAAAUAUAUUUUAGCCUGCUCCAAAUUCGUAGAGAAAUAAGGAUCACGGUAAUGGGUGAAAUUUGCAAUCAAUCUAGUUGACGAGGAAGAAGAAAGUAGCUAGUCGAUUUGGUUUCCAUAUAUAAGUCACCUCUAAUUAACUAAAAUCGUGUUGAUUUUGUUUAGUUCUGCACGUGUAUAGCCAAUGUUGAUUAAUUAGUCACUUGUCAAAAGUACUAACUAAUCUCAUCACCGAUCAUAUACGUGUAAGUUGGAUCACCAACGACCAACUAAAUUGCUUGUUAAACUUAAUUAUUAAUCUAAAACAACGGUACUGAUGAUUUUUUCCUUAAUUUCAGCAAGAGAUCGAUUGUAUUACUCAACACAAACAAAGAUCAUGUCCACCGACGCCACAACUGCCCGAAUUUCUAAUUGUAUCCGUGAAAAGCUUUCUGGGCUAUCAGAUACUGACAUUAGGGCGGCAUCAAAUGAGCGAUGCAUAUUCAAGGUCCGUGAGAGAAUACAAAGUCAAAUCGAAGGGCCAUAUGAACCACAAAUGGUUUCAAUCGGACCUUAUCACCGCGGUAAGCCGGGGUUGCAAUUAAUGGAAAAGUAAAAGCUGAUUUACUUGAAACAGCUUCUUCAGCGUGAGGGAAAUCUACAGAUUUGCGUUGCGGCCAUGGCAAAUCUUGAAGGAGUAGCUCAGAGGUGGUACUCCGAUGAAAGGAUCAGUCAUGAUGGUGACGACGGCUUUGUGGAGAUGAUGCUUCUUGAUGGCUGCUUCAUACUCGAGCUGGUAUGGAAAAUUAAUCACCCCACACAAUCUACAGAUGGCAUUUUAUCGGGCGCACUAUUCAUAGACCUAUUAGGAAUCGAAAAUCAAGUCCCUUUCUUCAUCCUUGUUGAAUUGUUUCACAAGACCAACUCCAACUCUGGUGCCAGCAGCAAAUUUAAUGAUUUGGCUCAGCGUCUAACUGAUUUCGUAAUUCUUUUUUGUGACAGCAAAGAGAAUGAAUAUGUUGUUGAUGAUGGUCAGGUCAUUCAUCUACUUGACCUUGUCUACAAAGCCUGGACCUUUUCGUAUGCUGCAAAAUUUAUUGCUCUUGGUCCAUGGAUUCGGGAGGAUGAUCCUUUCUCACUGUAUCAUAUAACUUCUGCCAGUGAAUUACAAGAAAUUAAUGGGGUUGAGUUCGAAGAUAGUGGGAAAGGACCAUGGCUUGAGAUUAUUUGGGAAAAUGGUGUGGUAAAAAUCCCUCGUUUUAUGGUCCAUGUUGAUACAGAACGUCUGCUCAGAAACUUAAUUCUCUACGAACAGCAUUACACCCGUCAUCAUGAGGGCACGAGGGAGUAUAUAAAUGAUUAUGCAAUAUUCAUGGGAAGUCUCAUAAAUUCUUCUAGGGACGUCGAGGUACUGCGCAACAGUAGAAUUAUUACCAACAAGUUGAAUGAUGAUCAGGCUGUCUCUACCAUGUUUCGUCGGGUGUAUUCAAUGAAGUGGAAAAGUAUGCCAAAAGCCGUUGGCAUAUCUGGUGGACGAAGCUCAGGAGGACCUACUUCAACACCCCCUGGUCCCCCAUUUCAUUUGUUGCUGCAGUUGUUGCGCUUAUCCUCACUUUUCUCCAGACCUUGUAUGCCAUCCGGCCUGCGGAAAAAAAUUAGUAGUAACAAAACUACUAAACGAGUCAUAUCGGCCACAUGCUAAGUGCGUUUGUUUGGUCUGAAUAUUGUUUGUCUUUCUUUUUCAACACAACCUAAAAGACUUUCAUCACCAUCCAUAAGUUGUGCUAUCAGUCAAGUUUCUUGUUAUUUCAGUAUCUCAUGGAGAAGAAAUAAAAAUCGUGUGUGUUUGUUUUGGUUUUGAUGAUAUGUAAUGUUUUUAUUAAUAUAUCUCUGCUUUCACUGUUUCAAUGUCAUCAGUUCGCCUGGCUUGGUAUCAUCAGUUACCCAAUAUGACUUUUUCUAAAGUUAUUUUUAGUUCACAGAUUGUGCAAGUAUCUCUAUUUUGCUGCAUGCAUGGAAAUCAUUUCGAUCAGAGGCAGGAGAAAAUUGAAGAACCCUCAAAAGUUUAUGCACCAGCUCCUUAAUUUUCUAAUGUCUCUAGUUGUUCACUUCUCCAAUAAACAAAUCUUGAUACAAUAAUGCUACACCAAAACCGAAAGCUGAUAUAUACUUUUCUUUUCUUUUUUUUGGAGCAAAGGCUGAUAUCUACUUACAACUCUAAAAAAAGAAGAAUAAUGAAACUACCUAUUUUUUAGAUUUUGUGUUUUGUUUUCCAUAUAAACACAUGCAACCCUAUAACAAAAAAGUAAUCAGUUAGAUGUUUGACAAAUACACGCUUAGUGGGCUAGGUUUUCAAAUACUUUCCCGUCCCACUGAAAGUGUCAUACUUUUCAUUUUGAAAUGUCACGAAAUAUUUGUCAUGUUAAAAAAGUUAGAACACCUUUUAGUUUUUCUUUUCAAUAGAGCUCUUCUUUUUAAUCAUAUGCAUAUUAUCAUUCAAAUUUAAAUUUAAAUUGAAAAAAAAGUACAAACAUCAAAAUCAAAUCACUAUUUUUUAAAAAGUUGGAUUCCCGAAACAUGCCUAAAUAAUUGGGACGGAGGUAAUAAUUGACAUUCAGGGCAACACUGAAAGCGCAAUAUUUGCUAGGAAAAGAAAAAAUAAAUAAACGAAAGCAUUUACAUGUGCGGGAAUACUAAAAAUUAGGACAAAAUAUACCAGUUGGGAAGGUGCAAACUCCAAUUUUCUUUAGACGUAUUUGGAAGUACUCCUACAAAAUAUAUACUAGUUGGGAAGGAAAUCCGACCCGAAUUUAUUUUACCACAAAACACAGUCAACAAAAAACAACAGCCCGUUUUCAAUUUCCAGAGAGAGAGAGAGAGAUCUUAAUUAUAGCAUUUGGAACGGAAACACUUAAAAAAUGAAGAACUAGGCCCACCCCAUUUGUCUCCUUAUUGUCUCUCUGCUAGCCAUGCAACGAAGUCCAAUAUAAAAUGAAAAUUGGAUGUCAAUGACCAAUAACAUAUUAGCGAGAAAUUGAAUGAGUUCAACUGCAUUCUCAUAGUUAAAUUUCCCACUUAACUAAAAAUUACUCCUAAGAAAAUUAAGGCCUUUAUGUAGACCCCAACUUUAAAAAAAAAAAAUCUGACUAAGAGUGUUGCAGUUAUCUUCCUCACAGAUGGCCUUCGCCUAGAAAUCACCCACCCGUACAAGGUUUUUUUUUUGCCUCCUCCACGAAAUUAGAUCAACAAAAGGGGUUGUCCCCUUCUUCCUUAAUCUAUAAACAGGAGAAUAAGAUCGAAGCCAUACUAACAAUGUUUUUCAUUCCUUCCCCCAAAAAAGAAAAGUUUUCAGCAGUUUUUUCUCUUAAAAAUUCUUUAAACUAAAAUCAUGUUGCAUCAUAUUUUUCAUACCUCAAAUGGAUUGUGGAUUCAUUCCAAUUUAAACCCAUCAAUUUGUUUUGUAAUUUUCACUUUUCAGCAGCAGCUUUUGUUUUACAUAUUUAGAGUCAGAAAAGGAUGCCAACUUGAGACAACAGCUACCUGCGUUAGUCUAACGAAAAUGACCAUAUAGAAAUCCAUGCAAAAUAACUAUAUACGCUGCAUAAAACACCAACGAGAAACUUAAACUGUCUCAAAAUGCAAUGGAGAUAGUUGAUAAUCAAAACUCCAUUUAAGCACGAAGAAACCUAGUGAACCGGAAUUAUGAGCAAGCACUUCCAAACUACUUUGAUGCUUGUUGAUUGGUUAGGUUUGCUAAAUGUUCAAGAAGUUAAAUGAACACAAAAAGCUAUGACAUGCCACUAUUAAGAAUGCAAAGCAUAUUUAAGAAUUAACUGAAGCCUUUUCAAAAUUCAUCUAUAUGGGCAGAAAAUCUUUCCAUGUACUCAUACUCAACCAUAAACUCCACGAGACCACAAGGCAGAAUGUUGGUAUCAAGAUAUACCUCACCUACUGAAUGAAGGCUUCUUGAUGCGAUAAGUUACCAUGUGAAAUUAAUUAUUUGUUCACCAGAACUCUGUAAAGUAAUUAAAGUUAACAUUCCAACGCAAAACACGAAAAGUGUUACAUAUAUUCCUAGCGUUGUCUUCCACUGGGCUAUUGGUACAUUCUUUGCUGUGAAAUCAUGAAAAGUGUUUGUAGAGUACAGCACAAACCAAAAUCAAACACACAAUUCCGCUAAUAAUUACUCCCUCCAUUCUAUUCUAUUAAGAUGUGCCAUACUAUAGUCACUUGAUUUCAAAAAAUUAAUUGAAAACUUGGUAGGCCCACUAAAGAAGUUUCUCUCAAAAACAGAGUAAUAUUGGUGCGCAUAAGAUUUCUCUCAAUUUAUAGAAAAACAUUGAGGCCUACUCCUUACUGUCCCUUAGAAGAGUUUGAGUUUAAUGGCUCUCUCUUUUAAAAUGGCCCCACAAAAUAAACAGACUUGACAUGACCUUACAAACUUGCUACCAGGUAUCCGAUUAAAUAAGGAUAAAACUGGAACUCAAACUCGUAAAUUUCAACAACAUUACUAUGCAUAAAGAAUUAGAGUCUCGAAAAGUGCGGAGGGAGUAUUUAACUUUAUUUACCAUGAGUGUCUUUACAAUCUAUUAUAUACUAAAUUCAAAUGCUCAAGAAAAGAAUAAAAUAACAGAAUUGGAAAUCUUGAAGAGUAGGACGUUGCCAAGAAACUUGACUUAAACAAUAUUCUCAAGGAACUGCGAGUCUAUAUACAAGGCAUGCAUGGGCAGUUUUGAUUGCUAGAGUGCAUAGAAAAGUUGAAAGCCUUGGUGCAAGGGCUAACAUGUGCUGACAUUCUUCAGUGUUACUAACAGGUUAGUGUGUGUGUGUGUGUUUAUGUGUGUGUUUAUGUGCAUAACAUGUGCUGACAUCCUGUAAGCAGGUGCUUUUUUUUCGUCUAAACCUAAAUCUUAGUUGCAUGCUGAGAGAUAUAUCUGUUUAAAUAGAUUUUGUUAGCUUAACGGUUUAUCUUCUAUGUUUACGCCAAAAAGUAAAGCUUUCUGUAUAGCCAAUCGAGCCGAGAACUGGCAGAGAUUCUAUGCCAACGGAAAUUUUCAAUUUUCCAUAUAGAAUUUUUUUUUAAACCACCAAGCUUCAGUUCUAUGGCAACCAAAAAGGAAUUAAAUCUAUAAAUUCAAGGUUCCGAGCCCACUUGCGCUGAAAAAAUUCAAAGGAGGUACUAAAACACUCUUUUAAUUUAGUCAGAUCUAUAUAUCUAUUAACCCCUUAUACAGUUUUUUUAGGCCCGCCCUUCUUAUAAAAUAGAAUAGUCUUAUACACUUGUUAGUCUCUUAUACAACAUUUUUAAACCCUCUCUCCUUAUAAAAUAAGAUAGAUUAGAUUAUAGGAAUGUUAUCGUGGCUAGCAAAAAGAAUUUUUUUUUUUAGAAAUUUUAAUUUUAUACCAUCAAUUUUGGUCGGGAUAUAUAAUUUUUUUGAAUUAAUCAAGUACAAAAAGGUUUGAGACUUUGCCUUGUUAAAGCCAACUCAUGAAGUAGGUAUGUUCUUACAUCUUUUUCUCCAACUUCGGUGAGCUGCAUCUUCAUGACUCCUAGCAACAAAACUAGCAGUGUAUGUUUGGGCUUCCCACAUGGGAGUCCUUUCUGAAAACAAAAAGUUGCUCAUCAUUCAUGUUUCCUCCAUCUUUUGAUAACGAAGUCUGGAAACACAUAACGGUAAUUAGUUAACCACUGACAAUUUCUGAGUUUCAUAAACUUUUCUCCUCGGUCUUUAGUUUGCAUACAAGAUAGAAAAUCCAAUAUUAGGAACAGUUUUCCAGCUAAUCUAUACAUUCCGGGUAACUGGAAUUUGACAAAUUUUUUUCCACAUUUUUAAGGUACGGACUAUACAGCCUCAAAUUAAGUUUCUAGGCAUGAAUAGAUUCCAUGCAGGGGCGGAGGGAAGGGGGGGCAACCGCCCCCCCUCCAAUUGUUAAAAAACAAAAUUUCUAAGUAAAAAAUUUUUUAUUAUAUUGUUUUGCCCCCCCAAAUAUUGAUAAAAAAUUUCACUUUGCCCCCCCUCCAAUUGUUAUAAAAAAAUUUUUUAUUAUAUUGUUUUACCCCCCAAAAUAUUGAUAAAAAAUUUCACUUUGCCCCCCUCUCAAGGACCCAAACAAUAAUGUUUGAAAGUUAUUUGGACUUGGUCCAAAUAAUAGAGACUCGCCCCCCUAAUUGCAAUUCCUAGCUCCGCCACUGAUUCCAUGUAUAUGUACCAUCUUGUCGAAGUGUUGUUCAUCUGACUUCUAUGCUUCAUACCUUUCAUCUAUAUCAUGCAAAUUAACUUUGGUGUAUGAAUAAGAUUUUCCUUUUCUUUAUCUAGGAGUGCUUCUACAUUCAUGUAGCACUUGGACCUUAAGAUUCGUUCUAAUAGGAAUGAACCUAAAUGCUUAAAUUUGCUGAUCCUUCUUGAUGUUUUCUCCUGCAGCAAUUUUUCCUCUUGUUUAUACGUACUCAACAAAGAUGUUCGGAGAAAUAUCUGACGAAAUCUCCAUUCGCAUUGAUCAAAAGCGUUCUGGCCUAUCGGAUACAUCGAGGAGGCAAUUGAUUUUCAAAGUCCAUAGUAAACUACGAAGUGAAAAUGAAGAAGCAUAUGAACCACAAGUCGUCUCCAUCGGACCUUAUCAUCGUGAUAAGCCUAAACUGAUAAAGAUGGAGCAGUAUAAGCUAAUGUACUUGAACGUGCUUCUUCAUAGAAGAGGAGAGUCAAGUGCUAAGAAAUACGUCGAAGCUAUGGUUGAACUUCAACAGCAAGCUAAAAGUUCUUACGCGGAAGAAAUCAAUCUUGAAGCUGUUGAUUUUGUUGAAAUGCUAUGCCUUGAUGGUUGCUUUGUCAUCGAGUUCUUGAGGAAACUUUCUCAGCCUGAAUUAUACAACGAGAGUGAUCCCAUUUUUCAGAUGUCUUGGCUAAUAUCAGCCACUAAGAAAGACCUAAUAUUAUUUGAGAAUCAGUUGCCCUUUAUCGUCCUGCAGAAACUGUUCGAUAUGACCAAGUCGCAGGACGAAGAAAAGAAACUUAAUGACCUAGCUAUUCUCGGUCUGUCUUCGCUCAUGCCUGUUUCUUAUCCAGGUCAAAGUUCUCGUUCUACAAUCCCUGCAGGUCAUGAGGUUGUUCAUCUUCUUGACCUCAUGCACAAAAAUUUGACUGCCUCAUUUUCCAACACACUUGCGUAUCCCAAACAUGAAGAGACUAAAACCACAUGGCAGAACUUUUAUCGUUUCAAAAAAAAAAAACCCUCAUUGCAGAAACCAGUUAUUGAGCUACUACAUAGUGGAACGCAGUUCAAGAGGGCAAAGAAGAGUGAAUCCGUGCUCCGUAUCACAUUCGAAAAUGGUGUAGUUAAAAUCCCUCCUUUAUUUGUGGAUGAUCAUACAGAAUCCAUCUUCAGAAACUUCAUUGCAUACGAACAGUAUAUGUCUAAGCCAUUUGAGACAUGGAGGUAUGUAACUGAUUACAUAAGCUUCAUGGAUCUUCUCAUAGAUUCCCCAUCCGACGUUGAAAAGCUUCGCAACCGUGGUAUCAUCAGGCAUGGGUUAGGCAAUGAUAAAGCAGUCUCUGCAAUGUUUAACAAGUUAAGCAGUGAUGUUUCUAUUGAAAGUCCUUUCUGUUACGACAAAAUUUUGGAGAAAAUGAGGGAGUACUGCAGCAAACGCCCCCGUACUUGGUGGGCAAACCUCAUGCGGAAUUAUUUUCAUACCCCGUGGUCAAUCAUUUCAUGUCUGGCUGCAUGCAUUUUGCUUCUUCUCGCAUUGGUGCAGGCCAUAUUUUCCAUCCUACACUAGACUUUGACUUAAUGAAAUUAAAGUGAGUUAGUUGUGUCUGUUUUGUAAUUUGUUAGUCAUUGUACUUAAAUACCAACAACAUCAUUUUAUUUGUGUUCCGAUUGAUAAAAAAUUCUUGAUGUAAAAGAACUUUCCUGUCUUGGAUAUUACAUGAACUCCUAAAUGCAUGUUCUGCUAAUAAUGAACAUGAUCUCUUCUGUAUUAUGUUCUACAACUGAACAUUAAAAUAGCAAUGCCCCGUCUGGCUCAUUGAUUCAUUUUAGUCAACCUGACAAUUUUUAUGAACAUGGAUCUGUCUACACAUGUAUCUAUAUUUCUGUGUCAAGUAUAACCACAGUACGAGGCUAACUUUGAGUGUUACAUGGCACCGGUCCGAUCUGAGUGAGAGUACUACUAAAUGCAUGCAAAGGCUGACGAUGAGAACUCAAUGAAGCACGAAAAUUAAGUACACAAGAUUUUAAGCAAACUGCAAAGAAAGAAUUAAAAAAAUGAAGCUUUAGCAUUCAUCUGGCAAAAAAUCCUUGGCAGACUAUCAUAUAUAAUAGCAGUUAGAUACCAGUUGAUUGAAAUGCUAACUAAAUAAGUGUACUGAAAACAUAUAGUUUUACAGGAUCUAAUCGUUACUCCUGUGAUUUAAAGAAGACAAUAGAGAAAAGGCUCGGUUGAUUUUCAAACAAAGAAAACCCGGAAGAACACUUUUUUGGGCAAAUAGUUAUAAACAUGAAUUGCUUGUUACUUAUGGUUCCCGAAAUCUUAUCUAAUUAGCCACUGCACCCACAUUGGCUAGAAUGCUAAGUAAGGCAUAAAGACUGAAAGAAAAAAGUGUUGGAAAAAUGGCUAUAUUCAUUGUAGAGUGAAUGAGAAAAUUGUUCUCAUAAUGGCACUCUUGAAAGAAUCAAAGGAUAAUUAUCUAUUCAUGUACAUAGGAUUCAUGUAUAUUAAUUAUUGAUACAUGAUUUUAUCGUUAUCUUAUUGAGAUACGUGUAUAUACAUGAAUAUGGUACUUUGAUAAACGUGAAGAUAAUUAUCUGGAAUUUAUUCUUGUUGCCAAUUUCGAACAGUCACCCUUGGCCAUCAUCUAUAAAUAUCUCAUCUGUUUCAAAAGAAUGAGCGCUCUCUCUCUCUCUCUUUUUCCUUCUUGCAUCUCCAUAUUUUAGUGUUCCAUAUUGCUCUAGUUCGAGUUCGCUGUGGUGAAGAAAGUUCGGUGCUGACAUAUUCACCUUUAAUCCAUUGUAUCCUGGGAGACAAACGCCUACUUUAUUCACCAUAUUCACCUUUCUCAUGUUUGUCAUUUCGCGAAGCAAAGCAUAUGCUAAGGAAUGAAGGGCUGAGGCAUGUCUACUUUUUUUUUUUAAGAAAUAGAGGGCUUAAACAUUGGCUCUUCUCGUCUCUUAUCUUCUCUUCUCUUUACUUUAUUGUGCUCAGUCGCUCACUAUUUUCCCUCUACAAAGGAAAAAUUGCUAGCCAUCUAAAGUUUACUGGAAAAGAACAGCUAUGAACUCAUAUCUCAAAAUUCUAGAAAAUUAAAAUGUUUAAGAAUUUGUAGAUCCUAUCUAAAUGAACAUCUUGAAGUACAGAUUAUCUUUUGCUGAGUACAUUAAUAAGUUCAAAGUAACUUUCUAUAGAAGUAUGGAGGAAAAUAAAGUGUUUUUAUACAUUGGACUAUGGGAGAAAAGAACAAAGGGGCUAAAUUAUUAAUUAAGUUAUUUUUCAACUAUUUAAAUUCGUAUACCAAAAACAGAAAAAAAAAUUUAUUCUUCAUCGACCAUAAUUAGAUAAAAGCACCACUCUUAAAUUUUCUUGUUCUACUCUUUACUACCUUUUCCUAUGUAAAAUUAGACAUAUGCCACUAGGCUAAUAUAUCCAAAAGUUGACAGCAUGGCUGGUAUAAUGUGGUCUUACAAAAAUAAUAAUAAUAGUAUAUAGUGGACUACCUAUGAGCUUCCCAUCCCAAAGGACUAAAAGCUUGAUAUAACUUCCACCCGCUUUCUCCAGCUUUUUGUCUCUAUUUCUGAUCAAGAUUGCUACACGUGAGACUCUCCUCUUGCCCAGGUAAAUUUUUCCAGUAUUUCUCUGUUGUGAAAUAUAUUGGAAAUCUUAGUAGCGAACUAGUUGAAAAAAAACUUCUUCUUUAAAUUGAGUCAUAUUAGUUCAUAUUGUCCUAUAACUCAGUUUUAUAUCUAACUUGGUAUAUAACCAUUCCACCAUUCCAUACUACUAAAAGUUGUACUGAGUGAGAGUGUUGUGUUGAUAUAUUCUUUCUUCUGUAUGCAUCCAAGAUUCCUACUGCCAAUAAACCCCUUAGGUCUUUUUGAAGCAUUUCAUCAAUUUCUCAGAAAAUAUGUCUGAUACCCUUUGUUUAGUAGCCUUUGCUUGUCUUUUGAUUCCGUUUACUUUUCCUCUUUUAUGUUCUAGGAUAAUUGCAUAUAUGUGGCUAAACUUGUACAAUUUCUAACUAGAUCAAUUGAGUGAGAUUGGAAGACAAAUGCCUAAACAAGACAAUAGAAUAGCCAAGAUUAUGUAUCCCUCCCAGCAAUACGGGCUGGUGACAUUGAUUUGUUUUCAGCCCUUACCUAACUUUACAUGAUGACUAGCUUCAAACGACAAAAACUUUUAAAAGUCAGAAUCAGCACCCGGAAAUCAGUAUAAACCUGGUUCAAGAAGUUGCCAAUCAACUUAAUUAGACUGAUUUUGUUAAUCUUUCCGCGCAGCAUUUUAUUCUCCAAAGAGGAUGCCCGGAGAAAUGCUAAAAUUUAUUUCUACUGUCUCGAUCGAAAGCUUUCUCAGAUAUCAGAAACAUCAAAUGAGAAAUGUAUAUUCAGAGUCCAUGACAGGCUACGGAGGCACAACCCUCAGGCAUACGAACCAGAAAUUGUUGCUAUUGGACCUUAUCAUCAUGCUAAAAGUAAAUUGCCAAAAAUGGAAAAGCAUGAGCUGUGGUAUUUGCAAUAGCUUCUUCUUCAAAGAGGCGAGUCAAGUGUGGAAAGAUACAUUGUAGCCUCGUCACAGCUUGAAGAGCGCACUCGAAGGUGUUAUGCAGAAGAAACUAUUAAAUCUAUUCUUUAAAUGUAUAAUUGCUCCUUUUCCUAUCUCAUUUUAUUGUGAUGAUUUGAAGUGGAAAAGAUUCUGAUAUUGGUGUAUUUACUAUGUUUUUUGUUACGGGAGUUAAGUGUCUGUGAAUUCCUCAAUAGAUUUAAUAGUUUUUUUUUAACGAUGUUAAUGUUGAAAUUUGGAUUUUUUUUUUUUGUUUUUGCAUCUAUAUAUACAUUUAUAUAUACAUGGGAUGAUUGCAUUUAGUAAACCUAACAAGUUGGUACAGCUAAAAAGUGCCUAGAUAUACACCAUUAUUGUUGAAGUUUAUUUUCUUAGGUCCUUCCGUUCGUACUUCAUGAGAUUAUAAUAUGUGUUUAUAAUAGCACUAUAUAAGGAAGCAAUCAUUCACCUUUUUUAUAAUCAACGGAGGAAUGAUUAAUCAUUAUUUAUAAGCUGCUUACAUACUUCUUGCUGCAUUGUUUUGUUCUGCUAGAGUGCUAGUGUUUUUUAACUCUCAAGUCAAGACUAAUAGUAGUUUUCCUCUUCAAAAGUCUAUGGCUGCUAAUUAAGUCGUGUUAUAAUUAUAUCCUGAUAUUAAUUCUCUAUUUUUCAUUACGCAGAUUGAACAUUUAAUUUGCCAUUUUACCAGCCAUGACUUUAUGAUAUUCUUACAAUCUUAAACUUAAUGCGGAUAGUACUGGAUUUUCAAAUCUGGAAAAGUUGGAACUUUUGUGUUAUGACACGUUAGAACUAACUUUGUUACAGCAUUUAUUCAUGCUAAUUUUGAUAAAUAAGGAAUUCAAAUUAUUUUGCGAUAUUUGAUGAAAGUUCAUACAUAUGUUAAUUCAAGAAAUAGACAUCUUCCUUUAGCUCCCUAAAAAUCAUUUAGAGUGUUAUGUAUGAUUUGACAGGAUCCAUUUAAUUUUAUUUUCUCCAAAAAUAUUUUUUUUGGCAAAUGUACUUCUAGUUAUACCUUUCUCUUGGCUAAUAUCCUUAAACAUGGGUCUUUAAGCUACAUUUUUUUACACUUUUUUAAACCCUUUUUCUUUCUCAAUUUUACUGUUUUGUUUAAAAGAAUUAUGAUUAAAAAAAAUUCAAGGACGGCUGAAAAGAAUAAGCACCCCAGCACAAACGCGCGUUUACCCCUAGAUUUAAACACAUGAACAACCUAAGAUUGACAUUAAAAGAUAGUUUUUUCUUUUAACUGAAAUAGCAAAAAAGAAAAACUUGUGAAACUCACUGAAACGGAAAAUUAAGUCAUAAAAGCACAUAAAGGAGAACAAUUAACUAAUGAUAACACCGAAAAAUUAACUAAUUCAAGUGACAUGAAAGAGAACGUUCGAAAUCCAUCAAAUAGACAGAGACUUUUUACCCACUUUAUACACUUCACCCAUAUAAAUGACAAACAAUCUAAUGUUAACUUCUCUACAACAAUUUCUACUCUCUUGGACACGAAAAAGAAGAAGGACAGUAAAAAAAAAGUGAUUGCAGGUACCAAUCUUAUGCAUACUUUUCUUUUCUUUUUUUGGAGUCUGGAGGGUAAGGGGUAUCUUGGAAUCACCAAUUCUGAUCCCCCAGACUGAACAGAGCUCACUCCAUAGAUGACUAACAACAGUAGCACGUGGGAGUCGAAUCUAAGAUCUUGUUGUAACUAUAAACGACUAGUUACAACUGAGCUACUCACGAGGGGCUUAUGCGUACUUUUCUAAAAUUGAUAUUUUGGUGAACCAUUCUAUAUAUCCUCUGAUAUUCAUCUAUUUUAGAUAUUAUAUUUAUACUCAGGGCCUUUACUUUGAAUCUUUUUUAAUUUUUUUUACUAAUCAAACAGUUGCAAUUUUUUCCCAUUUCAUCUAUUUUCGGCUCCUAUGGAAACAUCACAGAAUCAGUUGAUAAGCUCAUUAAAGCCUGAUGAGAAAAUGUGGAUGCGUAGAGUCUUGCUAUUACUGAAAUUUGGCAUCGAGGCGUAUAUGGGAAAACAAAAAUCUGGAAAUCUUCAGAAGUUAAUUUUCCUACACAGGCAGGUAAAAAAUCAUAAACUUUAACAUUUACUUUUGAAUCUAUAUUUUGCACAUUAUUUUCAAGAAAAAUUCAAAAGGCAUAUAAAAAUUCAAGUUAUUAUGUUUGAUGACAUCAAGGAAAACUGUUCCUAUUCCUUAUAGGAAUCAACAUAAAAUGAGGACUUUUCCUCCAUCUCUCUAUCUCAACCAUUUGGUCGUCACCUUCCUUUCCUCCUCUUCUAGCUAUCCUUAAUUUCCCCUCAAAUCCCAAAUAAAUUAUCUUCUCUAGGUUAUUAUGUCCUUCAUAACCAGAGCUACACUCUUGAAUAGUUAACUUGUAUCUCCCCAUUUUUUAUUUUUUACUUUUUUCUGUCUUCUGAAAAUAAUAUUCAAUUAUCUAGACAUGUACUGCACAUAGAAGUUUAAGCAACUACGGUGAUGAUUAAAGGGAUAAUUGAUUAUGCUUCGCUGGUGGUGGAUGGCUUGAGAUUUUGAUUUUUAUAAAGCUAAAUCAUGAACAUGAGUAAAAUGGUUGCUAAAGCUCACUGGUCAUCUAUCAGUAUAGUUUAUCAUCAAUGGAGUUCGGUUGGCUUUCUUGUAAGUUGAUUCAACUGCUUAUUGGAUAUGAAUAUUUUUCACGUAAUAAUAACUAAAGAUUGGUUUUCACUGCCUAACGUCAAGCGACCAGAUAGAUUACAUCAGGAAAAAGGAGAAAAAUGAUAUCGGGAGUCGGGCAACAAAAAGGGGUUGAUCAGUAGAAUCCAGUGGAGAAGAAAAAUAUUUUGGGUUUUUGAAUAAUUAAGGAACUAAAUUUGUUAAAUUAAUGAAACUGUCUUGAUAGGCGUUUGUGAGUGUGAAACUCCCACCGUCUGUCAUCUUGUUGUUUUUCCUUCUAUAAAAAGUGACUUUGAACUUAUUAGUAUACUCAGCAGAAGAUGAUCUGUAAUUCAAGAUGUUCAUUCGGAUAGGAUCUACAAAUUCUUAAACAUUUUAUUUUUCCAGAAUUUUGAGAUAUGAGUUCAUAGCUGUUCUUUUCCACUAAACUUUAGAUGGCUAGCAAUUUUUCCUUCAUAGAGGGAAAAUAGUGAGCGACUGAGCCCAAUAAAGAGAAGAGAAGAGAAAACAACCAAUGUUUAAACCCUCUAAUUCUUUAAAAAAGUAGACAUGUCUCAGGCCUUCAUUCCUUAGCAUAUGAACUGACAAAGUUGAGAAAGGUCGGAACGUUGGAGACAACAUUUCUUAGAUAAAGCCUUCGCAUUAACAACUAAGAACUAUUUCAAAUUUACAUAUGUACUUAAUUUUGGUACCAGCAAGCAUGACAGAUUUACUUAUUGUACUGCUUCUUUUUUUUUUCUUUCGAGUCUUUGUGCUUUACUUAUCAUCCUACCCAAUGUGGAUGCAGUGGCUAAUUAGAUAAGAUUUCCGGAUCCACAAGCAACAAACAAUUCAUGUUUAUAACUAUUUGCCAGAUAAUGUGUUCUUCUGGGUUUGCUUUGUUUGAAAAUCAACCGAACCUUUUCUCUGUUUUCUUCUUUAAGUCACAGGAGUAACAAUUAGAUCCUGCAGAACUAUAUGUUUUCAGUACACUAAUUUUGUUAGCAUUUCAAUCUAAUGGUAUCUAACUUCUAUUAUAUACAAUAGUAUGCCAAGGAUUUUUUGCCAAAUGAAUGCUAAAGCUUCAUUCUUUUAACUGUUUCUUUGCAGUUUGCUUAAAAUGUUGUGCACAGAUAAGUUGCAAUUCUGUCAUUAAUUUUAUAAUUAUUUCCCUCUUUUAUCUUACCAAAUAUUGCAUUAAUUAGUGUAUUCUAUUUACUUUUGAUAAUUUGUGUUGAUUGUAGGGAUUUGAAGCAAAAACGGAUUAAAGGCGUGAUUUUCAUUGAAUUUUUGUACUAAUCAACGUGAUCGCAUCAAAAUUUAAUUCUGCAAGUUCGGAAACUCGGAAGUUCACGUGUGAUUUUGUCAGGCCCCAGUUUCUAAGUGUUGUCGUUUGAUGUGGAGUGCUCUGCGUUUGAAGGUUUGAAGGGUAGCAGUCUUAAACGACGUAGUUAGACUAAGUCAGUUAGUUGGAGUUAGUUGCAACAGAUAACAGAAAUUGUAUAAAGGUCCCUUUCAAUUGCUGUAUUUGAUUACCAGAUUCAUAAUACAAGAAUUACUUUCUCUUUCUUCUCUGUUACUCUCUCUUGCCUUCUCUCUUUUCUCUCGAUUUCCCUCCUUCCCUAAUUCUUUUCUUCCAAUCUGUUACCGAUCGAUCUAGCUCAGGAGUGCUUGCCUGACAAUUGGUAUCAGAGCAGCCGAUCCUUGGCUGCUUUGGGCACCACUCAUGGCUGAAAACACCAGGUAUCGUUCUCUGGAAGAACAGCUCAAGAAGCAGGAAACUCGACUCCAAGAAGUAAUGGAGACCAUGGCGGCAGCUCAGGCUUCCUGUCAGAAUAGCUUGCAGCAGAAACUCCAGGAGGAGCUCGGACAGAACAACGCGAAGGUAGAGGCGAUGGUCGGUAAUUUGGAUCAGAGGUUCAGUAAGAUGGAGAUGAAACUCAAUGCAUUGUUUAAGGUGAUGAUGAAAGAAAAAGGUAUGCAGGAGACAGAGGCAAGCUCGUCAGAACCACUUCUACCGACUCCUCCGCCGCAUUGUAAGCUCAUGACGUCCACAGAGGUGCCUGGAGCUCAGCAGGAGGUGAGAACUAAGAAUUUCACUCCUAACUUGCCAAGACUUGAAAUACCUAUGUUCGCAUCUGGUAAUCCUAGAGAAUGGUUGAGGAAAUGUCAAAAAUAUUUUCUGAAUUAUCAGAUACCUGAAAAUCAAAAGGUAGAUAUGGUGGAAAUGUUCUUAGAGGGGAGGGCUGACAAUUGGUUCCAAGGAGUUAGACUAGAAAAACCUAGGUUGACUUGGGCUGAAUUUUGCGAGCUGUUGUGUGAGAGGUUUGCAGGGAAGUGGUCACGCGAUGUGGUUGAGGAAUUCAACAAAUUACAACAAAAGGGGACAGUAGAAGAGUAUGAGGAGAAGUUUGAGGAAUUGAAAACACUAAUGUUGAUCAGGAAUCCUAGGCUGGACGAAGGUUAUUUUAUAUCCAGUUUCAUUAGUGGAUUAAAGGAUGAGAUCAAACCAAUGGUCAAAAUGUUCAAACCACAAACUCUGUCCAAAGCAUUUGAGGUUGCUGAAUUGCAGGAAUGUUCACUGGAGACCAUGUCCAAGCAAUCUAAGACCUCAGGCAGGAAUGUGGUUGAACCGAAGUAUGGGAUGUUUAGAAACCACAGCACUGGUCAGAACAAUUCCAGCUCCUAUAAACUUCCUGCUAUUGAUCCUACUAACAGGAAGGGUGACUAUAGAUCCAGGGAAGUGAGCAGGAUUUCAGCUGAGGAAAUGCAGUAUAGGCGUAAGCAUGGCCUUUGUUAUAGAUGUGGUGAUAAAUUUGGAAUUGGGCAUCAGUGUAAGGCUGGGGGGUUAAACUGUGUGGGUAUAGAGGAAGAGGAGGAAGCUGAAUUCGAAGAUGCAGAAGGAGAGCAGGAUGAGCUCACUGGUAGGGUGGGAGAAAUGGCUGAGGUGUCACUGAACGCUCUAGCAGCAGCAAUACAGAGGAAAUCUAUUUUACUACUGGGCAAUUUAGGGGGAAUACCUGUCAAGAUCCUAGUAGACACUGGUAGCUCUGACAGCUUCAUACACUAUCAGUUGGCGAGAUCUCUUCAGCUUCCUUACCAGACAGUCAGGCCUUUUACUGUAACCUUGGCAGAUGGCACAGACAUUACUAGUGGCACAAUUUGUCCGGAUGUUAGGUGGUUAAUACAGGAUUACCAGUUUCAAUUCGACCUGAAGAUAAUGGAGUUGGGGAACUGGGAUAUCAUUUUGGGAGUUGACUGGAUGUGUCAAUUCAGCCCCAUUACCUUUGAUUUUCACGCACUCAGUAUUGCUCUUAGCAGCAGGGGUGACUUAUUACAUCUCCAAGGCCACAUUAAUCAACCUGUGAUGGAACUAGUAAGGGGUAAAGAUCUCAGGGCUUUUAUACAAGAAAAGCAAAGGAGUUGUGCCUUCCUGCAGAGGAAUUCCCAGGGAAAUCAAGAGAGGGAUACGCCUGAGCAAGUGGCUUCAGUUCUGCAACAGUACUCUCAGGUGUUUGAUACUCCUCAAGGACUACCCCCUGAGAGAGAACUGGACCAUCAGAUUCCCCUGAAACCUGGAGCAGAGCCAUUCAAACUUAAGCCUUACAGGUACCCCCAUGCACAUAAAUCUGAGAUUGAGAAACAGGUUGCUGAAAUGCUUACAAAUGGAAUUGUUAAGCACAGUUGUAGUCCAUUUGCUUCUCCUGUGCUGUUGGUUAAGAAAAAAGACAAUACCUGGAGGCUAUGUGUGGACUAUAGGAAGCUGUAUGUAGGGGCAGCAAAUGGAAUCAGGCACAAUCUGAUCAAGGCUUUACACGACUCAGCAGUUGGGGGUCACUCUGGUCAAAGAGCUUGUCUGCAAAGGAUACAAUCUAUAUUCCACUGGCCAGGCAUAAAAAGGGAUGUUGUACAGUUUAUUCAGGCUUGUGAUACUUGUCAAAGGAAUAAGCAUGAAAAUGUCCCUUAUCCAGGCCUUCUGCAACCUCUUCCAGUUCCUCAACAGGCAUGGACACACUUGACUAUGGAUUUUAUUGAACAGUUGCCUUUAUCUCAGGGGUAUGAUACCAUUCUGGUAGUGGUGGAUCGUUUCACUAAGUAUAGUCACUUCAUGAAGUUGUCCCAUCCAUAUUCAGCUCAUCAGGUAGCUGAGUUGUUCCUGGACCAGGUGUACAAGCUGCAUGGUCUACCUGAGUCCCUCACCUCUGACAGGGACAAGGUCUUCAUUAGCAGGUUCUGGCAAGAGCUGUUUCGUGCCAUGGGGGUUGGGUUGCAGUAUAGUUCCUCUUAUCAUCCUCAAACUGAUGGUCAGAGUGAAAGGGUCAAUCAGUGUCUCGAAAGCUACUUGAGGUGUAUGUGUAGUGAACAUCCAUCCCACUGGAGUACUUGGUUGUCUGCAGCCGAGCUGUGGUAUAAUACUAAUUUCCACACCAGUCUGCAACUGACCCCUUUUGAAGCUCUAUACGGAUACAAGCCGUUGCACCUGCCUUUAGGACCCUUCCAUGAUAGUGUUGUCCCCGCAGCUGUUGGUAUGGUGCAGGAGAGACUACAGGUUUUAGCCAACAUCAAACAUAAUCUGGCCAAAGCCCAGAAUAGAAUGAAGCACUUUGCUGAUCAAAACAGGACAGAGAGGUCCUUUCAGGUGGGGGAGUGGGUCUUCCUGAAACUGCAGCCUUAUAGACAACAGACAGUGGCUAUCAGGAAGAGUUUAAAGCUGUCUCCUAAGUACUAUGGGCCCUUCCAGGUUAUCGAGAAGAUUGGAGCAGCAGCUUACAAGCUGCAACUGCCGGAGAAGGCCAGAAUACAUCCAGUGUUCCACAUUUCUCUGUUGAAGAAGAAGGUUGGGGUAGGCUUGGGCACUGAACCUACCCUGCCUGAGUUUGAUGCCUCUGACCAGUGUAUUUUGCAGCCGGAAAGGAUAGUCAAGAGGAGGGUUGUUCUACGCAAUUCCCAACCCGUCAUUCAGUAUUUGGUCAAAUGGAAUCACUUGCCCGAAACUGAGGCAUCGUGGGAGGACAAGACGUUCAUUGACAAGCAGUUUACUGAUUUUUCAGCUUGAGGACAAGCUCAUUUCUUAUCAGGGAGGGAAUGUCAGGCCCCAGUUUCUAAGUGUUGUCGUUUGAUGUGGAGUGCUCUGCGUUUGAAGGUUUGAAGGGUAGCAGUCUUAAACGACGUAGUUAGACUAAGUCAGUUAGUUGGAGUUAGUUGCAACAGAUAACAGAAAUUGUAUAAAGGUCCCUUUCAAUUGCUGUAUUUGAUUACCAGAUUCAUAAUACAAGAAUUACUUUCUCUUUCUUCUCUGUUACUCUCUCUUGCCUUCUCUCUUUUCUCUCGAUUUCCCUCCUUCCCUAAUUCUUUUCUUCCAAUCUGUUACCGAUCGAUCUAGCUCAGGAGUGCUUGCCUGACAGAUUUCUAGUCUUGGAUUGGAGCCGUGGAAGAGACUCUUUAUCAACAGACUAGUUUUCUAUUCUUAUUAGGAGAUUAGUCUAUCUGACUAGGAGGAGUUUUCUUUGGUUUAGGAAAGUAGUUUUUUUCGAUAGGAAUAAAGAGACGGGAAGUCCGAAACAAUAGCAACAGGACUUCUUUUUCUCCUUGGUUGCAAGGAACAAACACACGCUUUUUCUUUUCUUCUUAAUUCCGAUACUUCAUCACACUCUUGGGGAGAAUGGCCGCGGCAAUAAACUCCAAUAUUUCGCUCAUGGCUUUUUCCAUGGAGAUGAACUAACUUUUUCUAGUCAAGGGUUAAUUUGAAGAUGCGGUUCCAAAUAUCUGUGAGAUCGAAUUAUUUUACUUAUUUCUUUUAUUUUUUGGUAUUCAUACGUUUUCUGGUUUAAUUGCUUAUGAUUGUUUUGUUAUUUGAAUAUCAAGGGCCCGAUAUUUGAAUUAAUCUAAUAAUCUACUGUCAUAUUAAUUGAUUGAAUCCGUAAUUGUUCAAUUGAUUAAUACCAGUGGCAACUAGCGUGAUUGGUUUCAUGUUAGGAAAAUUUAUGAUCUAACUUAAACGAACCCUCAUAGCAUGUUUGUUGGUUAGGAUUGGAUUUUUCUAAUUAUUAAUGCAAUUGAGAAACUAAAUCCUAUGGUCGUACUUAGAGUUGUUUCUUAGUUAGAAAAAUAGUCAACGGUCGUAACUUGACUAUCGAAAAAGUAAGGAAAAGCUGGUUGUUUAUCGCGUGUAUGACAACUACAACCAUUUUACUAAUGAGUAAUUGAAUUAUCUUUGUAUCGAUAAUUAGUUGAAUGGAUCGUGUCUGAAAAGUUGCACCUUUGGCUAAAGUCGUAUUGGUUAUUGAUUAAUUCUUGUUUAUUUCUAUUAGUUGUUUCAUUAGUUGGUUAAUUAGUUAUUUUAUAUUUUCCAAAAACUCCCCAUACUUCAGACUCUAGAAGAAACGAAUUAUCUCCAGUCCUUGUGGAUUCGACCCUGUUCACCGCUAUAUACAAAAUUUAUAUUUUUUUCGAGUAGAUAUUUAUUAUUGUACAGACUCGACACCUGUCAUGUACUUAAUUUUUCGUGCUUUAUCGAGUUCUCAUCAUUAGCCUUUGCAUGCAUUUAGUAGCACUCUCACUAAGAUCGGACCAGUGCUAGGUAACUAUCAAAGUUAGCCCUAUACUGUGGUUAUACUUGACACAAAGAUGUAUAGAUAUACAUGUGUAGAUAGAUACAUGUUGACUUAUAUAGAUAUACAUUCACAUCAAGAAUUUGUUAUCAAUCAAACUCAUUGAAUUGUUUAGUUACAUAAAUAGGUGAUUGGGUAGGUGAUACUGUAAAAAGGAAGAGUAUUUCAGAGUAUGUAUUUUUUAUUGGUUAUGGAGUGUUUUCUUAGAAUUCUAAAAAGCAGCAGGUGAUUGCAUUGUCUACUACAGAAGCAAAGUAUAGUGCAGUAGCUAACAGUGCAACUCAAGUUUUGUGGUUGCGUCGCAUUCUUGGUGUACUACAACACAAGCAAGUUGAUCCUACGAACAUUUAUUGUGACAGUAAAUCGGCUAUUGAAUUGUCCAAGAAUCCGAUUCUCCAUGGGUGCAGUAAACACAAAGACAUUAAAUAUCACUUUGUACUUGAGUCGGUUCAAGAGAAGGAGAUUGAGAUGGAUUAUUGCAGGACUAAAGAGUAAGUGGUGAAUAUUUUCACAAAAGCAUUGAAGAUGGAGACUUUUGUCAAAUUGAAGAUGUUAGGCAUGUCCAGUUUAGAGGUGUUUGGUUUGAGGGAGGUAAUGCAGAAAUAUAAACCGAGCCUUUAACUAUUUAUUUAUGUUGCCAUGUAACAUUUGUGGAUUGGUUAGUAUUAUUAUUUGAUUAAUAGAGUGGUUAUGUGGGAUUAAAUCCCUUAUUAGUAGUAGUGUUAGUAAUAGAAGUCCGCCACUAAGGGGAUUAGUAUUACAACCUCUGCGUCCGUUUUUAAGUAGUAGCCUCUAUUAUUCUUUAUAUUGUGCAGCGAGAGCCUCGUUUGAUUAACAGAAAUUUUCCCUUUACCUCAAUAUCGUUUUUCCUUUAAUUGUUCCUAUGGGUUUGUGUUUAAUUAUUAGUUUGGGUCCAUCAUGUUUAAUGGUCCAUAGCAGAUUACAAACUAUAUAUUAGGUUCACAACCAUAAGGGUGGAUAUAUGUAGGACAAUCCAAACUCAACAACCAAUUAUUCUACUAUUUAUUCAACUUUACUACCAUGAGAGUUUUCAUAAUGCCUAAUUCAACAUGAAAAUACAUUUCAAACAAAAAGGGUUCCAACUUUAGUACAGCAUUAGACAAAAGCAAACAGAAAUGAGUCCAUUAUUCACCUUUAGUAACUUUGAGAGAAUUUAUGUACUAUUAUACUCAAGUUAAAAGCUUAAGAAAAGAAUCAAAAGAACUUGACGAGUAGGAUAAGACAUUGCACAGAAACCGCCAGUGUUGUAUAUAGGGCAAUUGUGAUUGCUAGAGGAAAUACAGGGUUGAAAAUAUUGUUGGUGCAAGGCCUAUAUAUAUGAAGUUCUUUACUUGCAACAGUUAAGUAUUAAUCUUCUUCUCCUUUCUUGUUAAUUAUUCGGAGGUUAUCUAUCUUAAUUGCAUAGAGACUACGAAUAUAUGUAGCUUGUAUUCUGUUUCGUCAUUUUUGUUUAUGUUUGACUGUAAAGUACAGCUUUAUGCUUGUGGUUAUCUCACACACACACGCGUGUAUGUAUAUAUGUCACCAUUUGGCCUUGUUUGUAAUCAAUAACAAAAAAUUCUUGUCAAUUUUAAAGCUAUUUCUAAUUUAAAUAUUAUGCACAGAUUUCUGGUUUAUCACAGUUGGAUGCUUGACUAAAACAUGUUUAGUUGGCAGAAGAGUAACCGACAACUAGGCAUCCUGAGGCAGCAUUGAAAGCAGAAUAUUUGAUUUCAAAUUUUGAUCUUCUAGCCAUAUUUAAGAAAAAUAAUUAAAUAAUUUACAUGUGUAAGACUUGCUACAUUCUGGAUGGCCAAGUAUAGCUCACAAGUUCUUUAUACUAGUGCUCAAUGCACAUCCAAUGUAUGCGCAAUCAAAAAAUAUAUAAAAAUCAUGGUAAUAUAUUUUAAAUAAAAUUUUUAUUACUUAAGCAAACUUUAAUCUUUUAAAUAUUUUCAUAAAAUAAUUUUAUAUUGGUAGUUCAUGUUUACAGGUAAUUAUGUUGAAUAUAUAUGCAUAAAUGGUUAAAAGUAAAAAUAAUCAUGGAUAGUUAUAAAUAGUUAAAGUCAACGUAAUUUUUAUAAAGAUUAAAAAAAAGGUUCAUAAAGUAACGAUAAGUGUUAAAUCAAAUAUUAACCCAAAACUCUUCCGCAAGCUUUAUAUAUAGUAUAUAGAUAUUCUUUAUAUAUGCUAAACCAGGAUAUCUAAAUCAAGUUGCUUAUUUGCCGGCAUAUGGUACCAAGUAGAAUGCAGAGAACUAUACAUAUGUUUGCAUCAAAAUUCUUUUUCAAAAUCAUUUCUCUAUCAAGAAAAAGAGGAGGAAUAUGUCGGUGAAUGCUCAUCAUCUGGUCAGUCCUGAAGAUUUAAAUGCUCAUCAUCUCUACCAACCUCGCCCCUGGCAACUCAAAGGAACGUCUCCUUCAAGAUUUAAAUACUCAUCAUCUCUCCCAACCUCGCCCCUGUCAACUCAAAGGAACGUACCAAAGAAAUGCUCAUCAACUCUCGCAACCACUCCCUGGCUACUCAAAGGAAGGCCCCCCUGAAGAUUUAAAUGCUUAGCAACUCUCCCAACCUCCCACGUACCUGAAGAUUUAAAUGCUUAAGAAAAGAAGAGGAAUAUGUUGGCGAAUGACGAAGAUUUAAGAGUAAACGUUGAUAUAUAGACUUCCAUGGGACUUUGAAAAUCGUUUAGGGACUAACAACUGAGAAACUCGAAGUACUUUUGUGAGACUUUAAAAAUUUAGUUUCAAGGAUCAAAUACAUAAACUGCUUAAAAAAUAACAGAGAGCUACGGUUAAUUUUACAUGAAGCGUUGCACGUGUCAACACAGAUGAGCAAGUUGCAGAUACAUUCAUGAAGCGUUUAAGUCCUUCCUUUUUUUUUUCAGAGACGAUAAACCUAAUCUAUUUUAUACUAAGGGGAGGGGGCGGACCUAAGGAAACUCAGGGAUAACUCGGAGGGAACUGAACCAUCAUCGGAUCAGACGGAUGCACAGCACACUCACCUAAAUUUUUUAAAAAUAAGCCAUUUAAAUGUGACAUUUUUGGGGUGAGAGGUAACAACUAGGUGUUGGCCACCAACCUUUGGGCUGGUGGUUGUUUAAGUCCUUCCAAGUUCGUGAAAUUUCAAAAAAAUGCUCGAUAUGACUACAAGAAAAGUUAGUGCCGAGGGAGGGCGUUAAAGGUCAUCAUUGACUUGUGGCAAUCCAAUGGGCCACGUUCAAUUAUAAAUUUGCAUUUAUUAGGAGUUUGUUUCUUUCUUUAGCAUAACAGAAGAUUUGGCAAAGGUUAAUUUUUGCAACUCGGAUAUGGGAAAUGUUUUACUGCUAAGUCACGCCUGAAUCUAAAGCCAAAUUAGGGCCUAUUUGAUAACUCUACUUAAUGUCAAAAAUUAAUUUAUUCAAAACUUUUUAAAUUUAGCGUGUUUGAUAAUAGAAAUACCUUACCACACUUAAUGUGUUAAACAUUCGUAAUUUGUGUACAAACUUUUAAAUGAAAAUUUUCACUGAAUCUUUUAAAUUGACUAUACAUGUUGUACCUCUCACACGCACAACACACUCUUGUACCAUUCUUCUUGCACAUGUUACAUAGUUGUUUUCUUUAUGUUCAACGCACAUGGAUACACAUGCAUGUACCGAGCUAGCUCAAUUGGCCACCAAAAAAAGGAUUGAGUCCCUCCCUAGGCGUAGGUUAGGGGUUGCCUAACUGUGUUUCCUCUCCAGAAUUUUCUGGAGUACUAUGGUUGAAAGUUAUUUAACUCUUUUCGAGCUUCUAAAUAGAUUAGAUAGGUUCAUCUCCCUCUCAUUUCCCCCUAAUAUAGGACCAAUUGUAAUAAUGUUGUACUCUAAAAAAACAAAAAAGAUACACACGCCUGCACACACAAUCUCUUAUAUAUACACAAAUACACACACUUAUACACCACUUCUAAAUUGUUUCUUUAUUUUCUCUCUCUCACAUACACGCACACUUUUUUCUAUUUCUUCAAAUACACAAAUGAAGGCAAUUUUUUAAAAAAUAAAAAAAAACAAUAUUUGUUCUACAUUAUAAUUCAGUAUUAUAAUUCAAUUAAUUAUCAAACAAAUAUAACUUAAACAAUUCAGGAACUCAAUACUUUCAAUGCUUAACUUUUAGAAUUCAAAAUUCAGAUUUCAAAUUUCAACUUUAUCAAAUGGUGUUUUCAGGAUUCUAACAUUUAAUGUGAUAAGGAAAAUUGGUGUUGCAUGUCGAGCACCUUACUAAUAUAAAUAGUGGUUCAUUUUCUCAAUUGAAGUGCACCAGAGCUGGAGAGAAAGAAAGUUUGAGCAAAUAUCUCAAGAGUGCGACUCCAAUAAAAUUAGAGGGUGAGGCUCAAUUUGGUAUCAUCUAUUAUAAGUUUAUUUUCCGAAUAUUGUUAUUAUAAGAAUUUCCGAAUACACUUUAAAUGUAAUAAAAUUGUUCGUUUGCCCUCCUAUAUUAGUGGAUUUAAUCCAAUAAUUUGGUGUUAAACCCGCCACAAUUUCAACAUGUGCAACGGCUAACAUCUGAGGAAAUUCUUCUGUGUUAGGUACAGGCUAGUGUGUGUGUGUAUUCUUCUCGUGUAAUUAUGUGCUUUCUUGUUUAUUUAACAGCCUAAAUCUUAGUUGCACACAAACAGAUAUAUCAGUUUGCAUAGAUUUUUUUAGCUUAAUGGCAUGCCUUCUAUGUCUAUGGUACAAAGUAAAGCUUUUUCAUUGUCUUUAUCAUUUGUAUGCAUAUCCAUAUAGCCAAACGAGCCAAGAACCGGCGGAGCUACUAUGCCAAAGGAAAUUUUUAAUUUUCUGUAUACAAUUUUUUUACAAAUUUUUAUUUUAUUCCAUUAAUUUUGGUCGGGAUUAUAUAUAAUUUUUUUUUAAUUAAUCAUGUACAAACAGGUCUGAGCCUUUGCUUUGCUAAAGUCAACUCAUGAUGUUGGCAUUACGCGGGAAUCAUCUUCGAUAUGGAUACAUAACCUGUGCAAGUACGUAUAUUCUUACAUCUUUUUCUCCAACUUUGGUGAGCGGCAUCUUCAUGACUCCUAACAACAAAACUAGUGGUGUUUGUUUGGACUUCCCACAUGGGUGUCCUUUCUGGAAACAAAAAAUUGCUCGUCAUUCAUGUUUCCUCCAUCUUUUGAUAACGAAGUCUGGAAACACAGAACGGUAAUUAGUUAACCACUAAAAAUUUCUGAGUUUCAUAAACUUUUCUUCUUGGUCUUUAGUUUGCAUACAAAAUAGAAAAUCCAACAUUUAUGUCCUCAUUAUGAUUCUUAUAAGGAACAGGAACAGUUUUCCAGCUAAAACUAUACAUCCUUGGUAACUGGAAUUUGACAAAUUUUUUUCCACGUUUUUAAGGUACGGACCAUACAGGCUCAAAUUAAGUUUCGAAGCAUGAAUAGAUUCCAUUUAUAUGUAUCAUCUUGUCCAAGUGUUGAUCAUCUGACUUCUAUGCUUCAUAGCUUUCAUCUAUAUCUUGCAAAUUAACUUUGGUGUAUGAAUAAGAUUUUCCUUUUCUUUACCUAAGAGUGCUUCUGCAUUCAAUUUGGUUAGGAACUAAUUUUGAGGCUCUUCUUUGUUAUUCAGAGAAUUUUAAUCUACUGUCUGAUCAAAAGGUAUGUUGUGGUAUAAGUCAACUGUACCCAAGAAACAACAAGUUUCACCAGUCACCAAAAUGCACAAAAAAAAAAAGGAAUUUUGUGAUAGUCAUGUAGCGCUUGGUUAAGAUUCAUUCUAAUGGGAAUCAACCAAAAUGCUUAAAUUUGCUGAUCCUUCUUGCUGUUUCUCCCGUAGCAAUUUUUCCUGCUGUUUAUACGUACUCAACAAAGAUGUCCGAAGACAUAUCUGACGAAAUCUCCGUUCGCAUUGAUGAAAAGUAUUCUGUUAGGACCGGACCAGGAAAUAGACAAACUCAAGUUAGCACAAAUUAGGCGGUAUAACCGACCAUAUAAUAGAUAGGCGGUAGAUACCAGCCAUAUAAUAAUUAGGCGGUAAAACCGACCAUAUAAAGACGGAUAACAAAGCAAAUAAAAGACACAGAAGAUUUACGUGGUUCGGUCAAAUUGACCUACGUCCACGGGCGAGGGAGGAGCAAUAUUUCUACUAUGAAGAAGAAAUACAAAAGCCGUAGGAAAGUGGUUCCUAGGCCAAUAGGCACUUACAAAAGAGUUUAGAAAAUAUUCCUAAACUCAAAACAAGAUAGCCUAAAAUAUUUAACUGAAUGGGCUAGAUGACUCAAGAAGCUAAUAGCCCAUAUAACUCUUGAGUGGUGCUAAUUAAAACUUCAGAGGACCCUUCCUUUUAUAGGCCUCGAGUAGCCGACUUCUUCUUGGCUUUGUGCGAUGUGGGAGAAAAACUUAUGCCACAGUCAAACAUUGCGGCUGUGAAAAAAUCAACAAAUCUCCACCUUGGCAUAAUUUGAAUCCACCAUCGACAAUAGUAAAAUUGCUCCCCUUCUCCACAUAAGCCCAAUGGGCUUAAAUCACAACGAACACCAAUCAAGUCCAAGCACUGCUUGAACUUGUAACUGGAAGAGGUUCGUAAACAUAUCGGCUGGAUUGUCCUUAGUAUUGAUUUUCUGAAUAAGGACUUUUCCCUCAGCAAUGAUAUCCCGAAUGAAGUGAUACUUCACAUCAAUGUGUUUCGUCUCUCAUGAUACAUCUGAUCUUUAGUCAAGUGUAUGGCACUUUGACUAUCACAGUGAAUAUCAGUAACACCUUGAUAUAGACUUAGCUCGCUAAAUAAACUCUUCAACCACAAGGCUUCUUUGAUUGCCUCGGUCACAGCCAUAUAUUCUGCUUCUGUAGUAGACAAAGCUACGACAGGUUGUAGAGUAGCUUUCCAACUAACAGCACAACCGCCAAUGCAAAAUACAUAGCCUGAAAGUGAUCUUCUCCUGUCAAGAUCUCCAGCGUAGUUUGAGUCUACAAAACCAACCAAAGUAUUAUUAUUUCUUCCAAACUCCAAACAUGCAUUUGAAGUACCUCGCAAGUAUCUGAGAAUCCACUUCACAGCCUGCCAAUGUGUUUUACCAGGGCAAGACAUAUAUCUGCUAACAACACUGACUGCUUGUGCAAUAUCUGGACGAGUACAAACCAUUGCAUACAUAAUACUGCCGACUGCACUGGAAUAAGGAACCCGUGCCAUAUAAUCUUCCUCUUCAUCUGAUUUUGGUGAUUGAGCAGCAGAUAGCCGAAAAUGGCUAGCAAGAGGAGUAGAUACUGGUUUAGCAUCUUUCAUGCCAAAACGUUCCAAGACUUUUUCAAGGUAAUUUUUCUGGGUUAAAAAUAACUUCCCUACUCCUCGAUCUCGAUUGAUAUCCAUGCCAAGAAUUUUCUUAGCUGUUCCUAAAUCUUUCAUUUCAAAUUCACUAUUUAACUGCAGUUUUAAGGUGUGAAUUUCUGACAAAUUCUUGGCAGCAAUGAGCAUGUCAUCAACAUAAAGCAGCAAAUAAAUGAAAGAACCAUCAUUUAUCUUCCGGAAGCAAACACAACUAUCAUACAUGCUCCUCAAAUAACCAUGACCCAACAUAAAGGAAUCAAACCUCUUAUACCAUUGUCUUGGAGAUUGCUUCAAUCCAUAUAAGGAUUUCUUUAAUAAGCAAACAUGGUCUUCUUUACCUUCAAUUUCAAAGCCCUGGGGUUGUCUCAUAUAAAUUUGUUCUUCAAGUUCGCCAUGUAAGAAAGCUGUCUUAACGUCGAGUUGUUCUAACUCCAAAUUAUACAUGGCAACUAAAGCAAGCAAAACACGAAUAGAGCUAUGUUUAACAACAGGUGAGAAUAUAUCAUUAAAAUCAACACCUUGUACCUGACUAUAGCCCUUUGCAACCAAUCGUGCUUUAUAUCUUGCAUCUUCAACCCCUGAAAUACCUUCCUUUUUCUUGAAGACCCACUUGCAACCAACAAUUUUCUUAGCUGACGGCGGCUUUACAAGAACCCAAGUUUCAUUUUGAUGAAGAGAUUCGAUUUCUUCAUUCAUCGCAAUCAACCACUUUACAGAAUCAUCACAAGAAACUGCUUCUGAAUAGGUGGAAGGCUCACCAACUGCAUCAGUUUCUUCUGCAACAGACAAAGCAUAUGCAACUAAAUUUGCAUAUCUUUGUGGUGGUCGAAUGUCUCUCCUUUGUCUAUCUCUGGCUAUGGAAUACUCCUCUUCUUCUGAACUUUCUUCAAUAGUAGAUUCAGGUGUAUCUACUGGCAUUUGAUGAAUAGAAGAUUUGGAUUGAGAAGAACCAGAACUGCCAAUAUCAAGCUCCACCUGCUUCUGUGUACUAUCAGUAGUACAAGGACUAGAAGACUCCUUCUUGGAAGAUAACAUAGUCAAUUCAUCAAAAGUAACAUCUCUACUGAUUACAAAUUUUGGAGAUUUGGGAUCAGGACACCAUAAUCUGUAUCCUUUCACCCCAGAAGCAUACCCAAGAAAAAUGCACUUUUUAGCCAUAGGCUCCAAUUUUCCAUCAUUCACGUGCAUGUAUGCUGGACACCCAAAAACUUUUAAAUUGGAGUAAUCAGCAGGAGUACCUGACCAAACUUCCUCAGGAGUUUUGAAAUCAAGAGAUGCAGAAGGAGAACGGUUGACAAUAAAACAAGCCAUAUUGAUCGCCUCUGCCCAAAAGUCAUUUGUCAACCCUGCAUUGGGGAUCAUACAUCUUGCUCUCUCCAAAAGUGUUCUGUUCAUACGUUCAGUCACACCAUUUUGUUGAGGCGUCAUUCUGACUGUGUGAUGCCGAACAAUUCCUUCAUUUUUACAAAAUUCAUUAAAUUCACCUCCACAAAAUUCCAUGCCAUUAUCUGUUCUCAACCGCUUAACAUGUUUUCCUGCUUGUUUCUCAAUCAAAACUUUCCAUUGCUUGAAAGUUAGGAAAACAUCAUUUUUAUGCUUAAGAAAAUAGACCCAAACUUUCCUUGAAUAAUCAUCAAUGAAAGUUAACAUGUACCUGGCACCACCUUUAGAAAGAGCACGAGAAGGACCCCAUAGAUCUGAAUGAAUGUAAUCAAGAGUACCUUUUGUCUUGUGAAUUGCUGGUGAACUGAAGCUGACUCUUUUCUGCUUCCCAAAAAUACAAUGUUCACAGAAUUCCAAUGGCCCGAUACUUUGUCCACAAAGAAGUCCUCUUUUACUUAGUAUGCCCAAGCCUUUUUCACUCAUGUGCCCCAAACGCAUAUGCCAUAAUUUGGUGAUGUCUGUAUCUGACAAAGAUGAUGUUGAAAUAGCAGCAGCACCUGUCACAGUAGAUCCCUGCAAAAUAUACAAAGUACCAGAUCUGUGUGCCUUCAUAACAACAAGAGCUCCUCGAGUGAUUUUGAGAACUCCAUCUCCACCUGAAUACCUGCACCCGAUAGACUCAAGAGUGCCCAAAGAGAUGAGAUUUUUCUUCAAAUCUGGAACAUGUCUAACAUUUGUGAGCGUCCUCACAAUACCAUCGUACAUUUUAAUCCGGAUUGUGCCUUUGCCAACAACUUUACAAACGGCGUUGUUACCCAUUAAGACAACUCCACCUUCAGUUGAUUCAUAUGUUGAAAAUCAGUCCCUAUUGGGACACAUAUGAUACGAACAACCCGAAUCUAAAAUCCACUCAUUGUUAGACCUAAAAUUAUUUUCUAUUGCACAGAAAAUAGUUCCAUCAUUCUCAUCAGCUGCUAUACUAGCUUCAGUGGAUUCAGUAUUUCUUUCAACAAAUUUCCCCUUUUGCUUUUCUUUAUAAUUUAAAGCAAUCAGAGAUAAUAUGGCCCUUCUUUUUACAAUAGUUGCACACCACAUUUUUAUGUCUGGAUUUGGAUCUACUUCUAUUUUCUAUGUUUCUCUUCUCAAAUCUACCCCGAACAAACAAGCCAUCGGCUUGACUCCCACUAGUUUCCCCAGUAAUAUCCCUAUCUAUCUGCUCUUUAGAUUUUAAUGCAGAUUUAAUUUCCCGAUACGAAAUUGUUUCCUUUCCAUAUAUCAUAGUAUCACGGAAAUGCUUAAAGGAUUGGGGAAGGGAACACAAAAGUAAUAGGGCUUGAUCUUCAUCAUCAAUUUUCGAAUCUAUAUUCUCCAAAUUCAUAAUAAUGGAAUCAAAUUUAUCAAGAUGGGAGAGUAUAGAUGUACCUUCAGACAUCCGAAACAUAUAUAAACUCUGCUUUAGAUAUAGUCGAUUCUCGACUGUUUUCUUCAUAUACAAGGCUUUCAAUUUAUCCCACAUAGCCUUGGCCGAAGUCUCCGUUGCUACCUCACGCAACACCUCAUCGGAGAGAUUUAAAAUUAUGCUGGAUCUGGCCUUCUUAUCCAUAUUGGCGAAAUCCGCAUCCUUUACAUCUUCUGGCUUGUUCUCGAUUCCAUGAAUCGCUAGAUCAACUCCGUCUUGAAUAAGAAUGGCUUCCAUCUUGAGCUGCCACAUGCCGAAGUUGACAUUCCUGUCGAAUUUCUCGACAACCGUCUUUGUUAUCGUCAUUGUUGCCACAAAAUCUGUAAUUUGUAGUUUGUCUAAAAAAAAAAACUGACAAAACAAAUAUGCAAGUCUCGUGAGCGGGCCCCACAAGGUGAGCGGACCCCACGAGAUAAGCGGGCCCCACAGGUAAACGGACCCCACAGGAUGAGUAGGCCCCACAGGAUGGACAGGCCCCACCAGAUGAACGGGCCCCACCAAAUGAACCUAUCUUGCAAAAUAUAAUAACCAGCUCUGAUACCAGUUUGUUAGGACCGGGCCAGGAAAUAGACAAACUCAAGUUAGCACAAAUUAGGCGGUAUAACCGACCAUAUAAUAGAUAGGCGGUAGAUACCAGCCAUAUAAUAAUUAGGCGGUAAAACCGACCAUAUAAAGACGGAUAACAAAGCAAAUAAAAGACACAGAAGAUUUACGUGGUUCGGUCAAAUUGACCUACGUCCACGGGCGAGGGAGGAGCAAUAUUUCUACUAUGAAGAAGAAAUACAAAACCCGUAGGAAAGUGGUUCCUAGGCCAAUAGGCACUUACAAAAGAGUUUAGAAAAUAUUCCUAAACUCAAAACAAGAGAGCCUAAAAUAUUUAACUGAAUGGGUUAGAUGACUCAAGAAACUAAUAGCCCAUAUAACUCUCUUGAGUGGUGCUAAUUAAAAUCUUCAGAGGACCCUUCCUUUUAUAGGCCUCGAGUAGCCGACUUCUUCUUGGCUUUGUGCGAUGUGGGAUGAAAAACUUAUGCCACAGUCAAACAUUGCGGCUGUGAAAAAAUCAACAUAUUCUGACCUAUCGGAUGCGUGGAGAAGGCAAUCGAUCUUCAAAGUCCAUAGUAAACUACGAUGUGAAAAUGAAAUGGCAUAUGAACCACAAGCUGUGUUUUCAAACUCGGACCGGACCGGCCGGUCCGACCGGUUGAAUCGAGAACCGGCCAAGUGUCCGGUCCGAGCUAUCUUAAAAACUCGGAUUGGUCAAGACUCGGUCAAACCCCGAUUUUGACCAGGUUUGACCGGAAACCUGAAGAACCCGUACGAACCGGGUUUUUCUUAUUCUCCAUUUUUAAAUUCUUUUUUACCCUUCCUGACCUCUUAACCCCAAAUCCUUGUGAGCUCCCCCUCCUCCGCAAAUCCAUUUUCACUCUUUGAGUUCAAUUCAAGCAUGAAAAAUCAAUGUUUUACCCCUUUUUUAAAAUAAGAUAUAAUCUUAGAUCUUGUAUUCAAAAGAAAAAAAAAGACCCAAAAAUGCAAAAAAGAGCGUGGAGAAGAGAACAGUUUGCAGAAAUCAGAUAAAAGCAUGAUAUUUCAUGGGUUUGAGAACAAAUAACUAAUAAAAUAAGAAUGAAAAUGAAAUUAAAAAAAAAAGAUGAAGAAGAAGAAAGGAGUUGCAGAAUGGCGUGGAAGAUGAAGAAGGGAGUUGCAGGAAGAGGAAAUGACACCGUCAGGAGUAGAGGAAGAAAUGAGAGGUGUGGCGUGGGGUCAAACUUCAAAGCACUUUCAUCUGAUAUAGGAUCAAAACAUUUUCAAUAUUAUGUUUUGAUCCUUAAGUUGUUAAAAACUAUUAAUAUACCUCAAAUAUUUCAUACUUUAUAAAUAUUGUCCUAAAGUUUGGUGUUAUUUUUUAAUCAAGUCCAUAAUUUUAAUUCUAAACUUGUUAAUAUUCAUUAAAUAAUAUAAAUUGCUCCUUGAUUAUUCUAAUUUCUUUGUAUUUUAUUGUUAAAUACAUUUGAAACGUUAAGCAUAUAUGAAUAUACCUUUGUUAAUAUUAACAUGAUCUUAGAUAUUUUAAAUAUAAUAUUUUAAUUUUUAAAUAAUUUUUAUUUAUGACGUCAUCUGAUUUAACCCCCGGUCGAACCCGGUCGAACCCAUUGACCCCUGACCCCUGACCCUGACCGAGUCGAUACCCGGUCCGAGUCUGAAAACAUAGACCACAAGUCGUCUCCGUCGGACCUUAUCACCGCGGUAAGCCUAAACUGAAAAAGAUGGAGGAGCAUAAGGUAAGGUACUUGAACAUGCUUCUUCUUAGAAGAAAAGAGUCAAGUGCUAAGAAAUACGUCGAAGCUAUGGCUGAACUUCAAGAAGAAGCUAAAAGUUCUUACGCAGACGAAAUCAAUCUUUCAGAUGGUGAUUUUGUUGAAAUGCUAUGCCUUGAUGGCUGCUUUGUCAUUGAGUUCUUGAGGAAACUUUAUCAGCCUAAAUUAUACAGCGAGAAUGAUCCCAUUUUUCAGAUGUCUUGGCUAAUAUCAGCCACUAAGAGAGACCUAAUAUUAUUUGAGAAUCAGUUGCCCUUUGUUGUCCUGCAAAAACUGUUUGAUAUGACCAAGUUGCGGGGCGAAGAAGAGAACCUUAAUGACCUAGCUAUUCGCCGUCUGUCUUCGCUCAUGCCUGGUUCUUAUCCAGGUCAAAGUUCUCAUUCUACAAUCCCUGCAGGUUAUGAGGCUGUUCAUCUUCUUGACCUCAUGCACAAAAAUUUCACUGCCUCAUUUUCCAACACACUUACGUGUCUCAAACCUAAAGAGACUCCAACCUCAUUGCAGAAACCAGUUAUUGAGCUAGUACAUUGUGGAACCAAGUUCAAGAGGGCAAUAAACAGUGAAUCCUUGCUCCAUAUCACUUUCAAAAAUGGUGUAGUUAAAAUCCCUCCUUUAUUUGUGGAUGAUCAUACAGAAUCCAUCUUCAGAAACUUGAUUGCAUACGAACAGUAUAUGUCUAAGCCAUUUGAGACACGGAGGUAUGUAACUGAUUACAUAAGCUUCAUGGAUCUUCUCAUAGAUUCCCCGUCAGACGUUGAAAAGCUUCGCAACCGUGACAUCAUCAGGCAUGGGUUAGGCAAUGAUAAAGCAGUCUCUGUAAUGUUUAACAAGUUAAGCAGCGAUGUUUCUAUUGAACCACCUUUCUGUUACGACGAAAUUUUUGUGGAAAUUGAGAAGUACUACCGCUACCGCAUCCAUAGGGAAUACCUCAUGCAGAAAUAUUUUCAUGCCCCGUGGGCUUUCAUUUCACGUCUGGCUGCAAUCGUUAUGAAAUUAAAGGGAGCUAGUUUGUAAUUUGUUAGUCAUUGUACUUAUGAAUAUUAAAAUAGCAAUGCCCCGUCGGGGUCAUUGAGUCAUUUUAGUCAACCUGACAAUUUUUAUGAACAUGGAUCUGUCUACACAUGUAUCUUUGAGUGUUACCUAGCACUAGUCCUAUCUUAGGGAGAGUACUACUAAAUGCAUGCGAAGGCUGAUGAUGAGAACUCAAUGAAGCACGAAAAUUAAGUACACAAGAUUUUAAGCAAAUUGCAAAGAAAGAAUUAAAAAAAUGAAGCAUUCAUCUGGCAAAAAAUCCUUGGCAUACUAUCAUAUAUAAUAGCAGUUAGAUACCAGUUGAUUGAAAUGCUAACAAAAUAAGUUUACUGAAAACAUAUAGUUCUACAGGAUCUAAUUGUUACUCCUGUGAUUUAAAGAAGAGAACAGAGAAAAGGCUCGGUUGAUUUUCAAACAAAGAAAACCCGGCAGAACACUUUAUUGGGCAAAUAGUUAUAAACAUGAAUUGCUUGUUGCUUAUGGUUCCCGAAAUCUUAUCUAAUUAGCCACUGCAUCCACAUUGGCUAGAAUGCUAAGUAAGGCAUAAAGACUGAAAGAAAAAAAAAAAAAAAAAAAGAAGCAGUACAAUAAGUGAAUCUGUCAUGCUUGCUGGUACCAAAAUUAAGUACAUAUGUAAAAUUUAAGUAGUUCUUAGUUGUAUAUGUGAAGGCUUUCUCAUGUUUGUCACUUCGCGAAGCAAAGCAUAUGCUAAUGAAUGAAGGGCUGAGACAUGUCUACUUUUUUUUAAAGAAAUAGAGGCUUAAACAUUGGCUGUUCUCCUCUUUAUUGCGCUCAGUCGCUCACUAUUUUCCCUCUUCAAAGGAAAAAUUGCUAGCCAUCUAAAGUUUAGUGGAAAAGAACAGCUAUGAACUCAUAUCUCAAAAUUCUAGAAAUUAAAAUGUUUAAGAAUUUAUAGAUCCUAACUAGAUCAAUUGAGUAAGAUUGGAAGACAAAUGCCUAAACAAGACAAUAGAAUAGCCAAGAUUAUGCAUCCCUCCCAGCAAUACGGGCUGGGGACAUUGAUUUGUUUUCAGCCCUUACCUAACUUUCCAUGAUGACUAGCUUCAAACGACAAAAACUUUUAAAAGUCAGAAUCAGCACCCGGAAAUCAGUAUAAACCUGGUUCAAGCAGUUGCCAAUCAACUUAAUUAGACUGAUUUUGUUAAUCUUUCCGUGCAGCAUUUUAUUCUCCAAAGAGGAUGCCCGGAGAAAUGCUAAAAUUUAUUUCUACUGGUCUCGAUCGAAAGCUUUCUCAGAUAUCAGGAACAUCAAAGGAGAAAUGUAUAUUCAGAGUCCAUGACGGGCUACGGAGGCACAACCCUCAGGCAUACGAACCAGAAAUUGUUGCUAUUGGGCCUUAUCAUCAUGCUAAAAGUAAAUUACCAAAAAUGGAAAAGCAUAAGCUGUGGUAUUUGCAACAGCUUCUUCUUCAAAGAGGCGAGUCAAGUGUGGAAAGGUACAUUGUAGCCUCGUCACAGCUUGAAGAGCGCACUCGAAGGUGUUAUGCAGAAGAAACUAUUAAAUCUAUUCUUUAAAUGUAUAAUUGCUCCUUUUCCUAUCUCAUUUUAUUGUGAUGAUUUGAAGUGGAAAAGAUUCUGAUAUUGGUGUAUUUACUAUGUUUUUUGUUACGGGAGUUAAGUGUCUGUGAAUUCCUCAAUAGAUUUAAUAGUUUUUUUUUUUUUAAAGAUGUUGAUGUUGAAAUUUGGAUUUUUUUUUUUUUUUGCAUCUAUAUAUACAUUUAUAUAUACAUGGGAUGAUUGCAUUUAGUAAACCUAACAAGUUGGUACAGCUAAAAAGUGGCUAGAUAUACACCAUUAUUGCUGAAGUUCAUUUUCUUAGGUCCUUCCGUUCGUACUUCAUGAGAUUAUAAUAUGUGUUUAUAAUAGCACUAUAUAAGAAAGCAAUCAUUCACCUUUUUUAUAAUCAACGAAGGAAUGAUUAAUUAGCUUUUGUAAUCAUUAUUUAUAAGCUGCUUACAUACUUCUUGCUGCAUUGUUUUGUUCUGCUAGACUGCUAGUGUUUUUUAACUCUCAUGUCAAGACUAAUAGUAGUUUUCCUCUUCAAAAGUCUAUGGCUGCUAAUUAAAGUCGUGUUAUAAAUAUAUCCUGAUAUUAAUUCUCCAUUUUUUAUUAUGCAGAUUGAACAUUUAAUUUGCCAUUUUACCAGCCAUGACUUUAUGAUAUUCUUACAAUCUUAAACUUAAUGCGGAUAGUACUGGAUUUUCUCAUUUUCCGGAUCCGGAUCCGACGAGUCUCGGAUCUGGGUCGGGUCUACUCGAAAAAAUUUAUCAAAACUUACAAUUUAUAAUAAAAAUGAGAAAAAAAAUAUUUGUAAACUAAUUUCUAACUAAUACAAAAAAAAUAAAUAAGAAAAGAAAUCAAAUUGACUUUACUCAAAUACAUCACCCUAAUCAAAUUAUAUUGAUAAAUAUAUUUUUUAAAUUAUUAAUCCAUUUAUAUCCGGAUCCGGGUCUAAUACGGGUUGGAAUACUAUAUUCCGUAUCCGACCCAUUUUUGUUGUUUGACAAAACUGAUCCGGGUCCGGGCAACGGAAUUAAAUCCCUACCCGUACCCGGACUCGGACCGUUGAUAGGCCUAGAAAAGAUUAAUUAGCUUUUGUAAUCAUUAUUUUUAUGCUUCUUGCUGCAUUGUUUUGUUUUGCUAGAGUGCUAGUGUUUUUUUAACUCUGAAGUCAAGAUUAAUAGUAAUUUUCCUCUUCAAAAGUCUAUGACUGCUAAUUAAGUCGUGUUAGAAAUAUGUCCUGAUAUUAAUUCUCCAUUUUUUAUUAUGAAGAAUGAACAUUUGUUUUGCCAUUUUACCAGCCAUGACUUUAUGAUAUUCUUACAAUCUUAAACUUAAUGCGGAUUUUCAAAUCUAGAAAAGUUGGAACUUUUGUGUUACGACACGUUAGAACUAACUUUGUUACAUGAUUUAUUCAUGCUAAUUUUGAUAAAUAAAUUAUUUUGCGAUAUUUGAUGAAAGUUCAUACAUAUGUUAAUUCAAGAAAUAGACCAAGACAUCUUCCUUUAGCUCCCUAAAAAUCAUUUAGAGUGUUAUGUAUGAUUUGACAGGAUCCAUUUAAUUUUAUUUUCUCCAAAAAUAUUUUUUUGGCAAAUGUACGUCAAGUUAUAGCAAAAUUACUUCAAUAUACAUUUUUUGCCCUUUCUCUUGGCUAAUAUCCUUAAACAUGGGUCUUUAAGCUACAUUUUUUUACACUUUUUCUUUCUCAGUUUUAUUGUAUUGUUUAAAAGAAUUAUGAUUAAAAAAAUUCAAGGGCAGCUGAAAAGAAUAAGCACCCCAGCACAACGUGCACGGUUACCCCUAGAUUUAAACACAUGAACAACCUAGGAUUGACAUUAAAACCAUUAAAAGAUAGUUUUAAUGGAUGAAGGCUUCUUGAUGUGAUAAGUUACCAUGUGAAAUUGCAGAUCGAAGAAUAGAUUGAUAUGAGUUGCAAUGGUAAACUACUACGGAAAAGUGAUAUGUAUUUGUGAAGGAUUCGAAUCAUGAAUCUAACAGUAAGGAAGAAUUUAAAAUUCCUCCCCUAACCACUAAAUUCCUUUCAUCCUUAUUGAAAUAUGUAUUUGAUUUGACACUGGGACUAAUUAAAUUGUCAACAUGUUUGCAUAAAUGCUCUAGUUGAAUUCUCAGUAUGCUUCUUCAAUUGAGAAAUUAUUAAAACUCAAACUCAACUUUGUAAAUAUAUACCAUUAUGAAAGAAACCUGAAAAAGAAAAUGCGCAAAGAGAAAAAGAGUGCACAUAAAAGCAAAAAAUUGUAGUGAACCUCUACCUCAACAUCAGAAAACUGAACACUCUUUGCGGGGACUGACAGUUCAAACUCCCCAUUGUUCCAACUUUGAGAUGUGGGGGCCAACAUGAAAGUUUCACCAAAACCUUAACACAAAAACAAAGAAAUAAUGAAAUUUGAGGGGAAAAUAAUUUAAUCUCCUAGAAAAAGGGGGGAAAAACAAAAUUCAAGUGUUCACCAUAAAAAGAAAAAGGGUAAAAUACCAAAAAAAAUCCCUAUGAUUUGCUAAAUGUUCAAUUUAAAUCCCUCUAAUUUGAAGAUCUACACUAUAGCUUCCCAUGGUUUCGACGAAACUAAAGAUUGGACAAAAAGCAUCCAACCUAAUGGUUGUACGUAAAAUAUCAAUAUUGCCCCUACUAUACGUGAAAUGCUUUCUAUUCAAUUUUCAAUCCACAGGGAAUUAUAGUAUAGUUUUUCAAAAUAUAAGAAAUUAAAUUGAAUAUUCAGCAAAUCAUAGGGAAUUCAUUUAUACAGGAACAAUAUUGACAGUUCAUAUAAAACCGUUAGAUUAUAUGCUUUUCAUCCAAUUUUUAAUUUAGUUAAAACCACAAGCAGCUAUAGUAUAUGUUUUCAAAUUAGAGAGAGUUAAAUUGAACAUUUGACAAGCCAUAGGGAGUUUUUUGACAUUUUACCAUAAGAAAAAACAAAUCACGCAAUUACCAAAGUAAGGAGAAAAAAGAAAAAAAAAAGUUUCCAGCCGAAUCCUUUUAUUUGUUCCCCUUUCGUAAUAUUCUCUUCCUCCUUUCUUGGUAAAAUAAUCAAACUAAACUCCUCCUUUGUGGUCAUCCAUCAUUAUGUGCUUAUCGAUGAAUUAAUAUCGGAGGAAAUCGAGAAGGCUUCACCAAAAUAUAAAUUUUAGAAAGGUAUGUUCAGUAUUGGUAUCUGAAAUGACUUCUUUUGCUUUUCCUUUUAUUCUUCUUCUUUUCGUGUGUCCAAUAAAAGUCAGUAUUAGUUCGUCUAAUAUUUAUAUAGAUGAAGUAAUUCGUCUAGUAAUUUGAUGAAAUGCUCUUUUAUGUCAUUUAAGUAAAUUUUUUCAGUUAAAUCAUUAAUUGGUUGUUCUCCUUUGUGUGACUUUAUUAUGGUUAUUGAAUUUUCAGUUUUAAUAUGUUUUUUCUUUCUUUCUUUUCUAUUUAUUCUUUUAUUUUGCCUUUUGUUAUAUUUAUGAUUGUUAUUUUUCUUUUUUGUAUUUAAUAAUGUAUAAAGUUUUGGGGGUAGUUAUGUCCACACAAGAAUAAGUUUAACACCAUUUAGCCUCCGUUAAUUCAAAAGGGGUGAUUGUUGGUUUCAAAAGUUCGAGGGGUACAAUGGUAGUUUGGCUAAACCAUGAGGGGUGUAGAUGUAAUUAUCCCUAUACAUAAAUGGGUGUAUUUCUAGGAUAUCAUCAUGGCUUAUUUUUUGCAUGAAUGACAUUUGAUGAAUCUAUUGAGAAGGACAACGAUGGGAUUUGGUUUAUACCAAUCCCAAUUCACAUCCUUAGCAGAAUCCAUGGCUUUAUGCAGACCACGAAGAUUAGGCGGACAAAUAUGAUUAAUCCAUCCUCAAAAUCUAAAGCUGCCAUGUAUAUCCUUCGUCCUAGUCCAUUUCAAAUCACCAUCUUUGCCAAAGCUUAGAAAUUCUUAAUGCUAAAUCUUCACAGCAAAAUUUAUUUGUUCAUGGGUUUGACACUAUUUUCUUGUAAUUUUUUUUUUUAGUAAGGAAGGAGUGAAAUUUAAGAAACGGAAAGGUUGUUGAGGAAUUAAAAUCCAAAAUCUCUACGUUACCGGGUCUUAGCCUUGAAUUUGACACCAUUUACUUAUCCUAAACGAUAAGCAAAGUUACGGUGCCUUAGAAACAUGAAUCUACGUCGCACUGUGUCCAUAAAUGAGCUUUUCAACCCAUUAUAUUAGUUUGCUGCGAAUUUCCAUGUAUCUUAUUUCUUGUGAACAUUCAGAACUAAAUGCUAUCUGAUUUCUUCCAAAUGGUUUCUCAUUUUUUUCCCAUCCCGGUUUGAUUUGCAUUCCAUGAAAAGAUGCAUCCCAUUUGCUUCUAAACAAUCAUUAUUGAUUAAUUUGACCUUGACGAAUCAAAUGCCUUCUAUCUAUAAAAGUAUGCAUAAUAGAAAUCAGAAGAUCACAUACUAAUCUAUGAUAAUUGCAUAAUUCUUAAAAAAUUCAUCAUUUUAUUUUGACCAAUUGGAUGAAGAAAAGAACCUUUGAUUUCAAUCCAGAAUGUAAUGCAUAAUAUAUUUUCAUUCCUCAUUAUAGAAGCUUUUAUCCAAAUGCACUGGGUAAUCAACAAAAGAUCACAUCAGCCACCGUUUUGAACUUAUCAUUCAUAUAAUUCGUUUCAAGGUGUUAUUUCAAGCAUUCGGUCAAACCCAACCCCCCCCCCCCCCGGGGCCUUUCCCAAAAAAAAAAAAAAAAGAACAAAGAAAGUAAUUGGAAACAGCUCAGGCAAAAUAGGAAAGGUAGCUUGCGAUACACUUCUAAAAAAAAAUGAAAGAAACUGGAUCGUGAUGGAAUUGUGUUUAAAAAGACACUUGGUUACUCAAAAACGAGCCCCAUUUAUAAUGCAUAAUUAAUUCAACAUGAAAGUACAUUUCAAAUUAAAAGGGUUCCAACUUUAGUACAGCAUAUGACAAAAGCAAACAGAAAUGAUAUUCCAUUAUUCAAAUUUAGUAACCUUUAUGUACUCAAGAUAAAAGCUUAAGAAACGAAUUAAGAGAACCUGAAGAGCAGGAUGGGACAUUGCACAGAAACCGCCAGUGUUAUAUAUAGGGCAAUUGUGAUUGCUAGAGCAAAUAUUGGGUUGAAAAUAUCGUUGGUGCAGGGGCUAAAUGUACUGUAGAAAUAGAAACCAAGCUUUGGGCUAUUUAUUUAUGUUUCCAUGUGGCAUUAAGGGAUUGGCUAGUAUUAUUGUUUGGUUGGCAGAGUGGUCACAUGGGAUUGAAUCCCUUAUCAGCAAUAGAAGUCAGCCACUAAGGAGGAGUCUCGUUUGAUUAACAAAAAAUUUUCCUUUGCCUCAAUAUCGUUUUUCCUUUGAUUGUUCUUAUGGGUUUAUGAUUUAUUAUCAAUUUGGAUCCAUCAUGUACUGGGAACAGUUAAGUACUAAUCUUCUUCUCCUUUCUUGUUAAUUAUUCCUAGCUUAAUUUCAUAGAGACUACGAAUAUAUGUAUUCUGGUUUGGUCAUUUUUGUUUACGUUUGACUGUAAAAGCACAGCUUUACGUGUGUGCUAUAAAUAUAUAUAUAUAUAUAUAUAUAUUAUAAGUGUUUGUGCCUAUAUAUACGUUUGGACUUGUUCGUAAUCAAUAACAAAAAAUUCUUGUUAAUUUUAAAACUAUUUCUCAUUUAAAAAUUAUGCACAGAUAUCUAGGGUAACAUUGAAGUUGGGUGCUUAAUGUUAGGUUGGCUAGGUUCUCAAAUAAUUUACACGUUUGAGUUUGGCAGAAGAGUAACCGACAACUAGGGUAACAUUGAAAGCAGAAUAUUUGACGUUCAAAAUUUUCUCUUCUAACCAUAUUCAAGAAAAAUAAAUAAAAAUUUCACAUGUGGGGGACUUGCAACGUUCUGGCAUAUGGUACCAACUAAUUGGAACGCUGCCAACAUCAUUUCCGUCAAGAAGCAACAGUAGCAGGCAGGCACACCCGAGGAUCAACAACAAGAGGCGCCCCCUCGCCCCCCAUCAUCCCCUCGCCAAAGAUCCUUCCUCAUAAUAGAAUAGGAUUUCAAAAAAAAAAAAAAAAGAAUAAAGCUAAUUAGAACGUGGAGAACUAUAGAUAUCAUCAAGAUUAAUUUUUCAAAAUCACUUCUUUGUCAAUGAAAAAGAAAAUGAAUAUGUUGGUGAAUGGUGAAUAUACGAGGUUGGUGAGAUAGUGAUAUCUGGUCAUCAACUCUCCCAACCUCCCCCUGGCAACUCAAAGGAACUUCCCCUGAAAAUUCAAAUGCUCAUUAACUCUCCCAGCCUCCCCACCGACAACUCCAAGGAUCGUCCCCCUUGAAGAUUUUAAUCCUCAUCAACUCUCCCAACCUCUCGCCUGAAGAUUUAGAUGCUCAAGAAAAAGAAUAUUGUCAAUGUGCUUCCAAUGGGCUUCAAAAAUAGUUUAGGGACUAACAAAUAAUAAACUUGAAGUACCAUUGUGAGACUUUAAAUUAGUUUCAAGGAUCAAAUAUAUAAACUGCUUAAAAAAAUAACAGAGAGCUAAGGUGAACUUUGUUUGAGAGAAGGUGUUGCAAGGUAUAGUUGACAUGAAGUAUGUCAACACAAAUGACCAAGUUACAAAUAUAUUCACAAAGAGUUUAACUCCUUCCAAGUUAAUAAAAUUUCGAGAGAUGCUCGGCAUGAUUACAAGGAAAAUGUCAGGAUCAAGCGCUUACCAUUACACCAAAAGCUAUAGUUAUUAGCAAAGACGUAACUUUAUUUCCUUAACCACAAUGGCAGCGCAAAGCACCAUACCACGUUCGACUAGCAUGAGGGGCUGCACCCCUGAGUGCCACGGGUUGGGCGGUUAGUCCCUUCGAGUCGGGAUAUGAGGAAUGUUUCUGAUUUGGCCAACAGAAAAUCAAUGCUGAUGGGAAAUGUUAAAAGUCAUCACUAACUUAUGACAAUCUAAUGGGCUACAUUCAUUUAUGAAUUUAUAUUUAGUAGUGAGUUUGUUUCUUUCUUUAGCUAGUAGUAGUUUGUUAGGAGAAUUGGCAGAGGUAAAUUUUUGCAACUUGGUCGUGGGAACUGUUUUACUGCAAAGUCACGCUUGAAUCUAAAGCGAAGUUAGACGAGAAUUUACCAGAUUUUUAGGAAUCUAGCAUUUAAUGUAACGAGGACAAUUGGUGCUGUAUGUCGAGCACCUUAUUAGUGUAUAGAGGUUCAUUUCCUCCGUCGAAAUGCACCAAAGUUCAAGAGAAGAUAAUAAAUAAAUGAACUCAAUAGUUGUGUGAGUGUUUGAGCAAACAUCUCAAGAGUAAUGCUUUCAUAGAAGAGAGUGAAGUUGAAUUUAAUAGUGUCUAGUAUAAGCUGAUUUUGUGAGUAUUAUUAUUAUGAGUAAAUCUCAUAGAAGAGAGUGAAGUUCAACUUUAUGUAACUAAAGCGUCUGUGUUUGGAUAGGAGAUUAUUUGGGAUAAUUUUUUUGAAAUAAUACCGUAACACUUUUUUGAUGUGGUGUAUAUGAGAUAGAAAGGUGGUUGAAAAUAUGUAGAUAAUGCAAAUAAAUCAAUAUAUGUAAAUAAAGUGUAAACUAAACACACAGUAGUUAUCUAUUUUGGUACAAGUUAAUUCCGGUGCAAGUUAUCUAUUUUACACUCAAGUCAAAUGCUCAAGACUAGAAUAAAACAACCCAAUUGAAAACCUUGGAAGAGUAGGACAUUGCUAAGAAACUUCACUUAAACAAUAUUCUCAAGGAACGACGAGUAGAUGUACAGGGUAGGGGCACUUGAGAUUGGUGGAGGAUAUAGAAGAGUUGAAAACUUGGUGCAAGGCUAAUAUGUACUCAAUCUCAAGCAUGGGCAACAGAUUAGUGGUUUAGUGCGUUUGCCCUAUGUGUGUGUGUGUGUGUGUGUUCUGCCUUUGUCAUAUUUGUAUAUAUCCAUACAGCCACACCAGCCAAGCACCACGGUGCCCCCAAAAGCGAUGGGACAUUUUCAUUUUCAUCUAUAGACUUUUUCAGAAAAUUUGUUUCUACCCUACCAAUUUGCAAGGCUAAUACGUACUCACAAUCUCAAGCAUUGGCAACAGAUUAGUGGUUUAGUGCGUUUGCCCAUGUGUGUGUGUGUGUUCUGCCUUUGUCAUAUUUAUAUAUAUCCAUACAGCCAAACCAGCCAAGCACCACGGUGCCCCCAAAAGCGAUGGGACAUUUUCAUUUUCAUCUAUAGACUUUUUCAGAAAAUUUGUUUCUACCCUACCAAUUUGCAAGGCUAAUACGUACUCAAAAUCUCAAGCAUUGGCAACAGAUUAGUGGUUUAGUGCGUUUGCCCCAUGUGUGUGUGUGUGUUCUGUCUUUGUCAUAUUUGUAUAUAUCUAUACAGCCAAAUCAGCCAAGAACCACGGUGCCCCCAAAAGCCAUGGGACAUUUUCAUUUUCAUCUAUAGACUUUUGCAGAAAAUUUGUUUCUACCCCACUAAUUUGUAAAUGUUUCCCCACUUAUCAAAGGGAUUUUUUUUUUUGGGUAUUGGGUAUAAGAAAUAUUUUAAUUUUUCACUUGAUAAGGCGUAGAAAAUUAAUAAUAGAAAAUUACAAUAGAGAAAUAUCAGUUACCUAAAAACUUCAUCAUUUUAUUUGUGACUGAAUUGGAUGAAGAUAAGAACCUUUGAUUUCAAUCCAGAAAUGGUAAACCUUCCCCACCCCUAUAGCUAAAUGGUAAACCUUUCCCACCCCUGUGAUACGAAACAAACAAAAUGAAUGGGCAGUCAAUGAAUGGUCAUUUUCAGAGCUUUUGAAAAGUUUUUGUUCCUUCAUGUGCACCAUAGUUCACGUAAAAUCAAUCAAGGAAAGUCCUUACAUAGAUAUAAAAAUCUAAACCAGUUGUCAAACUCGGCCCUUGAACACGCUUUCCCAGCUCAAAACACAGCAAUUCCUCGCAAGACUAAAAAACAAGAAAAGAGCUGUUUUACCUCUGAGAACUUUCUUUGUUGCUAUCAAAAUCAACUCAAGAUCCUGCAACUUCAUUGCUGAAUUCAGAAAAGAAGAAGGAAUCGCUCCUCCAGUUUAUAAUCAAAGAUCCCCUUCUUAUUUGCAACCAUCCGAGUGAGUUUUCUUAUUAAUCAUCCCUUUUCCCUAAAUUAUAUAAACAUUUAUUUAUGUUAUUUGAGUGGUAUUUUAGCGUCUUCAGGUGGAGAAUUUAUAAAAGGAAUCCACUAGUUUGUACUAAUUGCCAACUACUAAAGACAAAGCACGAAACUCCAUUGUAGAUAUAAGUUGUAUCUGGACCCUUAUGCCUAAAAAAGUUGUCAAAUUGAAUGCAUUCAUGCAGCACAUAGAUUGUUCAGAUAGUGCUUCUGGAGCUUAUAUUUUGCUAUUUGGACUACCAGAUUGCCAUUCACAUGAUUGGUACACCAAUUUAGCUUGCUUAGCUUGAUUCUUAUUUAGAAAUUAUGAUACCGGAGUUAUUCAUGGUAUCAUAUUACAUUUGUUCUACAUCCGUAGGUAAUUUGGGAUUCUUAUUGUAUUAUCGCCCAAGUGGUAUUAAUAUUGUGUUAGUCAGAACGGUAAGUUACUCACUGAUGAUUUCUAAAUUUCAUAAACUUUUCUUAUUGGCCUUUAGUUUGAAUAAAAUACAGAAAAUUCAACAUUUAUGUCCUCAUUUUGAUUCUCAGUAGCAGGAACAGUUUUCCGGGUAAUCCUAUACAUUCUCGGUAACUGCAAUUUGACAAAAUUUUCCAGAUUAUAAAGGUACGGACUGUACAGGCUCAAAUCAUGUUUCUAAGCAUUAACAGAUUUCACGUAUAUAUGCUCGCAAUUACCUUCUUGUCAAGUGUUGAUUGUCUGACAUCGACUAUGUUUCCAGUUGGGAUCCUCUACGCCGCCAUUUGAUGUCAAAUUCAGUGUCAAUCCCACUUAUCAUAUGAUGGUUGAAGAAAUUUAAAUAAAUAGUACAUAACAAAUUAAAUAAACAGGACACUUGGCAUAAAUAUAGAAGUGGCACUGAAUUAUCACUGAAAAAGUGGCACUGAGGAUCCCGUAUGGUAUGUUUCAUAGCUUUCAUCUAUAUCUUGCAAAUUUAACUUAGGUGUAUGAACAAGAUUUUCAUUUUCUUCAUCUAUGACUGCUUCUAGAUUAAACUUGGUUAAGAGCCAAUUUUGAGCCAAAGGAAAUUUUCAAUUUUCUAUGUAAAAUUUAUUGAGAAAUUUUAAUUUCAUCCCAUUAAUUUGCAUGAGGAUUAUAUAUAAUUUUCCGAGUUAAUGAUGUACAAAAAGGUUUAAGCCUCUGCUUUGUUAAAGUCAACUCAUGAAGUUGGCAUUACGCGGGAAUCAUCUUCGGUAUAGAUACAUUACUUAUGCAAGUACGUAUAUUCUUACAUCUUUUUCUCCAACUUCGGUGAGCUCUAUCUUCAUUCUUCAGGAUUCCUAACAACAAAAGUAGCAGUGUAUGCUUGGGCAUACACUUGGGCUUCCCGCAUGGGAGUCCUUUCUGAAAACAAAAAAUUGUUCAUCAUUCAUGUUUCAUCCAUCUUUUAAACAGGAAGUAUAGAAACACAGAACGGUUAGUUACUGAUAAUUUCUGAAUUUCAUAAACUUUUCUUCUUGGUCUUUAGUUUGCACAAGACCUACCCAAAAAAGUUUGCAUAAGAGAUAGAAAAUCCAACAUUUGUGUCCUCAUUAUGAUUCUUAGCAACAGGAACAUUCUUGGUAACUACAAUUUGACCAAAUUUUCCACAUUGUUAAAGUACGGACUACACAGGCUCAAACUAAAUUUCUAAGCAUUAAUAGAUUCCAUAUAUAUGCUCGCAAUUACCUUCUUGUCUAGCUAAGUGUUGAUCAUCUGACGUCGACUGCGCUUCAGAGCUUUCAUCUAUAUCUUGUAAAUUAACUUUGGUGUAUGAAUAAGAUUUUGCUUUUCUUCAUCUUUGACUGCUUCUACAUUCAAUAUGGUUUGGAGCCAAAUUUUAGGCUUUACUUUAUCAUUCAGAGAAUUUUAAUCUACUGUCUGAUCAAAAGGCAUGUUCUGGUGCAAGUUAACUGUACCCAAGAAACAACAAAAUGUCAUUAGUCACUCACAAGGUAUUUUUUUUUUUUUAAAAAAAAAGAUUUUUGGGACAGUUAUCUUGCUCGGACCUUAAGAUUCACUCCAAUAGGAAUCAACCUUGACAGUUAAAUUAGCUGAUCCUUCCUUUUAAAAAAAAAAAAAAAAAACUUCUUUUAUGGUGUAAAUGGAAGGAUUCGAACCUAAGACCUCUUACUCACACUUCCUCUCCCAACCCAUACCUUCCCCAGUUGGCUGAUCCUCUUGAUGUUUUCUCCUGCAGCAAUUCUUCAUUUUGUUAUACGUACUCAACAAAGAUGUCUAGAGACAGAUCUCACCAAAUUGCCAUUCGCAUUGAUCAAAAGCUUUCUGACCUAUUGGAUACGUCGGAGAAGCCAUCGAUCUUCAAAAUCCAUGGUCAACUACGAAGUGAAAAUGAAGAGGCAUACGAACCAGAAGUGGUUUCCAUCGGACCUUAUCACCACGGUAAGCCUAAACUGAAAGAGAUGGAGAAGCAUAAGCUAAGGUACUUCAAAGAGAUUCUUCGUCGUAGAGGUGAGAGUGCUGAGAAAUACAUCAUAGCUUUGGCUGAUCUUCAAGAUCAAGCUCGAAGGUGUUACGCAGAAGAAAUCAAUCUUAGUAAUGAUGAUUUUGUUGAAAUGCUAUGCCUUGAUGGCUGCUUUGUCAUCGAGUUCUUGAGGAAAUGUAGACAUCCAGGAUCACACUGGCAGAAUGACCCCCUUUUUCAGAUGCUUUGGCUACGCACAGCCACUGUGAAUGACCUAAUAUUAUUUGAGAAUCAGUUGCCCUUUUUUGUCCUGCAGAAACUGUUCGAUAUGACCAAGUCACCAAGAGGAGAAGGGAACCUUAUUGACCUAGCUAUUCAUCUCUGUCUGGUUGGGAACUUGCCCAAUCCAGGUCUAAAUUCUCAUUCUGAAAUCUUCGAACUUUAUAAUGCGGUUCAUCUUCUUGGCCUCGUGCACAAAAUUCUGUCUGCCUUAUUUUCUGAAACACUUUCCUCAACCAUGAAUUCCAAUCCUACAGACUCAUCUGUGUUCGUAAAAUCAGCUGGUGAGCUCCGACAAAGUGGAAUCAAGUUCGAGAAGGCAGAGGAUGGUAAAUCCUUGUUCCAUAUCACUUUCGAAAAUGGUGUAUUUAAAAUCCCUCCUUUAGUUGUGGAAGAUCAUACAGAAUCCGUCUUCAGAAACUUGAUUGCAUAUGAAGAGUAUAUGUCUAAUCCAUCUGAGACAUGGAAGUGCGUAACUGAUUACAUAAUCUUCAUAGAUUGUCUCAUAGAUUCCCCAUCCGAUGUUGAAACGCUUCGCAGACAUGAUACCAUCGAGAAUCGGUUAGGUAGUGAUGAAGCACUCUCUACAAUGUUUAACAAGCUAAGCAACCAUGUUCAUGUUGGCGGGAGAUUCUGUUACACCAAAAUUUUUGAUGAUGUGGACAAGUACACUCGCAGGCGCUGGCAUAUUUGAAGGGCGCACCUACUGAGCAAAUAUUUUAAUAACCCGUGGGCUUUCAUUUCGUUUCUGGCUGCAUGUGCCUUGCUUCUCCUAACAAGUGUGCAGGCCAUAUUUUCCAUCCUACAGUAUACUUCGGCUUAACGAAAUAGAAGUAAGCUAGUUGUGUAAUUUGUUAGUCAUUGAACUUAAAAUACGAAUAAAGUCAUUGUACUUGUAACAAAUUCUUGAUCUGUAUGAUGUAAAGAACUCUGCUGUCUUGUAUAUUACAUGAACUCCUAAAUGCAUGUUCCGCUAAUUAAUAAUGAAAAUGAUCUUUUCUGUAAUAUAAUCUACAACCAAACAUUAGAAUGGCAACGCCACAGCUGCCUCAUGGACCAUAGUGAGUAUCUAUAGUGAGUGUGUCUGUGUAUGACCAUAGUGAGUGUUACUAGCAAAUGCAAAGGAUGAAGAUGAGAACCCAAUAAAGCACGAAAGGUUAAGCGCACAAGAUUUUAAGCAAACUGCAAAGAAAGAGUUAAAGAAUGAACCUUUAGCAUUCAUCUGGCAAAAAAAUCCUUGGCAUACUAUUGUAAAUAAUAGAAGUUAGACACCGUUAGAUCGAAAUUCUACCAAUAUUAGUGUACUGAAAACAUAUAAUACUGCAGGAUCUAAUUGUUACUCCUGCGGCUUAAAGAAGAAAACAGAGAAAAGACUCGGUUGAUUUUCAAACAAAACAAACCCAUUAAAGUGCACUUCAUUAAUUGCUUGUUAAUUGUGGUUCCUGAAAUCUUAUUUAAUUGAGAAAUUUCUAAUUUUGUGAUGAAUUUUAAAAAAAUUCUACAAAAUAGGUGAUUUUGGCAAUGAAUUCCGUCCGGGGGUCUUCGCAUUCGUAGAGCUCGCAUUUCACGAAUGCGAGAUUAGAAUAGAGCUCGCAUUCGCGAAAUGCGAGCUCUACUUAUUGAGCUCGCAUUCCGCAAAUGCGAGCUCUAAUUUAAUUUUUUUUACUAGCUCCCCCAGAGCUCUCUAGCAGCCUCUAUAUUCGUAAAAAAAGAAAGGAACUCCUGGGUCAGAGAAUGAAUUCCACUUCCCUGAUUAGCACCAAUCGUCAUGAACUGGAAAGGCUAGCUCAGAAGAUGGCUAGGCCCCUGUUAGCACCAAAAGCGUUAGGGGGCCCGCACUGGAGGCAUCAGAGACUUCAAUGUUAGUUUUCUUGAACUGCAAAUCUUCCAAAAAGAAAAAAAAAUUACACUUGACUCUAUUUCUUUCAGAAAUAGCGGGCAGGCAAAGCAAAGAAACGAAGCUGACUCUCAUGAAUGGAUGUCCGAGCUAGAGAAUUUUUUCCAGAAAAUAGUAAGAGCUAAAUGCGAGCUCCUAAAUGUUUUUUGUUUAAAUUUUGCAAAUAGCUCGCAUUUGAUAAAUUUGUCCUCCAAAAAUUGUAUUUAACUUUUUUGUUAGAUUUCGCAUUUAUAAGUAUGACUUUCAAAAAAUUAAAUUCAAACUUGUUAGGAAAAAAAUUUUAAAUGAAAUUUACGAAAUUUAAAAUGAAAUUCAAACUUAAUAUAAUUUACUAUACAUGCAUAAUUCUUUUAUAAUAAAAAAAAUUGGUAAUUGUAUGGUUGGAAAUACGUUAUUUUAUUAUAAUACAUUUAAAUAGGGGAAAAAGUACACAUGCAUAGUUCUAUUUGUUACUUUUCAUUAUUAUUAUUAUUAUUUUUUUGCUUGCAGGUGCUUAUUGUAGCAGGAACUAGUACCACAUCAAGGGCGUUGAGCUGGGUUAUCUCCUUGCUACUGAAGCAUAGGCACGUUUUGCAAAAAGCCCAGGAAGAGAUUGACUCUUUUGUUGGUAAAGAGAGAUGGGUAGAAGAAUCUGAUAUCAAGAAUUUAGUCUACCUACAGGCCAUUGUCAAAGAGACAAUGCGACUACAUCCACCAGCACUUGUACCUAUGCCACGCCAAGCCUGAGCUCGCAUUCCCGGAAUGCGAAGACCCCUAUUUGCAGAACACACUCCAAGAACCGCCCUCGUUGUAGAAUUCUUUUUUUUUUUUCCAUCAUAAACUAAGAAUUCACCCUAUUUAAUUAGCCACUGCUUCCACAUUGGAUAGAAUGCUACGUAAAGCAUAAAGACUAAGGGUCCAUUUGUUUCGGUUUCCAGAAAAAUAUUUUCCUAAUUUCCCGUGAUUGGUUGCACAAAAGUUACUGAAAACAUUUUCCUAUGUAAAAUAUUUUCACUCAUCUUAUGGAAAACAACUUCCCUUCCAAACUUACUGAAGUAGUUUUCCGAAAUGCAUGCAUCCCGCCUGUAAUAUGUUCCAAACUUACUGAAACAUCUUGUAGUAUGUUCUUUUUUUUUUAGUGUAAACAGGAGGACUCGAACCCAAAAUCUCUUCCUUACACUCCCUCCCCCGUACCACCUAACCCAACCCAACCCUCCCCCUAGUAUAUUCAAAAAAAAAAAAAAUCUCAUCCUGCUCAUCCUAUGCUAGUAAUUAAUUAUGUAUAAUAGAGACAUUCUGUUCUAGAGAAACUUUCAGCAGUGAGAGUGCAAGAUAUAUGUCACAAUAAGCAUUGCAUGUGAUUGAUAUUUGACACUAAAUGGCCAGCAAUUUGUUUAUUGCUUAAGGAGGUAUUUUUUAUUCAUAUAUACAUUUCUCCAAGAUUUUUUAAAGUUAAACAAUGAGAUAAAUUUUCUUAUUUUGCAUGAGAAGAAGUAUGUAGUUAUAAUGUGUAGAAAGUAAAGAUAGAGAUAAAAGUGAAAAUAUUUCAAAAGUUAAACAAACACCAUAAAAAUGAAGUAAGAAAAUAUUUUCAAUAAACUAACCAAACACCUGAAAAUGAUGAAAGGGAAAUGAUUUUCAUGGAAAAUUACUUCCACAGAAAAUAUUUUCCAAAGGAAAACAUUUUACUUCCAACCAAACAGACCCUAAAUGAAAAAAAGAAACAAUACAAUAGGUAAAUCUUUCAUGCUUGCUAGUACCAAAAUUAAGUACUUGCGCAAAUUUUAAGUAGUUUCUUAGCUGCAAAUGAGAAGGUUUUAUCUAAGAAAUUUUGUCUCCAAUGUUCUGACCUUUGUCAUGCUCUCACUUCGCGAAGCAAAGCAUAUGCUAAGGAAUGAAGGGCUGAGACGUGUGAACUUGUUUAAAGAAUUAAAGGGCUUAAACGUUGGCUGUUCUCUUCUCUUUUCUUCAUUGGACUCAGUCGCUCACUAUUUUCUCUCUACAAACGAAAAAUUUCCAGCCAUAUUAAAUUUAUUGGAGAAGAACAGCUAUGAACUUAUAUAUCAAAAUUCGUGAAAAUUAAAAUGUUUAAGAGUUUAUACGUCUUCUAUGAAUGAAUACCUUCAAGUACAGAUUAUCUUCUGCUGAGUACAUUAAUAAGUUCAAAGUAAUUUUUUGUACAAGUGUGGAGGAAAAUAAAUUGUUUUUGUAUAUUGUAAUAUUGGAGAAAAGAACAAAGUGGGUAGACUAUUAAUUACUAAAAAAAAAAUCAUUUUUCAACUAUUUAAAUUUGUAUACCAAAAGCAGAAAAAAAAACUUUUAUUCUUCAUCGCGAGCAUAAGAUAACAGCCAAUGUUCAAUAACGCCACUCUUAAAUUUUCUUUUAAUACGAUUUACUACAUUUUUCUACGUAAAAUUAGACUUAUGCCACUAGAUUAAUAUAUCCAAAUGGUGACAACAUGGACUACGUAAGUGCACCAUAAUAGUAUAAAGUGGUCUUACCAAUAAAAAUAACAAUAAUAGUAUAAAGUGGACUGCCUAUGAGCUUCCCAUCCCAAAGGAUAUAAUUUCCAGCGGCUUUCGCCAGCUUUUUUUCUGUGUUUCUGAUCAAGAUCGCUACACCUUAGACUCUCCUCUUGUCCAGGUAAAUUUUUCGAGUAUUUCUCUGCUGUGAAAUAUAUUGGAAAUCUGACUAGCGAUCGAGUUGAAAAAAAGGAAAUGUGGAAAAGAGAAAAAGAGUGCCCAUAAAAGCAAAAAAUUGUAGUGAACCUCUGUCUCAACAUCAGAAAACUGAACACUCUUUUCAGGGAUUGACAUAUUUCAAACUCCCCAUUGUUCCAACUUUGAAGUGCUUGAUGUGGGAGCCAACAAGAAAGUUUCACCAAAACCUUAACACGAAAACAAAGAUACAGCGAAAUUUGAGGGGAAAAUAAUUUAAUCUCCUAGAAAAGGGAGGAAAAGCAAAAUUCAAAUGCUUACCCAUAAAAAGAAAAAACAAAUCAAGCAAUUACAAAAAUAAGGGGAAAAAGAAAAAAAAAAAAGAAGUUACCUGCCAUGCCAUUAUAUUAUGGCCUUUUACAGAUGAAUUUAUUUUUGUAAACUUUUCUGCAUGAAGAUUAAGAUGUAGUUCAAAAAGUCAAAACCCCAAAGUCGAUGAGUGAAAACCAAAAAAAUAGAAUCUGGUUGCUGGAGGGUGAAGAGCAAAAACAAAAAGAAACCUAUCCCUUAUAGCUUCAUCAGUGACGAUCACUGACAAUAUGAUGAUCACCAAUGUAUUGUGCAUGCCUGUUCGUAUUUGUGUGAUUUGUGACAAGAAGUUAAAACAAUUAUAGCUGAAUUCUUUGGUUGCCAAGAGUUUAUUCUAUAUAGAUAUAUUGGUAUUUGAGAAAAAUGAAAAAUGGCUAAAAAUAUUUUCAAAACAAAAUUGCAUAACAGCUUAAAAUUGUGCCUGAUUUCGUGCUCAUCUGAGCUUCUGUAAAUCUUUUGACUCGUUCCUCCUCCUUCACCCAGCCGAAUCCUUUUAUGCGUUCCCCCUUCCUAAUAUUCUCUUCCUAAUAUCCUUUUAUGCUUAUCGAUGAACUAAUAUCGGAGGAAAUCUAGAAGGCUUCACCAAAAUAUAAAUAUAAAUUUUAGAAAGGCAUGUUCAAUAUUAGUAUCCGAAAUGACUUCUUUUGCUAUUUUUUGCUUUUCCUCCUAUCCUUCUUCUUUUUAUGUGUCCAACAAAAGUCAGUAUCAAUUCGUCUAAUAUUUAUAUAGAUGAAGUAGGUAAAGAGUAUUCGUCUAUUAAUUUGAUGAAAUGCUCAUUUGAAUGUGCUCUUUUAUAUCAUUUAAGUAAAUUUUUCCAGUUAAAUCAUUAAUUGGUUGUUCUCCUUUGUGUGACUUUAUUAUGGUUAUUUAAUUUUCAGUUUUAAUAUGUUUCUUCUUUCUUUUCUUUUCUAUUAAUGAUGGGUGCAAUUAAUGAAUGAUAGUGCUAUUUCAGUUAAAAGCUAUCUUUUAAUGGCUUUAAUUCUCGAGGUUAUUCAUAUAUAUAUAUAUAUAUAUAUAUAUAUAUAUAUAUAUAUAAGGGUUAAUUGCAUUUACCUCCCCUAUAUUUUGACCAAACUACUAAUAGACGACCCCAAAAGCUUUGGAAUAUAACAGUCGCCUCGCUUUGACUUUGCAUUCAUAUAACACAUAACCCCUUCCCGUUAGUGUACAAACGGUUGUUAAUCCAAUCGCUUAAAAGAAUAGUAUGAAAAUCCAAUAUAGCCCUUCCAGAUAUACCGUGUGUAAUUCCUAUUUAAUGUAAUUCCAUUUUAACAAUUUUAUAGUACUAUGUAUUAAACCAUAAUAAAAAGCAAAAUCUUCUAGAAAGAAAGGAAAGAUCAUAAUGAAAUACACCACUAGCCACCCUUAGAGAAUAGAUUUAAAAAUAGAGAUAUCUAGCCACCGACAAAGCACAGAUGUAGAAAUAGAGACAUAGAGUGACGAUGACAAAAAGUUGUUGCACUCUCAAUAUAAACACCAUCACCAUAAAAUUGAAAACACAAUUUCACAAAUUCUCAUUAAAUCCGGAUUUGAAUCAGAGGAUCUGGUUUGCCUGCUACAAUCAAUUCAUAUUCACUCUAUCAAUACUCAUGUUGUGGGCAUACAUAGUCAAGCACUAUAUAUUCUUCUAGAGUUUAAAAACAAAAAAGGAAGAGAAGAUAAAUCCGAUGGUUGUGGUCUUGUGGGUUAGAAUGGGGAGGAAGAAUAAGACUGGGAGAAGUGCUCAUAAUUAACAAUGGAUUUUGCAAAUUAGAUAAGAUUAGGUAUUUACAUGAGUAGAGAAUAGGUAAUUCAUGGUUAGAAGGGAUGAAUGGUAGAACAGUCAUGGUGGAUUUCUUUUGGUGGUGCUGUCAUGUACUUGUGGUGUCAUUUUUGGUGGUGUGGUGGUCUAGGCAUAAUUGGUUUUCUUUAGCCAUUUUGUUUUUAAACCUUGGCCACUUAUUUAUUCUUUUAUCUGGUCAUCAACUCUCCCAACCUCCCGCUGGCAACUCAAAGGAACCCCCCCCAGAAUGUAAUGCAUAAUGUAUUGUGUGAGUACUGUUUAAUUGGUAAUUGUGUGAGUACUGUUUAAGCAAACAUCUCAAGAGUAAUGCUCUCACAGAAUAGAGUGAAGUUCAAUUUAAUAGUAUCUAGUAUAAGCUGAUUUUGUGAGUAUUAUUAUUAUAUGCACUUUUAAGUGUAAUAAAAUUGUUCACUUGCCCUUCUAGAUUAGUGGACUUAAUCUAAUAAUUUAGUAUUAAAAACUACCACAAUCCAACCGUUGCAACGGCCAACAUGUGCUGACAUUCUCUUGUGUUGGUAACGGGUGAAUAUACAUACAUAUACAUAUACAUGUAUAUAUACAUACACACAUAUGUAUGUGUACACAUACAUACAUACACCUGUAAUCAUCACGUGCUUUCUCAGGGAAACUUGACUUACACAACAUUCUGAAGGAACCGGUGAAAUUGUUGAAUCGGUAUCGAACCAUUCGAACCGUUAAAUCGCAGUUUUCAAGCUCUUCCCCAAUGGCUCAAGUUUGGACCUUUUCCUAACGGGCCUCAAAUGUGAUUUCUACUUAAUCAAUUAUAUUGAGCAGACCCAAGUCCAAAACAAGGUGGUGUUGACUUUUAGUCCAAUUCAUAUCCCAACUACCGCUAAUGUGUAAUUCGUAACAUUAAACAAACAUAAAAGAUUUCAAAGAAACAAAUUGGAGUCAUGGUGGAAUAGCAAAGGACAUGAAUAAAUUAAAUCUAAUCAAAAUUUCGUACAUAAUACAAUUAACGAAGUCAAGAUAUUUUUUGAGGAAAUAUGUUUUAAUUCAUGGUGUAGUUUAAGUUGUAUUAGAAACUAAAAUAAUCUCUUCAUAUGUGUGAAUUUUUCAAGGUAUAAAUUUUUUUUUGCUUUUGUUUCAAUACAACUAAAAUAAAUAGUUUACGUUAAAAAAUUUACACUUUAUAAAAGUUUAACCUUAUUUUAUUUUUUAUUGUUGUUAUAAAUUUCAUAAGUAGGAUAAUAUAAGGGUAGUAUUGGAACAAAAGUUUUAUCUUUCUUGUAUUUCCUCCAAAGGGGUUAAAAUGUUACAAGAAAUAUCAAUUCAAGAAAGGUAAGUGAGAUUUUAAAAAUCUCAGGGGAACUGAAUGAUAUUAUAAGAAACCUCAGGGGAGGUUUCUGAAAUUAUCCCAUGAAUUUUUCAACUCAUUAUAUUAAUUUGCUGCGAAUUUCCAUGUCUCUGAUUUCUUGUGAACAUCCAUACUAAAUGCAUGAUGCUAUCUGAUUUCUUCCGAAUGGUUUCUAAUUUUUUUUUCCCCAUCUCGGUUUGAUUUGCAUUCCAUCGAAGAUGCAUCCCAUCUGCUUCUAAACAACCAUUACUCAUUAAUUUAACCUUAAUGAAUCAAAUACCUUCUAUUUAUAAAGUACACGCAUAAUAGAAAUCAGAAGAUCAUAAACUAAUCUAAUGAUAAUUGCAUAACUCUUGGAGCCAUGUAAUGCUAUGCAUAUAUAUAUAUAUAUAUAUAUAUAUAUAUAUAUAUAUAUAUAUAUAUAUAUAUAUAUAUAUAUAUUUAUAUAUAUAUAUUUGGUGGCACAAACGUAGUGUAAUAAUACACUACUAUUGUUGAGUUCAGUCAGUUGCCUUGCUGGUUUUUAACCACAGUCACGGCAGGACUCGUGAAUCGUGAUCUAACUUGGGGCAACUCUUUCCUAUACGUUCUUGGGACGACUCUUCCAUCAGGGUCCACGGGUCCUAGAUAGCCCUUUUUUCUUUUUCUUUUGGUACUGAAAGGAAAUUGGGUCCUAGAUAGCUUUAUUAUUUGUUAACUUACAUCAGGCUUCUUAAGAUGCAUUUUCUAAUUAAGUGAGACAACUGAAAAAUGUUCUAACAAGUGGACUAAUAAAUCAUUUUGUGACGACAUGGAAUUAGAAGAUCAUUGAUAGGGUGUAAAUUGUUGGUUAUUUUAUUGUUAAUUUUCCCUUUUAUCCUUGCCAAAUAUUGUUUUAAUUAUUAAUAUUUACUUAUAUUUGGUAUUGGACCCAAUUUCAGAGAUUGAAGCAGAAAAUUACCAAAAAGGAGGGACUUGUUGGGAAAAUGCAGACUUCUAAGGGCUUCAACCUUUGGGUCCUUGAAUUGGUGGGAACCACAAGCUAGUGCAAGGCAUUUAGUCAUUUGGGCUUUUCAAAGAAAACAACGUAGAGAGACUUGGAACAACAAGUACUUUGGAGGCUUUGUCCACAUGUGUGGGGACCACAGGAAAUAGCUUUUAGGCUUCUUUCUUUUGGCUUUUUAAGGAAGACGUACAGAAGCAAAAAGGGAUCCCUAGUUUUAGUGUAGUUUUUAGUUUAGUUUUAGUUUCCUUUCUUUCUUUCUUUUGACUGGCCUCUGACACACGCCAGGUGUUCGACAAUAUUCCCCAACGGGAAAAACAUCUUUUAUUCCUUGCUUUCUAGUAAAAACCGCCAUGCCUUUGCAAUCCAUUACUUCGUGUGGUGAUUUAAUUAUGCGGCGUGGCUAAGCCUUCCUUCUAGUCAAGGGGACAACUGACGAUUUGGUUCGACAAUUAUUGUGAGAUCGAAUCUGUUUUAAUUAUUUUCUUCAUUUAUUGGUAUUUGUAUGUUCCUUGAUUUUAAUUGCUGUGGCCUUGUGUAUGAUUGAUUAGUGCGCAAUAAUUAAUUAUUCAUAUAGGCUAUUUUCGCUAAAUAGGGGUAAUUGAAUCCGUAAUUGUUCGUUAUCUCUAUUUCAGUAGCAACUGGCGUAAUUGGGUUUAUGUCAGGGGAAUAUACGAUCUAGCUUAAACAAACCCUCGUAGCGUGUUUGUUAGUUAGGAUUGGGCCUUUCUAAUUAUUAAUGCAAUCUAGAAAUUAAUUCCUACGGUCGUACCUAGGGUUGUUUUUUGGUUAGAGAAAUAACUAACGGUCGUACCUUAGCUAUCGAUAAAUUAAGGAAAGGUUGGUUGUUUAUCGCGUGCAUGACAACUAUAACCAAUCUAUUAAUAAAAGUUGGAAUUAUCUGCGAAUCAAUGAUCAGUGCAUGAACCAUUUCUGAAGUGUACCCUUGGCUAGAGUUUCUCUUAAUUAUUUCUUUGAAUUAAUUACUUUCUGCAUUUAAUUUGUUUAAUUGACAUUUAAUCUCAAAACCCCCUAUACUUUGAACUCUAGAAGAAACGAACUAUCUCCAGUCCCUGUGGAUUCGACCCUGCUCACCGCUAUAUACAAAAUCUGUAUUUUUCUUGAGUAGGUAAUUAUUAUUGCACAGGCUGACGACCUGUCAAUCAUCUUGUCCUUUUUCCGGUGGACCGACAAAAUGCUAGCUUCAAAUUAGGACUAGGUUUUUCUUGAAAAGGACUAGGUUUGGGAUUGGGGCCAAAGAUAUUACUUAACCAAGUAAACAUUCCCCUACCUAGAAUAUAUGUUGCUUAAAAGACCAAGACAAACCUGCAAGACGUUCUUUCAUAAUAUGCUAGCCGGACGAAGUUCGUCAAAGUUCCUCUGUCUUUAAUAUACGAAUUAUCCCACACGAGGGUAGGCAAUUAAAUGGUGGACAGAUAUUACAAGCUAAAUUAUGCCUUAAACAUGUAAACUACCAAUCAGUCACAAAUGUUACCCAAAAAAAAAAAGGGAAAAACAAAAGAUGUGCAUGGAAAAGCAAAAAGCAAAGACAUACAAUUGUUUAUUACUUUAUUAACUUUUAAUGAUCAAAGACCAUAAGGGUGGAUGUAUGAGAUAAGCCAAGAGCAAAUGCAAAUGAUUGCACUGAGUACUCGACUUUAGUCACCAUGAGAGUUUUUACAAAAACCCAAGCCUUUACUUUGAGAGUCUUGAAGUAUAUAUUCCAACUUUAGCACAGCAUAAGACAAAAUCAAACACAAAAGAUUCCUCUAUUUAACUUUUUUUAACUUUAAGAUUCUUGAAGUAUUGUACUUGAGUCAGAAGCUUAAGAUAAGGAUAAAAAAAAACAUGAAGACUACAACGUCGAAAUUGCGAGCGAUUAUAUAUAUUACAUAUAGGGCAGUUGUGAUUGCUAGCUAGAGGAAAUAUAGGAGCUCAAAACCACGCAUUGGUAACAGGUUAGAGUUAAACUUAAUUGCUUGUUAAACUUAAUUAUUAAUCUAAAACAGCGGUACUAAUGAUUUUUUCCUUAAUUUCAGCAAGAGAUCGAUUGUAUUACUCAACACAAACAAAGAUCAUGUCCACCGACGCCAGAACUGCCCGAAUUUCUAAUUGUAUCCGUGAAAAGCUUUCUGGGCUAUCAGAUACUGACAUUAGGGUGGCAUCAAAUGAGCGAUGCAUAUUCAAGGUCCGUGAGAGAAUACAAAGUCAAAUUGAAGGGCCAUAUGAACCACAAAUGGUUUCAAUCGGACCUUAUCACCGCGGUAAGCCGGGGUUGCAAUUAAUGGAAAAGUAUAAGCUGAUUUACUUGAAACAGCUUCUUGAGCGAACAGGUGAGGAAAAUCUAGAGAUUUGCGUUGUGGCCAUGGCAAAUCUUGAAGGAGUAGCUCAGAGGUGGUACUCCGAUGAAAGGAUCAGUCAUGAUGGUGACGACGGCUUUGUGGAGAUGAUGCUUCUUGAUGGCUGCUUCAUACUCGAGCUGGUAUGGAAAAUUAAUCACCCCACACAAUCUACAGAUGGCAUUUUAUCGGACGCACUAUUCAUAGACCUAUUAGGAAUCGAAAAUCGAGUCCCUUUCUUCAUCCUUGUUGAAUUGUUUCACAAGACCAACUCUAACUCUGGUGCCAGCAGCAAAUUUAAUGAUUUGGCUCAGCGUCUAACUGAUUUCGUAAUUCUUGCUUGUGACAGCAAAGAGAAUGAAUAUGUUGUUGAUGAUGGUCAGGUCAUUCAUCUACUUGACCUUGUCUACAAAGCCCGGAUCUCUUCGUUUGCUGCAAAAUUUAUUGCUCUUGGUGCCAGGAUUGGUAUUCCGGAGGAUGAUCCUUUCUCACUGUAUCAUAUAACUUCUGCCAGUGAAUUACAAGAAAUUAAUGGGGUUGAGUUCGAAGAUAGUGGGAAAGGACCAUGGCUUGAGAUUACUUGGGAAAAUGGUGUGGUAAAAAUCCCUCGUUUUAUGGUUCAUGUUGAUACAGAACGUCUGCUCAGAAACUUAAUUCGCUACGAACAGCAUUACACCAGCCAUCAUGAGGGCACGAGGGAGCAUGUCUAUGAUUAUGCAAUAUUAAUGGGAAGUCUCAUAAAUUCUGCUACGGACGUCGAGGUGCUGCGUCGCAUUAAAAUUAUUAUCAACAAGUUGAAUGAUGAUCAGGCUGUGUCUACCAUGUUUCGUCGGGUCAGCGGAGGUAUUUACCCCGGCAAAGGCUUUUGUUACGCCGGUGUAUUCAAUGAAGUGGAAAAGUAUGCCAAAAGCCGUUGGCAUAUCUGGUGGACGAAGCUCAGGAGGACCUACUUCAACACCCCCUGGUCCCCCAUUUCAUUUGUUGCUGCAGUUGUUGCGCUUAUCCUCACUUUUCUCCAGACCUUUUAUGCCAUACGGCCUGCGGGAAAAAAUUAGUAGUAACAAAACUACUAAACUAGUCAUAUCGGCCACAUGCUAAGUGCGUUUGUUUGGUCUGAAUAUUGUUUGUCUUUCUUUUUCAACACAACCUAAAAGACUUCCAUCACCAUCCAUAAGUUGUGCUAUCAGUCAAGUUUCUUGCAUUUUCAGUAUCUCAUGGAGAAGAAAUAAAAAUCGUGUGUGUUUGUUUUGGUUUUGAUAAUAUGUAAUGUUUUUAUUAAUAUUAAUCCUCGGAUACAAUAUAUCUCUGCUUUCACUGUUUCAAUGUCAUCAGUUCGCCUGGCUUGGUAUCAUCAGUUACCCAAUAUGACUUUUUCUAAAGUUAUUUUUAGUUCACAGAUUGUGCAAGUAUCUCUAUUUUGCUGCAUGCAUGGAAAUCAUUUCGAUCAGAGGCAGGAGAAAAUUGAAGAAUCCUCAAAAGUUUCUGCACUAGCUCCUUAAUUUUCUAAUGUCUCUAGUUGCUUUUCGUAAAGAUUUACACCAGCUCACUUCUCCAAUAAACAAAUCUUGAUACAAUAAUGCUACACCAAAACCGAAAGCUGAUAUAUACUUUUCUUUUCUUUUUUUUGGAGCAAAGGCUGAUAUCUACUUACAACUCUAAAAAAAGAAGAAUAAUGAAACUACCUAUUUUUUAGAUUUUGUGUUUUGUUUUCCAUAUAAACACAUGCAACCCUAUAACAAAAAAGUAAUCAGUUAGAUGUUUGACAAAUACACGCUUAGUGGGCUAAGUUUUCAAAUGCUCUCCCGUCCCAUUAAAAGUGUCAUCCUUUUCAUUUUAAAAUGUCACGAAAUAUUUGUCAUGUUAAAAAAGUUAGAAUACCUUUUAGUCCUUCUUUCAAUAGAACUUUUCUUUUUAAUCAUAUGCAUAUUAUCAUUCAAAUUUAAAUUUAAAUUGAAAAAAAAGUACAAACAUCACAAUCAAAUCACUAUUUUUUAAAAAGUUAAAUUCUCGAAACAUGACUAAAUAAUUGGGACGGAGGUAAUAAUGUACAUGUUUGAAUCGAACAAGAAGGGCAACACUGAAAGCGCAAUAUUUGCUAGGAAAAGAAAAAAUAAAUAAAUGAAAGCAUUUACAUGUGCGGAAAUACUAAAAAUUAGGACAAAAAAUACUAGUUGGGAAGGUGCAAGCUCCAAUUUUCUUUAGACGUAUUUGGAAGUACUCCUACAAAAUAUAUACUAGUUGGGAAGGAAAUCCGACCCUAAUUUAUUUUACCACAAAACACAGUCAACAAGAAACUACAGCCCGUUUUCAAUUUCCAGAGAGAGAGAGAUCUUAAUUAUAGCAUUUGGAACGGAAACGCUUAAAAAAUGAAGAACUAAGCCCACCCCAUUUGUCUUCUUAUUGUCUCUCUGCUAGCCAUGCAACAAAGUCCAAUAUAAAACGAAAAUUGGAUGUCAAUGACCAAUAACAUAUUAGCGACAAAUUGAGUUCAACUGCAUUCUCAUCGUUAAAUUUCCCACUUAACAAAGAAUUACUCCUACCGAGAUUUCUGAAGAAAAUUAAGGCCUUUAUGUAGACCCCAAUUUUUAAUUUUUAUUUUUAAAAGUCUGACUAAGAAUGUUGCAAUUAUAUUCCUCAGAGAUGGCCUUGGCCUAGAAAUCUAGAGUACAACGAUCAAAAAACAUAAAUUCACCCACCCGUACAAGUUUUAUUUAUUUAUUUUUUUUGCCUUCUUCACGAAAUUAGAUCAACAAAAAGGGUUGUCCCCUCCUUCCUUAAUCUAUGAACAGGAGAAUAACAUCGAAGCCAUACUAACAAUGUUUUUUAAUUCCUUCCCCCAAAAAAGAAAAAAUUUUGGCAGUUUUUUCUUUUAAAAAUUCUUUAAACUAAAGUCAUGUUGCAUCAUAUUUUUCAUACCUCAAAUGGAUUGUGGAUUCAUUCCAAUUUAAACCCUUCAAUUUCUUUUGUAAUUUCCACUUUUCAGCAGGAGUAUUUGUUUUAGAUAUUUAGGGUCAGAAAAGGAUGCCAACUUGAGCUAGUAUUUACCUGCAUUAGUCUAAUGAAAAUGAACAUAUAGAAAUCCAUGCAAAAUAACUAUAUACGCUGCAUAAAACACCAACGAGAAACUUAAACUGUCUCAAAAUGCAAUGGAGAUAGCUGAUAAUCAAAACUCGAUUUAAGCACGAAGAUACCCAGUGAACCGGAAUUAUGAGCAAGCACUUCCAAACUACUUUGAUCCUUGUUGAUUGGUUAGGUUUGCUAAAUGUUCAAGAAGUUAAAUGAACACAAAAAGCUAUGACAUGCCACUACUAAGAAUGCAACGCAUAUUUAAGAAUUAACUGAAGCCUUUUCAAAAUUCAUCUAUAUGGGCAGAAAAUCUUUCCAUGUACUCAUACGCAACCAUAAACUCCACGAGACCACAAGGCAGAAUAUUGGUAUCAAGAUAUACCUCACCUACUGAAUGAAGGCUUCUUGAUGCGAUAAGUUACCAUGUGAAAUUAAUUAUUUGUUCACCAGAACUCUGUAAAGUAAUUAAAGUUAACAUUCCAAUGCAAAACACGAAAAGUGUUACAUAUAUUCCUAGCGUUGUCUUCCACUGGGCUAUUGGUACAUUGCUUGCUGUGAAAUCAUGAAAAGUGUUUGUAGAGUACAGCACAAACCAAAAUCACACACACACACAAUUACAAACUUGCUACUAGGUAUCCGAUUAAAUAAAGAUAAAACUGGAUCUCAAACUCGUAAAUUUCAACAACAUUACUAUGCAUAAAGAAUUAGAGUCUCGAAAAAUGCGGGGGGAGUAUUUAACUUUAUUUACCAUGACUGUCUUUACAAUCUAUUAUAUACUAAAUUCAAAUGCUCAAGAAAAGAAUAAAAUAAAGAAUUGGAAACCUUGAAGAGUAGGACGUUGCCAAGAAACAAUAUUCUCAAGGAACAGCGAGUACAUAUACAAGGCAUGCACGGGCAGUUUUGAUUGCUAGAGUGCAUAGAAAAGUUGAAAACCUUGGUGCAAGGGCUAACAUGUGCUGACAUUCUUCAGUGUUACUAACAGGUUUGUGCGUGUAUUCGUCUUCUGUAAUCAAGUGCUUUCUUUUUAUUUAAACCUAAAUCCUAGUUGCAUGCUGAUAGAUAUAUGUGUUUUUUAAUGAUUGCCACAUACUCUCUCUCUCUUGCUCAUGAACCAUUGGCAAAUCUAAUUAACCAUGGCAGCCGAGACUGCCCCCCCUCCUCCGGGUGGGGGGCUGUCGGCCUUUUCCUCCCCCUUUAGGAAGAAGGCCUUCUCUGCGUUGUUUGAGCCACAACCGACGUCCGAGGUAGUACAAGUUCAAGCGAGGAUGACAACACACCGUGGAGAGCCUGCGGUGGUCUUCAGUGCGGCUGACAUAGCAGUGGUUGCUGCUCCAUUCCGCUACACUUUGGUUGGGAAGUUCUCUAAGGGGCGGCCGCUGCUGCCUGACCUGAGGAAAUUCUUGUCGACUCUUGAUUUGAAGGAUACGGCGACUGUGGGAUUGUUAGAUGCUAGGCACGUGUUGCUGAAAUUUCAAUGUGAAGCGGAUUUCCUUCGCGUUUGGGGACGAAGUUUGUGGUACGUGAAUGGAUCCCCCAUGAGGGUUUUUAAGUGGACAUCUAAGUUCCAUGUGAACAGAGAGUCUUCCCUUGUUCCCGUCUGGUUUAGAUUGCCCAAACUCCCAAUUCACUUAUUUGCUAAGCGAUUCUAUUUCAUCUUGUCUCCUGCUUGGGUACGCCGCUAUUCGUGGAUGCGGCUACGUCUUCGUUUUCGCGACCGAAUGUGGCACGGGUAUGUGUUGAGGUGGAUCUACUGAAAUCGAUUCCGUCGAGGGUGUGGGUCGAUAUGGGAGAUGGGGAUGGUUUUUGGCAGGUUCUUAUCCCUGAGAACCUCCCUAAUUAUUGCAGCCACUGCUAUCGUCAAGGGCAUGGCGAGGAUCAUUGCCGUGUGAAGCACCCUGAUUUGCGCUUGCACAAGACGCGGGAGGAUCUGGUCACAGGGGUGAUGGGCGCAAAGGUUCGCUCCUCACCAGCUAACACGCAGCGUACAGAGGAUGAGGAGCGAAGGGGGGUGAGUGAAGGAGAUGGGGUGAAAUCUGAUGCGACACAGAAUUCGGGUAAGAGCCAUUCCGAGGGGUCACUGCACGUUGACACCCCUACUACUGCUGUGGGAGAUGCAUCAUGCUUACCGAACCAGCUUGGAGGGUCUACGGUUGUGCUUGUGGAGAAGGGGAUAGAGGCUGCUGCUGAUGCCAUUCUUCACGCUAUGGCUGACCGCGUGAUUGGCGAACCAGAGGGAGUGCUGGAAGGGACUGCUAAUACGGGAGAAUUGGCGCUAGUGGAGCUGAACGUGGUAGCAGGCCCAGGCAUGAUGGAGCCCAUAGAGGGGGCUGCUGUGCCAGGGCAAAACUGCAACGAAAAAGCUGUCAAGCAUGACCAAAGGGAGGGACCAUGCGAUCACAUUGCAGCCCACGACCAAGGAAAUGAUUGUGAGGAGUCCCAUAUUCUAGUGGAGCAAAUAUUGGGAGAUGGUCAGCAGCAAAUGGCCGACAAUACUUCAAUUAGAAAUCAAAAUGCCGAAAAUUCUAAUUGGAAUAAAAGUGAUGGGUCCCAAGCUUUUGAGAAGCAGAAUUUGGGAGACGAUAAUCAUAAAAAAGUCGACACCACUGACCCCGACAUUCUUUAUGUUGCCUUGAAUGGGGGUGAGGAUGUACCACCCCUUGUGGUUCCAGGAACAAGUACAAGAACAAAAACGAAAACCACGGUGCCUCAAAAUCUAGUGCCACCUUUCAAAGAUGUAUUCGAAGAGGUUAAAUGGGAAAAAUUACAUGGUACACUUUCCCGACCACAUCAAAUUAGUUUUAUUCGUUCAAGUAUAACAUGCAAUAACGACAAAAAAGAAGAAGAAGAAGACGAUUCACAACACGACAAACACAAAGAUCAAGACCAGAAUCUAGUACAACAGCAAUUUACCCAAGUGAUUUCAAAGAAAGCGAGGAAACAGCUUUCAAAAAAAGGUAAAACAAUGCAAACACGUCAAGAUCUCAAACCAAAUUCCAAUGCUCACUCGCAGUCACACAAAUGUGGAGCACCCUCAUGUGGAUGAUUUCUUUGGAUUGAUCUGUUAUGUCUUUACAAUUCCUUUAUAUGUGUGUUAUAUUUUCCUACAUUACAUGUUUCUUUUCUUUAACAGAGGUCAGGUUUGGCCCCCCUCUAAUUUGAUGUAUUUUUUUCUCGGUUUUUAAUAUAUUAAGGGAUGGUAUCCCUAUUUAAAAAAAAAAACAAAAAAAAAGAUAUAUGUGUUUAAAUAGAUUUUGUUAGCUUAACGGAACGUCUUCUAUGUUUACGCCAAAAAGUAAAGCUUUCUAUUUGUCUUUAUCAUUUAUAUACAUAUCUAUAUAGCCAAUCGAGCCAAUCGAGCCAAGAACUAACAGAGCUACCAUGCCAAAGAAAAUUUUCAAUUUUCUACAUAGAAUUAUUUUUUUAAAAAACCACAAAGCUUUAACUCUGUAUCUACCAAAAAGGGAUUAAAUGUGAAAAAAAUUCAAAAGCGGUGUCCAAACACUCCUUUAGUCUAAUCGAAUUUGUAUAUCUACUAAUCCUUUAUGUAGUGUUUUUAGACUUCCCUUCCCUGUAGACUAAGUUGCCCUUAUAUAUUUGUUAGCCCCAUAUACAAUCUCAUUAGAUUUUUACUCCCUAUAAAAUAGAAUAUAUUAGUUAUAGGAAUGUUAUCGUACUCGGUAAAAUAUAUAUAUAUAUUUAUAGGAAAUUUUUAAAAAGUUUUAAUUUUAUCCCAUUAAUUUUGGUCGGGAAUAUAUAUAAUUUUUUGAAUUAAUCAUGCACAUAAAGGUUGAGCCUUUACUUCUAGAAAUUCAUUUCGGCCAAUUGAACCUUCUCAAACUGUUCUUGCUAAAGUCAACUCAUGAAGUUGGCAUUACGCGGGAAUCAUCUUCGAUAUGAACACAUAACCUAUGCAAGUACGUAUAUUCUUACAUCUUUUUCUCCAACUUUGGUGAGCGGCAUCUUCAUGACUCCUAACAACAAAACUAGCAGUGUAUGUUUGGGCUUCCCACAUGGGAGUCAGAUCAUUCAUGUUUCCUCCAUCUUUUGAUACGAAGUCUGGAAACACAGAACGGUAAUUAGUUAACCACUGACAAUUUCUGAGUUUCAUAAACUUUUCUUCUUGGUCUUUAAUUUGCAUACAAGAUAGAAAAUCCAACAUAUAUGUCCUCAUUCUGAUUCUUAUAAGUAACAGGAACAGUUUUCCAGCUAAUACCAUACAUUCUUGGUAAAUGGAAUUUGACAAUUUUUUUUCCACAUUUUUAAGGUACGGACUAUACAGGCUCAAAUUAAGUUUCUAAGCAUGAAUAGAUUCCAUGUAUAUGUACCAUCUUGUCGAAGUGUUGAUCAUCUGACUUCUAUGCUUCAUAGCUUUCAUAUAUAUCUUGCAAAUUAACUUUGGUGUAUGAAUAAGAUUUUCCUUUUCUUUAUCUAGGAGUGCUUCUGCAUUCGAUUUGGUUAGGAACUAAUUUUGAGACUCUUCUUUAUUAUCAUUCAGAGAAUUUUAAUCUACUAUCCGAUCAGAAGGUAUGUUGUGGUAUAGGUCAACUAUACCCAAGAAACAACAAGAUUCACCAGGCACUCAAAAUGCACAAAAAAAAAAAGGAAUUUUGUGAUAGUCAUGUAGCGCUUGGACCUCAAGAUUCAUUCCAAUAGGAAUCAACCUAAAUGCUUAAAUUUGCUGAUCCUUCUUGAUGUUUUCUGCUGCAGCAAUUUUUCCUCUUGUUUAUACGUACUCAACAAAGAUGUUAGGAGACAUAUCUGUUCGCAUUGAUCGCAUUGAUCAAAUGCGUUCUGGCCUAUCGGAUACACCAAGGACGCAAUCGAUCUUCAAAGUCCAUAGUAAACUACGAUGUGAAAAUGAAAUGGCAUAUGAACCACAAGUCGUCUCCGUCGGACCUUAUCACCGCGGUAAGCCUAAACUGAAAAAGAUGGAGGAGCAUAAGGUAAGGUACUUGAACAUGCUUCUUCUUAGAAGAAAAGAGUCAAGUGCUAAGAAAUACGUCGAAGCUAUGGCUGAACUUCAAGAAGAAGCUAAAAGUUCUUACGCAGACGAAAUCAAUCUUUCAGAUGGUGAUUUUGUUGAAAUGCUAUGCCUUGAUGGCAGCUUUGUCAUCAUGUUCUUGAGGAAACUUUAUUAGCUUGAAGAAUACGACAAGAAUGACCCCAUUUUUCGGAUGUCUUGGCUAAUAUCAGCCACUAAGAGAGACCUAAUAUUAUUUGAGAAUCAGUUGCCCUUUAUUGUCCUGCAAAAACUGUUUGAUAUGACCAAGUUGCAGGACGAAGAAGAGAAGCUUAAUGACCUAGCUAUUCCCUGUCUGUCUUCGCUCAUGCCUGGUUCUUAUCCAGGUCAAAGUUCUUAUUCUACAAUCGCUGCAAGUCAUAGGGCUGUUCAUCUUCUUGACCUCAUGCACAAAAAUUUGACUGCCUCAUUUUCCAACACACUUACGUGUUCCAAACGUGAACCGACUAAAACCUUAUUGCAGAAACCAGUUAUUGAGCUACUGUCUAGUGGAACCAAGUUCGAGAGGGCAAAGAAGAGUGUACCCUUGCUCCGUAUCACUUUCAAAAAUGGUGUAGUUAAAAUCCCUCCUUUAUUUGUGGAUGAUCAUACAGAAUGCAUCUUCAGAAACUUGAUUGCUGAUGCGACUGCCGAAGUAAAGAUCCGAACUGAACUGGGUCUGGAGAGCGAGCUGGUGAGGCGCCCGACCUGCACGUGAACGAGCUACGGGGCUAAGUCCCCUGUAGCAACUCCGACGAUCAAGUCAGAAUGAAUUCGUAAGUUACCGAGUGGAAUUUGCACUGUGAAUAGCGUACCUUGUGUUUCCCCUUCGCGUGGUAUUUAUAGAGCCUCAGGUUGUAGUUUCCUGGUAGGACAAGGAGUCCUUAUUGGAGAGAGUUGGUUCCUAGGGCUCCAUGACCCAGAUCUGAAGACGCGGACUCCGCGGCCCAUCAGACCUCUCUGCCCGAGAGGCGGCGCCCGCAAGGGCCAGCGAGCCGACCUGACACUCCGGCCCAGCUCCUCCAGUCCGAGCUCAUGGGCCGGAUUGACGUGUGUGCGGACCGGGCCGACGUGCUCCUGGGCCCCACUACACUAGCCCCCCUUGUAGUCUAGAGUCAUCGAACGUGCGCAUGAAUCUAGCCGACUUUCUGGGCAUCGUGUCAGCUCGGUGUGGGGCCCUCGCCUGGGAGUGGUGCACACAACCAUCACGUCGGUUCGUGUCUGUCCUCUCAACCGUCACGUCGACCAGUUAUGACGGUUAGGAACGGUUCCCCAUAAACGGUUCAAUUAAUGCGCGCCCCUUCAUUUUCCCGCCCUGCGGAUCGCCUAUAAAUAGGCCUCUUGGGCGUCAUUUUCAUUCCUCCUUCCCCACUCUAUCAGUUCGCUCUUUCCAUCCUUAGCUCGCUGCUUUUAUCCUUUUCCCUUCGAGAACCCAUCGGGUCGCCCUACCUUAGGAGCCCAGAGUCAGCUCGUGCAUCACCUAGAUCAGCCUUUCGUCCGAUCUCCUACUUCCACCAGUAAGUUCCCCUUUCCUUUUAUGUCUUCUUACAAUUCUGAUAGUUCUGACGUUACCAGUUCGGCCCCUAGGCACAGAGCAGCUAGCCCCAUACUCCUAGAUAGCCCCUCUCCCGACCCUUUAAGUUCUUCUCCUUCCACUUCAUCUGGGUCAGGACCCGCGUCUUCUCCCAUCCAAUCUCCUGUCCAAAUAAUGAGCCCAGCCGAGCAAACUGCCCAACCUCUAGUCGGGGCUGCGGAACAGGCAGCUCCAGCUCAGAUGGCCGCAGGGACCUCGGGGGGACCUAGUGGCGACUUUGGAGAGGUCGACACUAUCCCCCCAGCCCUGGGACAGAAGGAUGUUGACGGGCUGGCCGAAAAAUAUGAAAUCCCAACCCAGUUUGAACCUAGGGCUGCCCAACCGGGGGAGGUCGCCAGCCGACCUCCUCCCGGUUUCGUGGCGAUCUACAGGGACCAGCUGAUGGCUGGCCUCCGCCUGCCUAUUCCCAACUUCUUCUUCUUCAUCCUCACCUUCUGGGGCAUCCGCAUAACUCAGGUCAUCCCAAAUGGUGUUCGCUCCAUUAUAGGCUUUUUCAUCCUCUGCCGAGCACUAGAAAUUCCCUUUUCCCAUGACCUGUUCCAAGCCUUCUUCCAGAUGAAGGUCAGCGGGAAGGUGCCCGGGUGGUUCUACUUUGCCCGUAGAAGUGGAGCAAAAACCCCCACCCGCGAGCUGUUCACGGGGGCACCUUCCUCCAUCAAAGACUGGAAGCGUUACUUCUUUUUUGUGAAGAACCUGGGCUUUCCCCCUCUGACCUGGAGGGCGGAGACUCAGGUUUCGAAUCCACUUCCAGAUCCGCUCCCUGUAGCCGAGCUCAGCCGCCUACUCAGCUCAGACGAGAAGCUGGAGGUGAAAGAGUUCAGCAAUGCCCAGCUUUGGGUGGCGGGGCUGAUCCGAGCUAACCCCUCAGAUCCCUCGCCAGAGAAUAGGCCGCUCUCGCCAGACGAGCUGACCUCUUGUAAACGACCUGGCCUUCCUUUUCUUUCUUCUCUUUGUUUUAUGUAUCUACUGACCUUCUGGUCUUCUGUUUUUUGCAGUGAAGAGGUUUUCUUCCCUUCUAACCAUCGGAGGAGCCAGCAAUCCAGGUGCUACUACCCAGCCCUCCUCAGCCAUUCCAGCCAGCUCGGCACCAGGUCCAACGCCUCAGCCAGCUCCUGCCCAAUCCGCCAAGGCUGUCGAGGCUGGGAAAAAGAAGAAGAAGAAGACAACUGCAAAGAGGACUAGAGUGGAGACGACCUCCUCCCCAAUUCAGGAAGAGAGGUCGACGCCUAAACCUGGUCAGGGCGGUCACUACGGCGUGAAUACCGCCGAGGAGCAAGCUGGUGCUGGCGCUCCUCCUAAUUUAUGGCAGCGCCAGAGCUCCACCCUGCUGUUCGACCCGCAGACGCGGCUGAUCACGCACCAACACCCCAUGCACUUCUGCCCCCAGUGGAAGCUUUCCAUAAACGACCGAGCUCAAUUCCCUGAGGUGGCCAGGGAGCUUGCUCAUGGGGCCAUCCUUCCACGGGACCACAGCUUGAUUAAGGCCAUGGAGGCAUCUGACCUCCUCGACUACUAUUACACAGGCGCGGCCCAAGUGAACUUGGUUGGGUCCGAGCUGGCCAAGCUGACAGGUGUCGUGCCUGUGCAAUAAUAAAUACCUGCUUAAGAAAAAUAAAUUUUCUGUGUAUAGUAGUAAGCAGGGUCGAAUCCACAGGGACUGGAAAAAAAAUUUGAUUCUUUUUAAAUUCGGGACACGGGGGAUUUUUAUCAGAAAUAAACUAAAAAUACUUAAACAAUUUAACUAAAAAUAAUUAAAUAAUUUAACAAAAAAUAAAUAAAUAAUUAAUACAAAUGUAAAUGACAAUUAAAUAAAUAAUAAAUAAAUUCUAGCCAAGGAUACAACUACGCAGACACAGUCCAUUCAUCCGAUCAUUGAUGCAAAGAAGGUUCACUUAAUUUAAUUAAUAGGCUAGUUAUAGCCGCCGAUAAACUCUAAAUACCAGCUUUUCCUUAAUUUAUUGAUAACCAAGGUACGACCGUUGAUUACCUCUAACCAGAAAAUACUCCUAGGUACGACCGUAGGAAUUAAUUUCCUAAUUGCAUUAAAAACUAGAAAAGCCUAGCCCAAAUUAAUAACACGCUACGAGGGUUAUUUAAAUCAGAUUGCAUGUUCCCCUAGUAUGUGAAAAUACUAAUUGUCACUAAUAUUAAUCAACUAAACAAUUACGGAUUUAAUUGAUUAAUUUGACAAGAGAUUAAAAAGUCAAAUUGCACAUCGGGCCCUUGAUAUCCAAUUAACAAAAUAAUCCCAUGGAAAUUAAAACAGAAAACAUGCAAAUAUUAACAAAUUAAGGAACACGUAAAAUUAAUUAGAUCUCACAGAUAUAUGGGACUGCGUCGUCGCGUUGAUCCUUGACUAGAGGAGAAAAUUAGCCACGCCUCAUAAGAAAAUUCCCACACAAUUCAAUUGAAUUUAAAGACAUCAUCUUUCUUCGAUAAUUGAGAGAGUGAAUAACAAAGCUUUCGGAAGAGAAUAAGAAAAUUGCACACUAGAACUCAACAAGCCAAAACAACUCCUUAUUCUCUCCCCCGGAACAUCCCUCGGAGAGAAAACUAAAACUCCUCUUCCCAGACGGAAGAGAAGAAGAAAAACUAACUCCCCAAAUGUGCGGCUCUCCCCCCGAAUAAAAACAAGCCAAUUCCAAACUUCACUCCAUGCUCACAAAAGAAAACAUUCCUUCCCUACCUAAUCAACUCCACCGAAAUUAAAAGCAAAGCCAACUAUGGUUUGUCGGUUUUCUUUGACCAGGUGCACACUUUCACCAACAAGAAAGCAAAAUCACAAAUGUGCAAAGAAAGCACACUUUAGACAAUACAACUUAUUUGCGGUCCCCACCAACUUUGACAUGUUGUCUAGCCAAAUUGAAUUCCCAAAUGCAAUUCCAUUCUUCUACGUUGGUUUGCACCAAAAUUGUGUAAAGCUUCACAAUAAUCUUCUCAAGAGGUUUCUGCUCCAAUUUCUGAAAUUAUAUCCAAAUACCAAAUAUAAAUAUAUAUUGACAAUUAAAGCAAUAUUUGGCAAGGAUAAAGAGGAGAAUUAACAAUAAAAUUACUAACAAUUAACACCCUAUCACAAGCGCUACGAGGGCCUCCUCCCCCUGAUGAGCGAGACGAGGGCGGCCAACGAGAAACUGCUCAGCCAGAACGAAGAAGCUGUGGCCGAAGCUGAAGGUCUGAGGAAGCAGCUCGCCCAAGCUCACUCCAACUUCGAACUGGAGCUAAAGAAGAACUCCGAUCUGACCUCUCAGCUGAAUGAGGAGCAGAAGAGGAGCGCCGAACUAUCUGCUCAAGUCGAGGCGGCUAGGACUGAGGGAGGCCAAGAGGGCGUGCGGGCCUUCCUCAGGUCGGAGGAUUUUAAGGGUGACCUGGCCAUCUUGAAUACCCCAAUGCUGCAACAUGGGUAUUCCCAAGCCCUGGAGGAGGUGCAAAAGCUGGGUCUGCCUGGGUUUGAUCUAGGCAAGUUUCCCAGCUACAACCCCCUGGCCGUGGAGCAGCUCGACCGCCUGGUAGAGGGCUACACGCGUGGACGGAAGUUGGCCGACCUGGUCGCCGAUCCUCAGCUGCCAGUGACCACUCCUGAAACCGAGCAAGAGGAAGAAGAGGGCGGGAACUAGAGCAGGGCGGGAACUAGAGCAGGGCCUUAGGAUAGGAUCUGAACUGUCAGUAGGCAGUUCGUUUUGUAUGAGCUCUGCUCUUCCUCUGUGCAAUUUCUUUUGCGCGAGUUUGGCUCCCUCUUGUACAGUUUUAUUGAAUGAAAUGAAAAAGCCUUUCCUUUGCUUCAUACUUAGUCUCAAUUGCAAAAAUCGUCACAAAAUACAUCAGUUCGGCCCUAUGCCGACCUAAGGGAGCUAUUCUCUAAGACAAAGCAAUUUAUUAGCCAAGUACAUCAAUAAUAACGAAAAAUCUUGACCUUGGAAGGAACUGAUAACGCGCGAGUUUUAACGAAAAAUCCUCAAGUUGGAAUUGUGCCAGGUACGCGGGACCUCUUCCCCGCUGAGGUGAGUUAACUUGUAGUACCCAGCUCGAUCUGCUUCUUUUACCACAUAAGGACCUUCCCAAUUCGGAUCCAGCUUGCCUGUGCCCUGAAGCCGACUCACACUGUUCUUCCUCAAGACCAGGUCCCCCGGUUUGAAGGACACUGGCCUCACCCUAGCAUUGUAGUGCCGCGCGACCUGUCCCUUAUACUUAGCCAUACGUAUGGCCGCCUCUUCUCUCCUUGCCUCUAGCAGAUCCAAAUUGAGACGUAGCUCGUCCUCGUUGUCCCGAGCUAUGAAAUUCUGAAGUCUGCCCGAAGGAACGCCUAUCUCCGCAGGGAUCACCGCCUCUGCUCCAUAGGUUAGAACAAAAGGAGUUUCCUGGGUAGCAGUUCGGGGAGUGGUUCGGUAAGCCCAUAGUAUGGUUGGCAGUUCGUCCAGCUAGGGGUGGGCACGGGUCGGGUACCCGCCCCGAACGGCAAAAGGCUGACCCGACCCUAAGAUGUCGGGUCACUAUUUUUUUGACCCUAAUCCGCUCCGAUUGUCCUCGGGUACCCGAUCCUCGGAUACCCGAAAAAUAGGGGCGGGUCAUCGGGUACCCGCCCCUAUUUAAAGAAUGCAAAUUCUGCAUUCAUAAGAUGAACCUGCUGUAGCCUGUACGUCCAGAUGCUGGGGAGACUUAUUGUGAAAAUCAAAAGCAACCUUUCUAUUGUUAUUGCUUGAGUAAAAUCACUGGGCAAAAAUUCCAAAACAACAACUUAGUUAAAUCCCCCAUAAAUGAAUACUAUGCACAAAACCUAUGAGCUAAAGCCUGAAAGUUCAACUGAAUAGAUGUUGAACAACAAGAUAUAAAAUCAAAAGUCCUCAGAUUUGAUAGCUAUUUUAGGACUAUAUUUAAUCAAAAACCAUCAUUUGCAGUUUAAGGGCAGUUUAAGGUUACUAGCAGUGACAUUUAUCAAGCACUUUUGGUACCAUCUGUAUGGCAACUCUGAUAUGAUUUAUCAUCACAGCUAGAUAGAUAGAUAGAUAGAAGAUCAUCUGGAUCAAUGGAUGGAUGAAUGGAUAAAUGAAUGAAUAAAUAAAAAGGGUUAAUUACGCUUUGCUCCCCUGAGGAAAUCAGGCAAUGGCACCACAAAAGGCUAACAAUAAAUAGCAACCAAAAGAACUGCUCUUUUGCCACAAAAUUUUUGUCACGGGGCAAAAAUCAAGAAUUAUUUAAUAGAUAUACAUGAAAAGAAUAAAUAAUCUCAAUUAUAUAAAAAACUAAAAAGAAUCAAAUGCUUGAAAGCCACCACAACUAAAUAAGAAACUAAAGCAAUAAAUAUCCCAAAAAUGCAAAAAAUUUCAAACAUAUUUCAUAAGAAGCCCUCAGAUCUCAUGGCUUCAAUGAAUCAUAGACGGAAUUUGACGGGUAAUUCAACAGAUGCCUUUUACAGAUCACCGACAAAAAAACCAGCCAAGCCAUGCACCAGUGUGUGUGUAUGUGUGUGUAUAAACUCAAGCAAUUUUCCCGGAGUAAAGAACAUAAACAAAAGGGCGGAGCCGCCGAGGGAGGAUUUUCAGCAGGGGAAAAUGAGGGAAGGCUUUAGCAGCGAGUCUAACCAUGGAGGCAAGGCUUCAAGAUCAGAUCAGGAGCGGCGCAAAGGGAUUGCCUGGACAGAGGUGGGUGGCGGCUAAUUUUUCCGGUGAAGUGCAAAGGCAACCGUUGAAUUUUAAACCCUGUCAAUCCCCUCACUAUUAACAAUUUUUUCCAUCAUUGGGCUGCAACAGAAAAUUUGAGAAAAAAAACAAUACUAAUCAACAAAAAAUCAAAUGAUAAUACAUUAUAUAUAAAAUCAAGCAAUUUUCCCGGAGUAAAGAACAUAAACAAAAGGGCGGAGCCGCGGAUGGAGGAUUUUCAGCAGGGGAAAAUGAGGGAAGGCUUUAGCGGCGAGUCUAACCAUGGAGUGAUGGAGGCAAGGCUUCAAGAUCAGAUCAGGAGCGGCAAAGGGAUUGCCUAGACAGAGGAUGAACACAGGCAAAUUAUGUUGCACUAGAUCAGAAUGUCGGCUGAACUCUUUAGGUUAGGGUUAAUAACUUAUAAAAUUAUAAAAUUGCCCCUAUAUUUUUUAAUAGUUACAUAAUAUACCCCGGGUCGGGUACCCGCGGGUUUUUGCUUUUACGAUCCGUAUCCGUAUCCGAAUAUUCCGGGUACCCGACCCUAUCUGAUCCGCUGAGAGAAAUCGGAUCGGGUAUCCUAUUUUUCGGAUCGGAUCGGAUCGGAUCUCUCGGGUUUUCGGGUCAGCGGGUAUUUUUGCCCACCCCUACGUCCAGCCACCCAGUUCGGGCGAACUCCAUCCGCGUCUUCAAGCCUUGCAGGAUGGUUCUGUUGACGUUCUAGACCUGCCCGUUUGCUUGAGGGUGGCCUACCGAGGUGAAGUGCUGCCGGAUUCCGAGCUCCGAGCACCAGCUUUGGAGAGCGCCGUCAGCGAACUGGUGCCCGUUGUCUGAGACCAGUACAUGGGGUAUACCAAAUCGGCAAACGAUGUUUUUCCAGAGGAACUUCUGCACCGACCUGCUGCUAAUGGUGGUAAGGGGCUCGGCCUCCACCCAUUUGGUGAAUUAAUCUAUGGCCACCACCACAUGCUGAUAACCCCCAGGAGCUCGGGGAAACGGACCCAGCAGGUCGAUUCUCCAUUGGAAGAAAGGCAAAGGGCUCUGAAGAGGGAUCAUCUCCUGAGUUGGGGCGUGAUGGAUCGGCGCAUGCAGCUGGCAGGACUUGCACCGAGCCACCAGUUCGGCAGAAUCCAAGAAAAUGGUCAGCCAGUAGUACCCAGACAGCAUUCAUUUCUUGGCCAAAACCCUUGGACCGACGUGGUUUCCACAGAUACUUUCAUGCAACUCACGCAGGAUGUAGUCUCCUUCCUCUGGAGUUACGCAUCUCAGCCACGGGCGGAGGUAGGAUUUCUUGUAAAGUACCCCAUUCGAGAGCUCGUAUCCCCGCGACCUGAGGAUGACCCUUCGCGCCUCCACCCGGCUUGGAGGGAGCUCUUCGCUGCUAGGUACCGUACGAUGAGAUCCAUCCAUGAGCUCGUUAUUUGAAUAACAGAAGCGUUUACCUGGUCGUACGCCCGAUUUCUGACGAUUUCCACCAAGACUUCUUUGUUCAACGUACCGACCGAGGUGGAAGCUAGCUUGGACAGAGCAUCCGCUCUCUUAUUUUGGCUUCGCGGGACCUGCUUGAGCGUGAAUAAUUUGAACUGAGCUCUCAGCUCAUGCACUUUGGCGACGUACCUUCUCAGGGGCUCUUCCUUAACCUCGUAACUCCCCCCGACCUGGUUUACUAUCAUCUGUGAGUCGCUGUAGACUUCUAUUGACUCGGCCCCCAAUUUCCGAGCUAUCUCCAUCCCCGCGACCAGGGCCUCGUACUCGGACUCGUUGUUAGAGGCCCUGAAAUCAAACCUCAAGGCGUAGGCCAGUUCAUCCCCCAUAGGGCUAGUCAAGAGAAGCCCUGCUCCGCAUCCUUCCUUGCUUGAAGAUCCAUCCACGAACAGCGUCCAGGUCGGGAUGGACUGAUCUGCCUUUUCGGCGUCUUGGCCGACUUCCACAGCAUUUCCGACCUGUUCGGCCUCCGCUGUGCUCAACCUAUCCUCGGCUUCCUCAGUAGCCUGUAUGACCACGGCAGGUUUUUCGGCCUGCUUGGCCUCAACUGCACCUACGGUCUGUUCGGCCUCGGAAGUCUUAGUGCCUUUCAUGACCUCGACAGCUUCUCCGGCCCGCCGAGCCUCAGCUGCGUCUUGGGUCGGUCCGGACUUUGCGGCCUGCGCGACCUUGGCAACUCCUCCGGCCUGCUCGGCCUUGGCUGCGUUUCCGGUCAGCUCGACCUGCGAUCCCUGUUGUCCAAAGGAAACCCCUUCAGCUAUGAAAUCUGCCAAUGCUUGGGCCUUAAUGGCCGUGCGAGGAUGGUAGCUGAGAUCGUACUCGGACAGCUCCACAGCCCAUCUUACCAUUCUUCCUGAUGCAUCAGGCUUUGAAAGGAUUUGCUUGAGAGGCUGAUCGGUCAUAACGACCACGGGAUGAGCUUGAAAAUACGACCUGAGCUUCCGGGCCGCGUGAACUAAUGCCAAAACAUACUGCUCAACCGAGGUGUACCUUGGCUCCGCGCCCUACAGAGCUCGGCUGACAUAGUAUACGGGCCUCUGAAUUUUGCCUUCUUCCCGAACUAGUACCGCACUGAUUGCCUCCUCCCCCGCGGCCAGAUAAAUAAACAAGGUCUCUCCUUGUGCGGGAGAGGUCAAGGCCGGCAACCGAGCGAUGUGGGCUUUUAGUUCGUCAAACGCUCGUUGGCAUUCGGGUGUCCACUCAAACUGGGGGCCUCUUCGCAGUGCUCUGAAGAAGGGGGAACCCCGAACUGCAGAUUUCGACAAGAACCUGUUCAGGGCAGCCAUCCUGCCAGCUAGCCGUUGGACCUCUUUUAUAUUUCGAGGUGGAGCCAUGUCCAUUAUAGCUUUUAUCUUGUCGGGAUUAGCUCUUACUCCGUCCUUGGAUAUCAUCUACCCAAGGAACUUGCCCGACCUGACCCCAAAAGUGCAUUUCUUGGGAUUCAGCCGCAUCCGCGAGCUCCGCAGGACGUUGAAGAUCUCCCUGAGGUCGCUAAUGAACUGCUCCUGAGUUCGGCUUUUUACCAGCAUGUCAUCUACGUAUACCUCCAUGUUUCGGCCGAUCUGGUUCCUGAACAUCUUGUUGACCAGUCGCUGAUAGGUCGCGCCAGCGUUCUUCAAUCCAAAUGGCAUGGUGGUAUAACAAUACGUGCCGUAUUCGGUGAUGAAGGCAGUCUUCUCUUGAUCCUUCUCGUCCAGAGCUAUCUGGUGAUACCCUUUGAAGGCAUCCAAAAAGCAGAAAAUCUCGUAUCCAGUAGUUGAGUCGACCAGCUGGUCGAUGCAGGGGAGGGGGUAACAGUCCUUCGGACAAGCUUUAUUCAGAUCGGUGAAGUCCACGCACAUCCGCCAAGCUCUGUCUUCCUUUUUCACCAACACAGGGUUAGCCAGCCAGGUCGGAUAGUAGAUCUCUUUCACAAUUCUGGCUUCCAACAGCUUGCCUACCUCCUCCUUGACGACCUCGUUGCGCUCAGGAGCGAAGUUUCUCUUCUUUUGCUUCACUGGCCGGAGGCUCGGGUCGACGUGCAACUUGUGAACUGCCAGCUCGGGAGGAACUCCGGGCAUGUCGUCAGCACUCCAAGCAAAGAUCUCAGCGUAUUCCUCCAGUAGAGACUCCAGAGCUCUCCGUGUCGGCUCGCUUAGGCCAGCUCCGGCCCUCACCACGCGAUCGGGUCGCUCGGUGCAGAUGGGCAAUUCGACCAGACUCUCAUCUGUCUCCAUCCUUUCCUCCUUUUCAGCAGGCUCCCAGGGUUCCAAACAGGUUGUCUGGGCCACCAUCUUCUCCUUACCUUUGAGGGUUGCGAUGUAACAGGCCCGAGCUACCUCCGGGUCUCCCAGCACCUCGGCCACUCCAUCGGGCGUGGGGAACUUCAUGCUAAGGUGCAAAGUCGAACAGACAGCUCGGAGCACGUUUAGGGUUGGUCGCCCAAGUAUCAUAUUGUAGGAGGAUGGCUCCUUUACCACCGCGAUAUUCACCGGGACAGUUCGGCACUUCGGCUACUCCCCUACAGUGACCAUGAGGGUUAUCAUUCCCUCGGGCCUUACCGGCGGACCUGCAAAACCUAUUAAAGGAGUUCGGACGAGGAUGAGCUGCUUAUCUUCCAGCUGCAACUCUUUGAAGGUUUUGUAGUAUAGCACAUCGAUGGCACUCCCAUUGUCGAUGUAUACCUUCUUUACCUUGUAGUUACACGUGAUGACCUCUAUUACAAUCGCUUCAUGGUUAUUGGAGGCUAGGGGUACCGCGUCCUCCGGCCCAUAGAUGAUCUCUUCGUACAUCUUUAAACGCUUGUUAGAGCUUUCCCCACUGGGGGAAGGCCGGUUGUUUCGCCGAGCCGUAUGACUGUCUCCCCCCACAGGUCCCCCUGCGAUAGUGUUGAUUACCCCAGCUAGAUUCUGAACCCCCUGCUCCGGAGUUCGAUCACGGGGACCCCGAGGUCGGUCGCGCGAGCUAGUCGCCCGUUCUCGGUUGAACCCCCCUUGCUUUUGAUCGGCUCAGCCGUCACGGAUGAACUGCCCGAGGUGGCCUCUCCGUAUCAGCUUUUCAAUCUCCUUCUUGAGGUGUCUGCAAUCCUCAGUAUCGUGCCCGACGUCCCUGUGGUAAGCACAGUACAAACCCUGGUCGCGCUGGUUUUUGUCCCCAGCCAGUGGCCGAGGAGGGCGCAAGAUCCCCUGUUGUUCCAUUACGGCGAGAACCCGAGCUCGGGGCGCGGUGAGCGAAGUCCAAGCCUUUUCCUUCUCCCAAGGUCGGCUCCGAGGUAAGCGCUCGGGUACGCUCUUCCGUGCCUGACCUGGUCGCGACUCUCCCAGGUCGGCACCCCUCCUGCGCUUGUCGUCACGCAGCUUCUCCUGAGCGCCUUUCAAUCGGUUGGCCUCCUCGGCAUUCGCCUUCUCGUGAGCUCGGUCUAGCAUCUCCCGAACGGACUUGGGAGGUUUUUCCACGAACUCCGUAUACAGCUUCUGCUUGCGCAGCCCAUUGACAAAGGCAGCCAUCACAACCUUGUCAUCCCGAUCCCGUACCUGGAGGGAUUCGUUGUUGAAGCGCACCAUGUACUCGCGCAAUGACUCCUCGGGCCCUUGAUGAACAGUCAUCAGAUGAGCCGUGGUUUUGGAAAAAGCACGCGAGGAGACGAACUGAGCCACGAACAACCGCGCGAGCUGGCCGAACGACCUAACCGACCUGGGGGGCAACCCCUGGAACCACUGCCGGGCCUUUCCUUCCAGGAACAUCGGAAAGGUCUUGCACCUGACCGCGUCAGCAGCUGUCUGCAGGCGCAUCUGAGUCAGGAACGCGAACAGGUGAUCUUCCGGAUCCGUGGUCACGUCGUAAGACUUCAUGGACGGUAUUUUGAACUUUGCGGGCAGGGGAUAGUCUUCGAUAUCCGGUACGAAGGGCGAGGCUGUGUACCUGUCCGACUCCGGAUCCAGCAUGAGGUCCAGUUCGUCCUGGAUCUGGUAUUCCUCCUUCCUGCGGGGAACCUCCACCCGCGAGGGCCUCGGGACAGGCUCCGGAUGGCUAGUUCGGGAGUUCCUGUGAGAGGGCUCGGGAACCUGGACCUGCUCACGCGUGAGCUCCUUUCGUGCCCUCUUCGGCCGAGGGACAGGGCUCCCUGAUCGGGAUUCCGAACUCCCUGUUCCGUCAGCUUUUCGCGCCCGGGGCUCCGGACUGGGGGGGGACUCCGGAUUGCUCCUUCAGGUAUUUCACAAUGGCCUCGAAGGUGGGCAAGUUCGCCGCUACGGACUGCACCAGCUGUUCUGGCGAGAUCCGUGAGAGCUCAAUCCUCUCAUUUCCCACGAUGGUAUCCUGGUGGACGUGCUGAGGGUCGCCCUGCCCGUUUCCCUCAGAACCAUCCACAUUUUUCUGAGAUCUAGUCUUCGGCAUGUUGUUCGCGAAAGAGAAGAGAAUACGUUUCCCACAGACGGCGCCAAUUGAUGCGACUGCCGAAGUAAAGAUCCGAACUGAACUGGGUCUGGAGAGCGAGCUGGUGAGGCGCCCGACCUGCACGUGAACGAGCUGCGGGGCUAAGUCCCCUGUAGCAACUCCGACGAUCAAGUCAGAAUGAAUUCGUAAGUUACCGAGUGGAAUUUGCACUAUGAAUAGCGUACCUUGUGUUUCCCCUUCGUGUGGUAUUUAUAGAGCCUCAGGUUGUAGUUUCCUGGUAGGACAAGGAGUCCUUAUUGGAGAGAGUUGGUUCCUAGGGCUCCAUGACCCAGAUCUGAAGACGCGGACUCCGCGGCCCAUCAGACCUCUUUGCCCGAGAGGCGGCGCCCACAAGGGCCAGCGAGCCGACCUGACACUCCGGCCCAGCUCCUCCAGUCCGAGCUCAUGGGCCAGAUUGACGUGUGUGCGGACCUGGCCGACGUGCUCCUGGGCCCCACUACAAUUGCAUAUGAACAGUAUAUGUCUAAGCCAUUUGAGACAUGGAGGUAUGUAACUGAUUACAUAAGCUUCAUGGAUCUUCUCAUAGAUUCACCGUCCGACGUUGAAAAGCUUCGCAACCGUGACAUCAUCAGGCAUGGGUUAGGCAGUGAUAAAGCAGUCUCUAAAAUGUUCAACAAGUUAAGCAGUGAUGUUUCUAUUGAAGUUCCUUUCUGUUACCACGAAGUUUUUGAGGACAUGAGGAAGUACUCCCGCAACCGCAGCCGUACUUGGUGGGCAAACCUCAUGCGGAAUUAUUUUCAUAACCCGUGGUCAAUCAUUUCAUGUCUGGCUGCAUGCGUUUUGAUUCUUCUCGCAUUGGUGCAGACCAUAUUUUCCAUCCUACACUAGACUUUGACUUAAUGAAAUUAAAGUGAGCUAGUUGUGCUUGUUUUGUAAUUUGUUAGUCAUUGUACUUAAAUACCAACAACAUCAUUUUAUUUGUGUUCCGAUUGAUAAAAAAUUCUUGAUGUAAAAGAACUUUCCUGUCUUGGAUAUUACAUGAACUCCUAAAUGCAUGUUCUGCUAAUAAUGAACAUGAUCUCUUCUGUAUUAUGAUCUACUACUGAACAUUAAAAUAGCAAUGCCCCGUCGGGGUCAUUGAUUCAUUUUAGUCAACCUGACAAUUUUUAUGAACAUGGAUCUGUCUACACAUGUAUUUGUAUGUCUGUGUCAAGUAUAACCACAGUACGAGGCUAACUUUGAGUGUUACAUGGCACCGGUUCGAUCUUAGUGAGAGUACUACUAAAUGCAUGCAAAGGCUGGCGAUGAGAACUCAAUGAAGCACGAAAAUUAAGUGCACAAGAUUUUAAGCAAACUGCAAAGAAAGAAUUAAAAAAAUGAAGCUUUAGCAUUCAUCUGGCAAAAAAUCCUUGGCAUACUAUCAUAUAUAAUAGCAGUUAGAUACCAGUUGAUUGAAAUGCUAACAAAAUAAGUGUACUCAAAACAUAUAGUUUUACAGGAUCUAAUUGUUACUCCUGUGAUUUAAAGAAGACAAUAGAGAAAAGGCUCAGUUGAUUUUCAAACAAAGAAAACCCGGAAGAACAAUUUAUUGGGAAAAUAGUUAUAAACACGAAUUGCUUGUUACUUAUGGUUCCCGAAAUCUUGUCUAAUUAGCCACUGCAUCCACAUUGGCUAGAAUGCUAAGUAAGGCAUAAAGACUGAAAGAAAAAAGAGAAAAAAAAAGAAGCAGUACAAUAAGUAAAUCUGUCGUGCUUGCUGGUACCAAAAUUAAGUACAUAUGUAAAUUUUAAGUAGUUCUUGGUUGUAAAUGUGAAGGCUUUAUCUAAGAAAUGUUGUCUCCAACGUUCCGACCUUUCUCAUGUUUGUCACUUCGCGAAGCACAGCAUAUGCUAAGGAAUAAGGGCUGAGACAUGUCUACUUUUUUAAAGAAAUAGAGGGCUUAAACAUUGGCUGUUCUCUUCUCUUCUCUUCUCCUCUUUAUUGCGCUCAGUCACUCACUAUUUUCCCUCCACAAAGAAAAAAUUGCUAGCCAUCUAAAGUUUAGUGGAAAAGAACAGCUAUGAACUCAUAUCUCAAAAUUCUAGAAAAUUAAAAUGUUUAAGAAUUUGUAGAUCCUAUCUAAAUGAACAUCUUGAAGUACAGAUUAUCUUCUGCUGAGUACAUUAAUAAGUUCAAAGGAACUUUCUAUAGGUUUUUAUACAUUGGACUAUUGGAGAAAAGAACAAAGGGGCUAAAUUAUUAAUUAAGUUAUUUUUCAACUAUUUAAAUUGGUAUACCAAAAACAAAAAAAAAAUUUAUUCUUCAUCGACUAUAAGAUAAAAGCAAAUGUGUCAAUAAACCACUCUUUAAUUUUCUUUUUUAAUUUUUAGUAUCUUUUCCUAUAUAAAGUUAGACGUAUGCCACUAGACUAAUAUAUCCAAAAGGUGGCAACAUGGCUGGUAUGAUGUGGUCUUACAAAAAUAAAAGUAAAAAAAUAAUAAAAAAAAUAAUAAAAAAAUAAUAAUAGUAUAAAUUGGACUACCUAUGAGCUUCCCAUCCCAAAGGACUAAUAGCUUGUGAUACAACUUCCACCUGCUUUCUCCAGCUUUUUGUUUCUAUUUCUGAUCAAGAUUGCUACACGUGAGACUCUCCUCUUGCCCAGGUAAAUUUUUUGACAGGUUGUCGAAGCCUGUGCAAUAAUAAAACCUGCUCAAACUAAAAGUAAUUUCAGUAGAUAGUGGUGAGCAGGGUCAAAUUCACAGGGAUUGGGAGUAAUUAUUUCUUUUCAAAUUCACAGUGACAAGGGGGUGUUUUUAUGCAGAAGGUGACAAUAAAAGAAGUUCAAAUAAAAUCUAAGAAACUACUAAAAAUUAAACAACAAAUUACUAAAAUCAAAUGAAUGAUAAUUAAGGAUCUAGCCAAGGAAUAACUUCAGCAAUGGUUCACCUAGUUGAUCAUUGAAGCAAAGGCAAUUCCAAUUAUUCAUCAAUAAAUAGGUUAUAACUACCAAACAAGCGAUGGCAGUCAACCCCUCCUUACUGUGUCGGUGAUCAAGGUACGCCCGUUAAUCACUGCUCUAAUUGAGAAAUAAUCCUAGGUACGCCCGUAGAAUUUAAUUCCCCAAUUGCCUUACAUAUUAGAGGAGCCCUAUUCUAACCAAAUAACGCACUACCAGGGUUAUUUUAGAUUAGCCCGCGUAUUCCCCUGACACAAAUCUAAUCAUGCCAGUUGUCACUAUUUUGAGGUAAUUAAACAAUUACGGAUUUAACACCUUAAUUGACAAUAGAUUAUCCAAUCAACUAAUUAUCUGGAUCCAAAAUAAUUAAUUAAUUAAAUAAUCAUAAACAUAGCAAUUAAGAAAUAUGCGAAUACCAAUAAAUAAAAGAAAAAGAUAAAAUUAAAUCGAUCUCACAAUUUUAGGCGAUCCAAAGCAUCCAUUGUCCCUUGACUAGGGAAAGAAAAUUUAGUUCAUGUUUGAUGAACAAAACCCGUAGGAAAGUGAAGAAACGAUCCCAACCAUUAUUCUUGUUCACGAGACUUCACCUUGAUCGACUGAAUAAAGAAAAGCUUGGAAAACAAUGAUUGAUUCAAUUCUUCAAAGAGUCCCUGUCACGCGUGGACUGAAGCUUCCUAAGAGACAAAAGAAAGGUCAAAGCUCUCUAAGAAAGCUCCUCACCUACGUGAACUGGAGCUAAAGCUAAACACUAGUCUAACUACUAUGCUACAGGACGAAAAGAGAAAAAGGUAAUGCCCUCUCUCUGCAAUUACAAUUUGCCUGUUCUAAUCCUUCGCUCUCCUGUGCGGCGGCUCCCCUUCCGGAGAGGAAGAAGAAGACCCCCGCUUCAGCACUUCGUUCCUCCUUUUAAUGUUGCCCUCUGCGAAUUACCAAAAAGAACUUGUAUCUCCUUGUUCCAAAAAUGUCCUGGAUGCCUGCUACUUGAACUCUUUCCUGAUAACUGUCAAAUCGGCACUUAUUAUGAUAUUUUCGUUCUACUCCCUGAAAUAUGUGUAAAAUACUAAAAGUGAGUAGAAUCUAAUAAUUAAUUCACAUUGAGUUAAGUAAUAGGGAAAUUAAUAGUAAAAUAAAUGAUAAAAUUGCAACAUAUCAUUUUUCAAGUAUUUCCCUUGAUAAGUGACUAAUUUACGUAAUAAUUGUAUGAUAUCACUUUGGUUACAUUAUUGGAAGAAAAUGAUUCAUUUUGGCUAUAAUUGGUGUAAAAUGCUUUUGUUCAAUUAAAUGAGGUUUUUAUCACUUUUUACUUGGAUUUUGUGUAUUUUGAUAGUUUUGACACAUUUUCAUAUUUCGGCUAUAACUUGAACUCCAAUGAUCGGAGUGCUCGUGUUUUUUACUCUCAAGUCAAGAUUAAUUGUAAUUUUCCUCUUCAAAAGUCUAUGGCUGCUAAUUAAGCCGUGUUAUAAAUAUAUCCUGAUAUUAAUUCUCCAUUUUUCAUUACGCAGAUUGAACAUUUAAUUUGCCAUUUUACCAGCCAUGACUUUAUGAUAUUCUUACAAUCUUAAACUUAGUACUGGAUUUUCAAAUCUGGAAAAGUUGGAACUUUUGUGUUAUGACACGUUAGAACUAACUUUGUUACAGCAUUUAUUCAUGCUAAUUUUGAUAAAUAAGGAAUUCAAAUUAUUCUGCGAUAUUUGAUGAAAGUUCAUAUUAUGUUAAUUCAAGAAAUAGACCAAGACAUCUUCCUUUAGCUCCCUAAAAAUCAUUUAGAGUGUUAUGUAUGAUUUGAUAGGAUCCAUUUAAUUUUAUUUUCUCCAAAAAUAUUUUUUUUAGCAAAUGUACUUCAAGUCAUACCUUUCUCUUGGCUAAUAUCCUUAAACAUGGGUCUUUAAGCUACAUUUUUUUACACUUUUUUUAACCCUUUUUCUUUCUCAAUUUUACUGUAUUGUUUAAAAGAAUUAUGAUUAAAAAAAUUCAAGGACAGCUGAAAAGAAUAAGCGCCCCAGCACAACGCGCGGUUACCCCUAGAUUUAAACACAUGAACAACCUAGGAUUGACAUUAAAACCAUUAAAAGAUAGUUUUUUCUUUUAACUGAAAUAGCAUUAUUGUUCAUUUGCACCACCAUUAAUAGCAAAAAAGAAAAACUUAUGAAACUCACUGAAACGGAAAAUUAAGUCAUAAAAGCACAUAAAGGAGAACAAUUAAUUAAUGAUAACACCGAAAAAUUAACUAAUUCAGGUGACAUGAAAGAGAACGUUCGAAAUCCAUCAAAUAGACAGAGACUUUUUACCCACUUUAUACACUUCAUCCAUAAAAUGACAAACAAUCUAAUGUUAACUUCUCUACAACAAUUUCUACUCUCUUGGACACGAAAAAGAAGAAGGACAGUAAAAAAAAGUGAUUGCAGGUACCAAUCUUAUGCAUACUUUUCUUUUCUUUUCUUUUUUUUUUUUUGGGGUCUGGAGGGUAAGGGGUAUCUUGGAAUCACCGAUUCUGAUCCCCCAGGCUGAACAGAGUUCACCCCAUAGAUGACUAACAACAGUAGCACGUGGGGGUCGAAUCUGAGAUCUUGUUAUAACUAUAAACGACUAGUUACAACUGAGCUACCCAUGAGGGGCUUAUGCAUACUUUUCUAAAAUUGAUAUUUUGGUGAACCAUUCUAUAUAUCCUCUGAUAUUCAUCUAUUUUAGAUAUUAUAUUUAUACUCAGGGCCUUUACUUUGAAUCUUUUUUAAUUUUUUUUACUAAUCAAACAGUUGCAGUUUUUUCCCAUUUCAUCUAUUUUCGGCUCCUAUGGAAACAUCACAGAAUCAGUUGAUAAGCUCAUUAAGGCCUGAUGAGAAAAUGUGGAUGCGUAGAGUCUUGCUAUUACUGAAAUUUGGCAUCGAGGCGUAUAUCGGUAAACAAAAAUCUGGAAAUCUUCAGAAGUUAAUUUUCCUAGACAGGCAGGUAAAAAAUCAUAAACUUUCACAUUUACUAUUGAAUCUAUAUUUUGCACAUUAUUUUCAAGAAAAAUUCAAAAGGCAUAUAAAAAUUCAAGCUAUUAUGUUUGAUGACAUCAAGGAAAACUGUUCCUGUUCCUUAUAGGAAUCAACAUAAAAUGAGGACUUUUCCUCCAUCUCUCUGUCUCAACCAUUUGGUCGUCACCUUCCUUUCCUCCUCUUCUAGCUAUCCUUAAUUUCCCCUCAAAUCCCAAAUUAAUUAUCUUCUCUAGGUUAUUAUGUCCUUCAUAACCAGAGCUACAAUCUUGAAUGGCUAACUUGUAUCUCCCCAUUUUUAUUUUUUACUUUUUUCUGUCUUCUGAAAAUAAUAUUCAAUUAUCUAGACAUGUACUGCACAUAGAAGAUUAAGCAACUACGGUGAUGAUUAAAGGGAUAAUUGAUUAUGCUUUGCUGGUGGUGGAUGGCUUGAGAUUUAGAUUUUUGUAAAGCUAAAUCAUGAACAUGAGUAAAAUGGUUGCUAAAGCUCACUGGUCAUCUGUCAGUAUAGUUUAUCAUCAAUGGAGUUCGGUUGGCUUUCUUGUAAGUUGAUUCAAUUGCUUAUUGGAUAUGAAUAUUUUUCAUGUAAUAAAAAGUGACUUUGAAUUUAUUAGUCUACUCAGCAGGAGAUAAUCUGUAAUUCAAGAUGUUCAUUCGGAUAGGAUACAAAUUCUUAAACAUUUUAUUUUUCCAGAAUUUUGAGAUAUGAGUUCAUAGCUGUUCUUUUCCACUAAACUUUAGAUGGCUAGCAAUUUUUCCUUCAUAGAGGGAAAAUGUGAGCGACUGAGCCCAAUAAAGAGAAGAGAAGAGAAAACAACCAAUGUUUAAACCCUCUAAUUCUUUAAAAAAGUAGACAUGUCUCAGGCCUUCAUUCCUUAGCAUAUGAAAUGACAAAGUUGAGAAAGGUCGGAACGUUGGAGACAACAUUUCUUAGAUAAAGCCUUCGCAUUAACAACUAAGAACUAUUUCAAAUUUACCUAUGUACUUACUUUUGGUACCAGCAAGCAUGACAGAUUUACUUAUUGUACUGCUUCUUUUUUUUUUUCCUUCGAGUCUUUGUGCUUUACUUAUCAUCCUACCCAAUGUGGAUGCAGUGGCUAAUUAGAUAAGAUUUCCGGAUCCACAAGCAACAAACAAUUCAUGUUUAUAACUAUUUGCCAGAUAAUGUGUUCUUCUGGGUUUGCUUUGUUUGAAAAUCAACCGAGCCUUUUCUCUGUUUUCUUCUUCAAGUCACAGGAGUAACAAUUAGAUCCUGCAGAACUAUAUGUUUUCAGUACACUAAUUUUGUUAGCAUUUCAAUCUAAUGGUAUCUAACUUCUAUUAUAUACAAUAGUAUGCCAAGGAUUUUUGGCCAAAUGAAUGCUAAAGCUUCAUUCUUUUAACUGUUUCUUUGCAGUUUGCUUAAAAUGUUGUGUACUUAAUUUUUCGUGCUUUAUCGAGUUCUCAUCAUUAGCCUUUGCAAGCAUUUAGUAGCACUCUCACUAAGAUCGGACCAGUGCUAGGUAACACUCAAAGUUAGCCCUAUACUGUGGUUAUACUUGACACAAAGAUAUAUAGAUAUACAUGUGUAGAUAGAUACAUGUUGAGUUAUAUAGAUAUACUUUUACAUCAAGAAUUUGUUAUCAAUCAAACUCAUUGAAUUGUUUAGUUACAUAAAUAGUGAUUGGGUAGGUGAUACUGUAAAAAGAAGACUAUUUCAAAGUAUGCAUUUUUUAUUGGUUAUGGAGUGUUUUCUUAGAAUUCUAAAAAGCAGCAGGUGAUUGCAUUGUGUACUACAGAAGCAAAGUAUAGUGCAGCAGCUAAUAGUGCAACUCAAGUUUUGUGGUUGCAUCGUAUGCUUGGUGUACUACAACACAAGCAAGUUGAUCCUACGAACAUAUAUUGUGACAGUAAGUCGGCUAUUGAAUUGUCCAAGAGUCCGAUUCUCCAUGGGUGCAGUAAACACAUAGACAUUAAAUAUCACUUCGUACGUGAGUUGGUUCAAGAGAAGGAGAUUGAGAUGGAUUAUUGCAGGACCAAAGAGUAAGUGGCAAACAUUUUCACAAAAGCAUUGAAGAAGGAGACUUUUGUCAAAUUGAAGAUGUUAGGCAUGUCAAGUUGCUUAUUUGCCAGCAUAUGGUACCAACUAAUUAGAGUGCAGAGAACUAUACAUAUGUUUGCAUCAAAAUUCUUUUUCAAAAUCAUUUCUUUAUCUGGCAAGAAAAAGAAGAGGAAUAUGUUGGCGAAUGAAUGACGAAGAUUUAAGAGUAAACGUUGAUAUAUAGACUUCCAUGCGACUUUAAAAAUCGUUUAGGGACUAACAACUGAGAAAGUUGAAGUACUUUUGUGAGACUUUAACUUAGUUUCAAGGAUCAAAUAUAUAAACUGCUUAAAAAAUAACAGAGAGCUAAGGUCAACUUUGUUCGAGAGAAGGCAUUGCAAAGUGAAGUUAACUUGAACGUGUCAACACAGAUGAGCAAGUUGCAGAUACAUUCAUGAAGCGUUUAAGUCCUUCCAAGUUGGUGAAAUUUCAAAAAAUGGGCCACGUUUGAGUUUGUCUAUAGGAUGGAUACGUGAAUCAUCGAAUUUUUUUUUUCCAGAAGCUGGGGUCCAAAAUCAUCUGUUUUUUCUCAAUUAAAAUUUAAUUAAGCUUGGAUGUCACCACAUUUUGGAGAUAAUUGCUUUUGAAUCCUUAAAUAAACAGCAGCAAUUUUUCCCUUUAAUACUGAGACAAAAGACAUCUGAGGAGGAAGGAUUAAUGAUUAAUCAAACUGCGCCAUGCAAAUUGCACCGGCCAAAGAUCUCAUCUCACUCACUUACCCCUUGAAAAAGUCCAAAUAUUCCUUGUAAAAUUUCUACAUUCCACCAACUCCUUUAGCUUUAGGUUUGAGAAUCGUUAUCAUCAUGUAUUAUUAAACACAAGAAAGAUAUAUAUAUAUAUAUAUAUGUGUGUGUGUGUGUGUGUGUAUGUAUAAUCUCUCUCUCUCUCUCCGUCUCCUGCAGUUUAUUCAAAACGGACUUUUGUGCAUACCAAACACUUAAACUAAACUUACAACCAACCAAUUCAUUAGCCAAACAACUCCUGACUUUGGCUAAUAAAUUAAAUUAACGAGUUCUAAUCGUAGCAGCAGUCAUCAUUGACUGAAUUGGAUGAAGAUAAGAACCUUUGAUUUCAAUCCAGAAAUGGUAAACCUUCCCCACCCCUAUAGCUAAAUGGUAAACCGUUCCCACCCCUGUGAUACGAAACAAACAAAAUGAAUGGGCAGUCAAAGGACAAUUUCAAGGCUUUUGAAAAGUUUUUGCUCCUUCAUGUGCACCAUAGUUUACGUAAAAUCAAUCAAUGAAAGUCCCUACAUAGAUAUAAAAAUCUAAACCAGUUGUCAAACUCAGCCCUUGAACACGCUUUCCCAGCUCAAAACACAGCAAUUCCUUGCAAGACUAAAAAACAAGAAAAGAGCUGUUUUACCUCUGAGAACUUUCUUUGUUGAUAUCAAAAUCAACUCAAGAUCCUGCAACUUCAUUGCUGAAUUCAGAAAAGAAGAAGGAAUCGCUCCUCCAGUUUAUAAUCAAAGAUCCCGGUCUUAUUUGCAACCAUCCGAGUGAGUUUUCUUAUUAAUCAUCCCUUUUCCCUAAAUUACAUAAGCAUUUAUUUAUGUUAUUUGAGUGGUAUUUUAGCGUCUUCAGGCGGAGAAUUUAUAAAAGGAAUCCACUAGUUUGUACUAAUUGCCAACUACAAAAGACAAAGCACGAAACCCCAUUGCAGAUAUAAGUUGUAUCUGAACCCUUAUGCCUAAAAAAGUCGUCAAAUUGGAUGCAUUCAGGCAGCACAUAGAUUGUUCAGAUAGUGCUUCUGGAGCUUAUAUUUUGCUAUUUGGAAUACCAGAUUGCCAUUCAUAUGAUUGGUACACUAAAUUUAGCUUGCUAAGCUUGAUUCUUAUUUAGAAAUUAUGAUACCGGAGUUGUUCGUGUAAUUUGGGAUUUUUAUUGUAUUAUCGCCCAAGUGGUAUUAAUAUUGUGUUAGUCUUUUUUUUUUUUUGUCGAAACGAUAAGAUGAUUUCAUUGCUUUAAAAGUAAAACAAUUACAAGUACGAGCAACGGCUCGAUCGGACUCUACACACUAGUGUUCAAAGACACUGAGGAAGCUGUCGCUCCUCAUCCACAAUAAUGCUUAAAGCAUCAACACUCAUUUUUUUGCUAACUAUCAUAUCUUCUUCCCUAUUCAAUCCAAAAGAGCACAUACGAAACAAUCUCUGUAGCUGAGAUAUGUCUUCAAGUACUGUUGCCAAUCUGCUGUCCGCUGGGCUCUGGUGUUUCAGUUGUCUCCACAGUUCUUUGUUAUCAAACCUCAGCUUAAUAUUGCUCCACUUGCGCUGCACAGCUUUACACAGCACUAGUUUCAGUGCCAAAGCUUCAUCUAGGAGUUUGUUCCCAGAACUGAUAUCUUUCAUUGCCCACCCUAUCUUCGUAUCACUUGCAAAGACUUUAACUGUGACUCCAAUUCCCAUAAAUAGCUGCCCUUGUUUCAUGGUUGUAGCCACCUCCAUUAGCACUUCUCCUUCAUUUACAUUACUCUGAUCCUGAGUUUCUUGUCUAGGGGCUGUUUCUUCUGUGCUCUCUCCUUCCCCCUUAUACUCCAACUGCUGCUGCUCUAGCCAACCAGAAUGCGCUUUCCUUAUAGAUUUGAAGGGAGUAUCAACGGUAGUGUUCUCGAAUUCUCUUUUGUUUCUAUCUUUCCACACCUGCCACAGGAUAUUCGCAGUUAAACCAAUGUGUUCCAUUGUGUUAGUCAGGAUAUUCGCAGUUAAACCAAUGUGUUCCAUUGUGUUAGUCAGGAUGAAUGCCCUUGUUUCUAAUAUUGUGUUAGUCAGAACGGUAAGUUACUCACUGAUGAUUUCUAAAUUUCAUAAACUUUUCUUAUUGGCCUUUAGUUUGAAUAAAAUACAGAAAAUUCAACAUUUAUGUCCUCAUUUUGAUUCCGGCUAAUCCUAUACAUUCUCGGUAACUGCAAUUUGACACAAUUUUCAAAUCAAGUUUCUAAGCAUAAACAGAUUUCAGGUAUACAUGCUUGCAAUUACCUUCUUGUCUAAGUGUUGAUUGUCGGACAUCGACUAUGUUUCAUAGCUUUCAUCUAUAUCUUGCAAAUUUAACUUUGGUGUAUGAACAAGAUUUUCAUUUUCUUCAUCCAUGACGCUUCUAGAUUAAACUUGGUUAAGAGCCAAUUUUGAGCCAAAGGAAAUUUUCAAUUUUCUAUGUAAAAUUUUUGAGAAAUUUUAAUUUCAUCCCAUUAAUUUUCAUCAGGAUUAUAUGUAAUUUUCCGAGUUAAUGAUGUACAAAAAGGUUUAAGCCUCUACUUUGUUAAAGUCAACUCAUGAAGUUGGCAUUACGCGGGAAUCAUCUUCGGUAUAGAAACAUCUUUUUCUCCAACUUCGGUGAGCUCUAUCUUCAUUCUUCAGGCUCAUUGUUAAAGUACGGACUACACAGGCUCAAACUAAAUUUCUAAGCAUUAAUAGAUUCCAUGUAUAUGCUCGCAAUUACCUUCUUGUCUAGCUAAGUGUUGAUCAUCUGACGUCGACUGCGCUUCAGAGCUUUCAUCUAUAUCUUGUAAAUUAACUUUCGUGUAUGAAUAAGAUGUUCCUUUUCUUCAUCUUUGACUGCUUCUACAUUCAAUAUGGUUUGGAGCCAAAUUUUAGGCCUGUCUGAUCAAAAGGCAUGUUCUGGUGCAAGUUAACUGUACCCAAGAAACAACAAAAUGUAAUUAGUCACUCACAAGGUAUUUAAAAAAAAAAAGAUUUUUGGGACAGUUAUCUAGCUCGGACCUUAAGAUUCACUCCAAUAGGAAUCAACCUUGACGGUUAAAUUAGCUGAUCCUUCCUUUUUAAAAAAAAAAAAAAACUUCUUUUAUGAUGCAAAUGGAAGGAUUCAAACCUAAGACCUCUUACUCGCACUUCCUCUCCCAACCCAUACCUUCCCCAGUUGGCUGAUCCUCUUGAUGUUUUCUCGCGCGCAGCAAUUUUCCCUCUUUUUUAUACGUACUCAACAAGAGAUGUCUAGAAUUGAUCAAAAGCUUUCUGACCUAUUGGAUACAUCGGAGAAGCCAUCGAUCUUCAAAAUCCAUGGUCAACUACGAAGUGAAAAUGAAGAGGCAUAUGAACCACAAGUGGUUUCCAUCGGACCUUAUCACCACGGUAAGCCUAAACUGAAAGAGAUGGAGAAGCAUAAGCUAAGGUACUUCAAAGAGAUUCUUCGUCGUAAAGGAGAGUCAAGUGCUGAGAAAUACAUCAUAGCUUUGGCUAAUCUUCAAGAUCAAGCUCGAAGGUGUUACGCAGAAGAAAUCAGUCUUAGUGAAGAUGAUUUUGUUGAUAUGCUAUGCCUUGAUGGCUGCUUUGUCAUCGAGUUCUUGAGGAAAAGGAGACAUCCAGGAUCACACUGGCAGAAUGACCCCCUUUUUCAGAUGCUUUGGCUACGCACAGCCACUGUGAAUGACCUUAUAUUAUUUGAGAAUCAGUU